UCAUUUUUUCUGCUUCCUGAUCUUAAUUAGGUCAUGCAUUUGUGUUUAACAGGUGAUUCUAUUAUCUCUCCCGGCGCCAGGCAAGGAUUGAUUCCCCUUGCUAUACCACUGUCGAAAAACAGCUCAGGUAUGGGUUUGUGAUUAAGUAGCUUUUAGAAAUCUUCAACUUCAGUAUAGUUUUGUAUGUAAGUGUUUUUUUUUUCUUUACAGGUAGUGUGACGGCAUUGCUGCGGUGGCCAACGGCUCCAUCCGAGUGAGGCUCGAUGUUCAUCCUUUUCCUUUUGGUUGUUUUUGUUUUAAUCAUGUUAUAACUGUAACACAACUGCAGAAUGGAAAUGCCAGUGGUGGAAGUCAGAAGUUAUGGAGUGUGGCUUUUAGCCAAGACUGUAAGUGGAGCAUGCUUGGUCUUUUCAUUUCAUUGCUGGCUUUGUUGUUAAUAUUGAUCAGUGGACACUUUAUCGUGUGUCUAUUAAGAUGGUGUGAUGCCAACUGUUUAUUUUCUAUGUAUAGGUGGACCAAUUUAUUCAUAGAAUAUUGGUUGAAGAAGAUGUAAAGAACAGUCAAGAGAGAAAUGAAGAACUCUUUUAUGCUUCAGCUGAUGCUGGGGAGAAGCUUUAUAGAAAAGGCGAUUUUGCACAGUCUGGAAUUUCUAACCUAGAUGGCUAUCUUUUGAAAAAGGUAUUCAUAAAUUUCUAAACAGUGUUUUUUAUUCUCACAAUAAAUUACCGCAAGAAUCUAAUUUGUUUUCAGGUUGGUAUCUUUCCAGAUAUCCUAGAGCGCAAGGUGAAACGACAUUUUGAGGAAGGGGAUAAUGUAAGGUCCUCUUGCAUUUUUUUAGAUAGGUCCUCAAACAUUAGUCAUAAGUCACUUGAUACAUGUUGGUUAUGUCUGUUUGUGGAAGGUUUCAGCUUUGGUAACGGGGGAAUUUUAUACUAAGAAGGAACAUUUUCCAGGAUUUGCACGACCUUUUGUGUUCAAUGCUGAGGUUUUGUUGAGGUUGUUGGUAAACGAUUUCUGUUACUUCUUGAAGUUGUUCAAAAUGGAAAGACUGAACUUAUAAUUAUCAUCUUCUAAGAAGCUUUUCUUAAAUAAAAAAAUUACAGGGUUGGGCGUAAUACAGAAGCUAAAGAUGCUGCCAGGGGAGCUUUGAAAUCACCAUGGUGGACUCUGGGCUGCAAAUAUCAUGUAUGAAGUCUUUAAUCAGUUUGGUUUUCUGGUUUAAGUGCAAGCUUGUGCUAGGUCUCUUUUCCUCCGUUUACCCCUUUUCUAAGUUUGUUCUGUCAUAUUCGUUUCAACUAGGAUGUGGCUAAUAUAGCACAAUGGGACGAUGAGCAAAUUGAGUACAUUAAAGAGAAAGUGACUGAAGAGGGAAGGCAAGAAGAUCUUAAAAAGGGGAAGGCACCUGCACAGGUUCUGUUUAGUGUCAAGUAUCAACUAUUUAUUAAUUUAAUUGUUAUAUGAUCAUUGCUACAACAUCAAACAUUCAUGGCAAGGGCAUAUAUUGAUAUUCAUAUUUUUUCUUUCUUGUUUUCAUUUUAAACUCAAUUGCAGGUUGUACUAGAUGAAGCUGCUUUCUUGCUGGAUUUGGCUUCUAUAGACGGAAAUUGGGAUGACUAUUUGGACCGGAUUGGCAAGUGUUACGAGGAAGCAGGACUAUCUGAUGUCGCAAAAUUUAUUCUUUAUAGAGAUUAAUAUACUUGGCAGAUUUUCUUCCACCUGCAAGCUUCAGUGCCUUCCCGUUUCGGCAUUUUAUACAAUUUAUUCUACAGGCACGAGUAUUUUUCCUUGAGUUAUGAUUUCAUUGUAAUAAAUUAACCUGAACUCCUCACAUGUUUCAUGCUCUGCAUGUAAUAAUAAUGAUAUUCUUACACUCUUAACUCACACGAGGCUUAUUUUAAUGUGCGCACACACUUGGCGAGUAACUCUCAAAUAAAUAAAAAAUUAAUAUUCAAAUUUAUUAUCAACUUAUUAAGAUAAAACUCUUUUAAACAUAGAUUUUUUUCCACUUCAAAUCCAUUACUGAUUAAAAUUAACACAAAAUUUGCAAAUAUUUAUUUAAAUAAACACUUAAAUGUUUGGGAUUGUGUAUUUAAAAUUGAUAGGGUAAAUAUUUAAUACCAUGAUUCCAAAGAUACUAUUUUCUUACUGAAGACAAAAAAGAAAGUAAACAUGUCCACCAGUCGUCCACUCUAAUAUAAUAUGAUGUGUAGAAUGGAGAUGCUAGCCCUGAAGUGGCUCCCCAAAACUAAACCUAAAGAUAAGAAAAAUGGUAAAUAUCAUAAGUAUGUAUUUUUUUAUGAAAUGUGUUAGAAUAAUAUGGAGUUAUUUUAUCUUUCUGUGUGAGAAAAACUGAUUGUUGUGGGUCAGGGAGUACUAGAGAUUAUAUAUGUAUCUCCUUGUUCCAGUUUCCGUAAUGAUAGUUGACAGUAAGUUCUGGUAAUAUUUAGUUUGUUAGUUAAUCUUUCAGCUACUGGUUAGUUGGAUGACAUAUUUAUAUUCAGCUCAGCUCAUCUUGUAAAUGGAAAUGUCUUCCAUUUUCACUUUCUGAUCAAUGAAAAUUGCUGCUCUACACGAGCUUCCCCCUCUCACAGUUCCAAGGAAAGGUAGAGGCUGAAUCAUUUCAUUAGUGGCUUUUUAAUAAAAUCAAUUUUGGUGUGAACGAUCAGUCAAUCACCACUUAAAGCUAAAACAAAACAAAAUCAAAUUUGAUACUUUGCCAUAGCCGGGAUCUAACGGCACCAGACAUCCCAAAGUGGAAUUCUGGUGUAGCAUAAUGUUGUUUGCGCACAUUAUUUGUCACAUUUUUCAAUUCAACUGAUCAUCACCAUGCCCCCUCCCCCUUUUGCUGUUUCCUAGGUAUGCAUAAUUACAUAUCAUAACAACAAUGUUGCAUGCACUCUAUUACAUGCAUUUUCAGUUGUUAGUUUUCAGGCACGUAUUCAAUAGCCAAGAGAAAAACACACAAAUAUCACUCAACUAUCUCCAUCAGAAAUAUAGCCAAGAUAUGAUUGUUCCCUCCCUCAGGAAGUACAGAACAACACCAGAAUUGCAUUUCAUGUGUUAAAUGGAACAUGUGCAUUCUUUUUGGCUUUCUUCUUUCUCUCUAAGAGUAGCCUUCGCCACAAAUUACGACCUCUAGAUUUCUUGGCAGGUACGAUGGCCAAAGACUUAACAGAAGCACUGUCAUCCUGGCCUUGAAGUCUGUUCAAAACUAAUACCUUUUCCAGGGGCUGUAUAAAACCAGGAAUGCAGGUGGGACUGGAGCUUCUGUUACUUACUUUGCAAACCUUGGCUUUGUGAUUAUCUUCAGCCAACAUCCGAUCCAAUAGAGAAAGUCGAUUUUUCAUCUUCAUUGCUUUCUUUGGGAAAGUAGUUGAGUUUGUAAUUGCAUGGCAUUGGGCAGCUACAGCGUUGUCAAAGAGGGAGGCAUCCUUUGGUGCAGCCAAUGCUGAGUUUGUAAUUGCAUGGCAUUGGGCGGCUACAGCGUUGUCAAAGAGGGAGGCAUCCUUUGGUGCAGCCAAUGCCUUCAACUGCUUCCCAAGGUUAAGGAUGGUCUCUUGACACUCUGCCAACUUUUCUGAAGCAGCUGUUAUCUCCCAGUCCUGUAGGAUUGGUAAACAACCCUCAAACUCAAUACAGGUACAUAUUGCAACAGAGAACUGUUUGCACAGUAGGCAAUUAACUCCUUAUAUUAGUUACUGCACUGGUGUUAUUGGAUUUAUACUGAGUAGCAGUCUUGGUGUUGGACAUAUUCAUUUUCAAUUAUAUUUAGCCAGAAGGAAACAAAUCAUGAGAAGUCAUUUUCCUCUCCACUUCUUGUAUUGAGGAUAUUUUUAUAUCGGAUGUAUCUAUGGCAUUCAAAGCUUAAAAAAACUUAAAAUGCAUUUGAAGAGCGGUGAAGUAAUUUGUUCAUCAUGCUCCAGUCUGGGAUCUCCCAGUUUUAGUUUAAAAAUCAAGUUAGCAUCAUGUAAAAUCAAAUACCAUUCCCCGCCAAAUUUGUAUCUAGAUGAAUAAUACUUCAACAUGAUUCCAUUUUAUCCAGAAUAUAUAGGAAAAUAGUGUUCUGAUCUGACAACAAACAAAUGAAUCAACGGAAUAUAUAAACUUACAGUUUGCAGCUGCUUAUCUGUCUGGUUAAUGUCAUUAUUUGUACACUCCUUUGUCAUCCUGAGAAGAUAAAGUUUGAUAUGAGUAUGACAAUAUUCAAAGAAGAGAUUAAAAGCUAAAUGCUUGGAAAUCAUAUGCACAGUAACAAAUAUUGAAAUAUUAGAUUACUGAUACCUUCCAAGCUGGAGCUGAAGCUCAACAUAUCUAGUCUCUAAUUCUUCACAAUAGUGGUUCUUGUUCUCCAGUUCCAUUUCUAAUGCCAAAAUCUUGUGAUGAGCCUCUUUUAAUUCAGUUUCUGUAAGCUGAGAGUCAAUCUCCUCAUUCAUUGAUGCGUGAUUUUGCAUUUGAUCCUCGAAUAUUCCUUUGGAUUCUUUCAUGGUUUGUAACUCCAAUCUCAAGCUGGCAAUAGUUUUCUCCGAUUCCUGAAGUUGAUUCAUUGCUGAUUGAAGCCUCCGUUCCAAGGAUUCCUUUUCAGAUUCAGAAGGGAUCACUUUACCUUUAAUAUUUUUAAGUUCUUCCUUCUCAUCAUGUUGCAUUUCCUUAGUCAGAUCAUGACAAUCUGAAUUAGUUAGUGCAGGAAAACAUGGUAACUGUUCUCUGGGAAGAUGCAACUUAUCUGUGUCUGCAAACAUCUCAGUUUCAGCUUCAUUUUCACUUUGUGUCUCAUCCCAAUCAAAUUGUUUUUUAAUGGCAUCCCUCAUACUUGAAACAUCCUGAAGUGAGAAGCAGUGAUUUAUAACCCAAUCCAAAGCCGUAGUUAGUUCUGUGGCAAAUUUUUCAUGAUCAGCUUUGCCAUUCAGUAAAUCGUAACACACGUGAAGAAAUUUCUGUAAGACAUUACCAAGAUCAGAUGUUUUCCACUGGAAAACUCGUGCCAUGUAGCCUGUUGGAAUUCCUUCAUUCUUAUGUGCAAGGAUAUUUCCAUCUCUUUUGCACAAGGGAUCUGAAUUAUCAAUAUCCUCAUCAGGUACGUUGAUCCCUUCAAUAAGCUCAAUUAUCUUGCCUAUUGAUUUACUCUGAUCUCUCUCAGAUUGUUGUUUAGUUCUCUUUACUGAUGAAAUCUUAGAACCAUUUACUUCACCUGAUGGAUCUACUGCAGAAUUAUGCAAAGGUUGCUGUGAGGUGUGAUCUACUUCAUCAAAUUGACCUGAGCCUUUGUUUGAAUCAAACCCACAUCGAUCUUGAUUAUUUAGAUGCUUCAUAGCCAAUUUAAUAUCUUCAAUUAUAUCAUCAGGGUUCUUAUGAGUGGCACAGUUUUGUUCCAAGAUCACUUUAACUACAUCCUUCAACCAACCAGGAACUUUGUGCUUUAAGUCACUGGAACAUGUUUCCUGAUUUGAUGUUGAGAACGCUGAUAAAUGAUCAGACACUGGAAUGAUUUCCUUACCUAUUACUUCAGAGGUAAUCUCGUUUGAUCCAGUCUCUGAGAAGCCAUUUACUUUAUUAUUUCCUUCUGAAGAAGCAUGAGAAAUUUCAGGGGCUUUUUCGACAGAGACCACUGCUAGUUUCUCCAUUUCAACGAAGUCAUCCAUAAGUUUUAUGUCUGAAGGUCCAACACUUCUGCAUGCAAAUGAUUCCUUCUGUUUUUCACUUCUGAAGUGCUCCAACUCUGAAAUCAAUGCAGAAGCCCAGGAUUCAGCACAGCUAACCUUGUCAUCACUGUCAAUGUCAGACAUCGAUGCCAAAGAGAUCUCUUCCAAUGCAAGAUUGCUUCUAGGCUGCUCCAAGGUCGUUUUACCUUUAGAUUCAAUCUCUGACUCAAGUUGCAACAGUUUAGAAGCUGUGCGAGAAAGCAUUGCCCUGGAGAAUUGGACUUCAUUUGUUUUCCUAUUUAGGGAUUCUCUCAAAGUCUUGUUUUCUUCUUCCACAGAACAUAGUUGCUCAGUCAAAGUAGUGAUUCUUCUAAUGGUAGUCUCAGGAGUGUUUUUUACUGAAGAUUCAAUCAUUAAACCGGUUGAAUGCAACUUGUUCCUCCUCAUUUCAAGUGAACCCUGUCCCAACAUUUCGACUUCCUUUUUCAUUUUUGCCAGUGCAGAGGGACUUGGCAACCGUUUUUUAACAAGAAGACGCAUCCUCUGACAUUCUGAUUCUAACCUGGCAAUUGUUUUCACACUCUCUAAGUGCUGCUUAUGAGAAGCAUUAGCUACUCGACGAGUAAAUUCUCUCUCCUCAUUUCGAAUAUCAAGUUCCUUCUGAAGCACUUGAGCCUCAUACUUCAGAGAAGCAUUAUCUUUCUCAGUUGACUCAAAUCUAAUCAUCAGUGCAAUAUGAUGUGCCUCUGCUUGAGCCAAUUGUCUUUUCAGAUCUUCAAUCAAAUUUUCUUUAGCAAAAACAGAUUUGUUAAGAUGAGAAUUUUCUAUCCCACAUUUAGCAAGCAUUUUACUGGUCUCUGAUAGCUGCUUUUCGAAAACCACACGUGCUUGUUCAAACUCUUUUGAAGUCUUCAUCACAGCGUCAUGAAUCCUCUGCUCUUGUUCUUCUCUGACAAAAUGUAACUGUUGCAUGCAUUCCUUGAGAGAAGCAUCCAGAUGGGCCACUCUUUCUUCAUAAACUAAUAGCUGCUGCACAGAAUCAUCAAGAUGUUGCUUCAUUGACAACAUUUCAGCUUCUGCUUUCUCCCAUCCUUCAAAGGAGGCUUUUAUUAAGAGACUGGUAAAAUUACUCUCAAGAAUAAUUCAUAAUUGAUUAUUAUAAACAAUGUAGAAAUAUUACCUUCCACUGCUUCUUGCACAAUUUUUGUUUGUUUCUUCACCUGCUCAUCUUUUGCAUUACAGUCAGAGAGUGCAAAAGCAAGCUUAUCAUUCAACCUUUUCAAGUCUUUCUCCAGUUUUUCUUUAUCAGCAAGUAGUGCUUGCACCUAAGACAAAAAGUUAAAACAAGACAAAACACCAAUUAUUUUUAUCAAGUAGAAAACAAAACACUUCCACAAAGUUCAGGGGAAGAGUUCCAGGUCUCUAAUAAAUAGGACUCUCCAGAAUUAUUGUGUAUCUUUAAUAACUGUAAACCAAUUCAUCCAUUUUACUGACAAGGAUAGAGAUAGUGUGGAUUGAUGAAGUAUGGAGUUAGUACUCUUAAAGAUGUAUAAGGUUGAGGGUGGAAGGAAGAGUAUUAGAAACCAGCUAAAUCUACACAUGAACCUAUAAAUUCUAUAACACUCAAGGAAAGAACAAAAUAUAUGUGAUCAAAACAGAACAAUUGAUGUUAGUCUUAAUUAAAUUACCUCUUCAUUUUCUUUUGAAGUGAGAUUUGCUUUGUCAUUUGCUAAAAUUGUCUUUUCCGUGGACUUUUUUCCCCAACGCCAUGUCUUGUGAUCCAUAGUUGUAAGAAGGCUUCAAAUGAUGAGAAUCCUCGUGAGGAAAAGGUUUAUGCUACUGUAGUCUUACUGGAAGGAUGAGCUCACUGAACCGAAAUAACAAUAAUGAUAAAAAAUUAUUAUGUACAUGGAAUUUGAGCAGAAGUUAAUCAUCAUACAGAAGCAUAUUACGUAGCAGAAUUUUUUUUUAUUUACAUAAAUAUCUCCAUUGAAGGCAUAUGACAUUCAUUAAAUUUAAACAUAAUAUCAACAUUCUUUUUAAUGAACCUCUGCAUCUUUGAAGAUUUAUUCCAUGCAACAGAAAAGUUAAGAGGAAAUCCCUUUUUUAAUGAAUAUUACCAUUAAAAUGAUGGUAGAGGAACAUAAUUGUAAGAGGUGAGUGCUUUGUUUUCUGACCUCUUAGAAAUGAAGUGGGAGGUUGUGUUUCUUGUGCAUGGAUCACCAAAGACAAAAGGCAGCAGCUGAGACCAAAUGAUGAUGAAAUUCAAUUCUGCCAUGUCCAGUGAAAUUUAGUUCAGGAAAACAGAAAAUGUGAACCAGUUUAGAGUUGAGUGAAGCUAAGAGAAGGUUAAAGACAUAGACAUAAACAAUUAACAUCAUACCAUGGAAUGUUUGAGUGGCAGGAAAAUGACUCAGCUUGAAACGAGCAUAGGCACCACUACUCAAACCAACAACUACCUCAGCUUUUUCUUGAAGUGCAAAGUGGUGGGUAUGGAUACCAAAAAGGAAAAAAAAAAGGAUUAUGAAGUGUAGGAUUAGGAGUCAAGAGCCAACUAGAAAAAUACUAACGAAGUGUUCACUUAGUUUUUUCACAUUUAUUUCAUUUACAUUGGGAUGGGAUGGUAAAAAGAGAUUGGUGUGUUAUGUACUUGAAAAAGAUAACAGAGAUAUGAAAUCAGUGUAAAAAUAUGUGAAGAAAUUAGCACUGCCUCUGAUGAAUACAGAUGACCUUUUAUUAUAAUUUUCCCUCAACAGGGAAAAAAAUCCGGUGAGGGAAGGAAAAGUGUCGGUUUGGUAUGUUGGAUCAUGGAUGAAUGAGUCAUUUGAUGGAGUAACGCAGGACAGGAGUACAGACACUUGUCAUCAACCACAAGUUUGUGUACUCUUACGUAAGUUCAUUACAUGACUAUUACCCGCUUACCAUUAUCACAAUUAAACUGUGAACUAAAAUAUCUAUUAUCUUCUGAUAUCUAUUUAUGACUGUUCCCUUAUUAGACUCAUGUAACCUCAAUUUCAUCAAUCCUAGAAAUUAAGUUAUUGUUUGACUGAGUAUUUAUUCAAGCACUAGAUCAUUAUUCAUUUCCUAUUAAAGUGAAGUAGGUAAUCUAGUUUAAACUUCAUAUUCAAUAAGGAAAAAACUCAUCUGAGUCUGAUAUUUCAUCUGUUAUGGACAUGACAUGUUGCUGCUCAUUGUUAAAGUUAAAACAUGGAUUUUUGACUUUUUUGAAGGAUGCAGAUAGGUGCAUGUCCUUUUCACUUCUAGGAGAUGUUCACCAGGAAGGAACAAGACAAUGUGUACAUAAUGGUUUUUCACUUUUUCUGGAGUCAUUAGUGAAUUUCCAGCAAAAUGACAAGAACCAAAACCUUAUAUACAUGAUCACCCUUUCUCUUGAUACAGGGGAGAAGGGUAUGUAUGUUAAAAAUAAGGUAGCUGGAAUUGUCAAAUUACAUUUGGUCACAAGCUAGAGAGACUGAGGGGCCAUAUAAAUGUUAUCAAUCCAUUAAUAAAGGUUUUGAAGCCCCCAGGAGCAAUGAAAAAUUCACAUUCCAAUGAAUUUUUUUUUAAAAAAGUAAAACAUUAAAUUAGCAUUUAUUCAACAUUUUGUUCCACUUUCCAGCAAGAGAUCAAUACAAGUUCAUUUAGAAGUAUAAAAACAAAAAGUGAUUGUGACAACAAGAACAAAACCUGUGAUUAUUGUUUAAAAUGGGACGAGUUAACUAAGAUCUAUUGCUUCAUACAAUAUAAGCUGUUUAGCCUUGGAUUUUACUCUUGGUAUCCUAUAAUGGCUAUUUUGAUAAUCAUUGAUUGAUAAAGUUGAAUUGUGGGCCCUAAUCUGCCCCUUAUCUUUGGUAGUUAUGAGCCAACUACAACGAAAAGUAAAAUGUGCCAUAGUUGUUUGCACCCACUCUAAUUAGCUUAUGCAGUUAUGCCUCAACCCCUUGUUUUUUUGGGACAGCUUUUGUCGGUCACAACUUUAGAAUAGUCAAUAUAUAUUGUAAAAGCAAAACAAAAUAACUCAAAGUCUUUAUACUCUAAUGUUAUAUUUUGAGUUCUGUAUUGAAAAGUCUAACACAACUCUUCUUUUUUUAUCUAACUUUGGGAUCCGCUUGCAUGCGAAGUUACGUAUUGUUAAAUGUUGUAGUUUGAGUUAUUUUUUUCAUAAUCUAGUUUUCUAUCGAGCUUCAUGAUGUAAGGGGGUUUGAUCUCAUUUAGGGUAUAUUUGGAUACUCACUAUCGCUAAUACUAAUAUGAGUUUAGCAUCGGCUUCGAGGUAAAAAGUAUAUGAAUUAUUAUUUAUAUUGGGAUAUUAUAAAAUUUCUUUUCCAUUUAUGUGCCCGAACAUGUGUUUUGGUAGAUGAGAAACUAAACUAAAAAUAGUGCAUUUUUGUGGUUACGUUGGAUACACCUCAACCAUAUAUGCCUAUGAUUAUUUUUUGUAACACUUGAAUGGCGUUGUUGGGCCAUUAAAUUUAAUAGGAGUUAGGUUGCUGCUGGCCUUGCGAUCUGUUGCUCCAUUUACUGAAAGUGUCAGGAAAUGGCCCACGCUUUUGCAAAAUACAGCCCUUGUCAGACCCUACUAUAUUUCACCAAAUUAAAAAAGACCCUGUCAUAAAAUCCGAAGCCCCACAAUUUUUUUGUCUUUAUUGUUUCUUCUCAUUAAUAUUUUAUCCACACUCAUUUUCACUUCCUCACCAGAAUGAGAAAGAAAUAAAAAAAUCAUUAAGAAAUAUAAAUAUAAUUUCGUAUGUGAUAUAAUGAGAUAGGAAAUCAAACUCAAGAGUCAAGAUGUUGUUUAAGAAUUAAGAGAAAUUAAAAUUUGUAUCACUUGAACCAACUAUCCUUCAGCGACUUUUGAUUUAGUAAAAGAUGUUGUGCCUUCAUUCGUUGUGUUUAACAUCCAUACUACAGAGAUGAAAGAAAAACAAAAGGAAGAACCUCAAUACAUGCGUAGCAUGCCCUUCACUCUUUGGUCUUUUCACAUGUUUUGUCACUCCGUUGUUGGGCUUCUGCCGUUUAUUAAUCCACCUGGAAUACGUUGAGCAAUGCACUUGAAUGUAAAGGAUGACACAUUAUUUGGGCCUACAGUUUGUUGAAGUGACAUCAGAUUAUAAGCCCAAGUAUAGAUUAUUUUUCGGUCAUAUAUGAGAUUUUUUAUUAAACGUUUGAGUUUAAUUUCUAUGCACUGACGGUGUAAAGAUUUUUUACACCGUCAACCAAUCAGAUUUCAAGUAUGCAAGAAAAACUAUUUUUUUUAUUUAAUUUUAUUAAUUGACGUGACACAUCUUACAAUCUGAUUGGUUGACAGUGUAAAAAAACUUUACAUUGUCGGUGCAUCAUCAUUUUUCUCUAAACUUUUAUACGUCGGUAAUCUUCUUUAUUAUUAAACUUCUUUUUUUUUUCUUGCAAUGAAACAUUUGUCAAAAAAAAUGGUAAGAAUUAGGGGACAUGUAGGUUUGGUUGGGGAGGUCCUAAAUGGUGCAAUUUAUCUUUCCGAUGUACCAAAUUUUUUUUUUGUGAAAUUGAAAUAAAAGCAACAAAACAAUAACAUUUAUCCUUAGCUAAAAGUGGGAUAAGAUCCUUAGGGGGUAGGGACCAAAGUGUAUGGAGGUCUAUUGAAGCCAUAUGAUCAACACAAUAUUUAUACUUAUUAUAUUAGUAAAAUUGUGUGGUACAAACAGUAAUGAAGUAAAUAAUUAUCAGCUAUGUUUAAAAAUUUUUAAUUCAUGUAUUUCAUGCAUAUUAUUUGUAAGAUAUUAAAUGAUGAAAUCAUUGGAACAGGAAGAAUUUUGUCGUCAAUAAAGAUCAUAUCUGGCUCAAAUAUGAUUAUCUUAAAGUGCGGUAUGUCUUUUCUUAUUUCAUAUUACAACUUAAAGUACGGUAUGCAUAAGGAUGACAAAAAUAAGUGUGGGAUGAUAAAAAUAGAUUUUCCUUAAAAUGGAUUUGAGUUGCCAAACACUAUAUAGCCUUCAUGCUUAGCUUAGCAAAAAGAAUAUGGGAGUGACCACAUACAUCAAUUCACAAGUUGGUAAAGAGUUUGCGUUUGAACCCCAAACUCGUUCCAAUUAAAGAAAAAACAGUGCACCCCCAAAAUUCAUUGCAUUCAGCAUCGAACCUAAGUAAGAAAAGAACCUUGUGAAACAUUUUUCACCCUACAAAGUUUUGCUUCUUUUGGAAAAAGCAGGUUCCUCUCUCACUCUACUUUUAUUUAGUCACUCACCAAGAUUAAUGUCCAUGACUAGACACCAACCUCUUUGUUUUGGCGAUAACAACGGUUAGAAAACAUUGCAAAAGUCUUGCUAUUUCCAUUAGUAGAAACUCGUAUAUAAGCUUCUUUGAUUAUCAUUAGCCAAAAUGGAAACAUAAACUGUUUGCUUUUGAAAUGAAGCAACAUUAUUGACAUUGAAAUCAAGCAAACAGGGCUGUCCCUCUUUCACGGUCAGUGUCCCUUCUCAUUAUAUUCACUGCUAGCUGGGUAACUCAUGGAUUCAAAAGUGUCAAAACAUCAUAAUUGAUUAUGAAUCUUCGUUGAGAGUAGGGAAGUUUUUCGUUUUCCUUCACACGUAGAAACUGAAUUUUCUAAUUGCCAUUUUAGGAAAAGCAUUUUCGUGUCCACUCAAGUGGAAUGCGAUGUGAAAUCCUAAUCAUAGUAACGUAGUCAUGUGACCAAUCCAACCUAAUAGGCUAAUGUGACUCAAUCCCAAAACCCAAGCAAACGCGUAUACUAAAACAAUUCAUAUGUAUUUAAAUUGGAUGAAGUCCUCUUUUGGGGGGUUUUUAAGUUUAGUGGCACUGGUUCACGUGAAGUAAUAAAUUAUCCUAAAAAGUUUAAGUUGUUGGGCAAAAGUUACGUGAAGAUUUAAUGUCAUGUUAAGUAACUAAUUAUUCUAAAAGUUUAAACUUUUUAAUAAAAGCCACAUAAAUAAUUUUAUAUUAUUAUUUCAAACAGCUUACAAGUAGUUAAAUUAUGUGUUGGGAAUGACUAAGUUAUCCGGCAAUGUUUCGGUGAAUAAGGAUCAAAGCGUAAACGUUGAAAAUCCAACAUCUUGAUUGGUGCCGAAGUAGGAUAAAAUAGGAAAUAAACAAGAACUAAGAAAAAUUUGAAAAGUAAUAAAACAAAGUGUGAUUUGAUCAAAACAAAGAUAAAAAAUGGCUUAAUGACAUCUUGUUUUCAGAGUGUUUAGUAUUAAAACGUCCAACCAAUUGAACAUGGGUGAAAAUUUUCCUUCGUGUAAUCUCGAAUUGAUUUAGCCUUCGAGUCAAAAUUAAAUCCUUCAUUCUUCUUCAAACCGCCCAUAUAUCAAUAAUUCACAACUAUGACCUCCAAUUCUAUAGUUCUCAAAACAAGCUCUCGGAGGUUAGUUUUCUAUUAUUGAUUAGAGUGUCUUGCCGAAAUUUGUUCUGGCUUGGAUAUAUGGAAGUGUCAAUGUGAUUUUUUUAUGACACUUAUGUCAAGUGUAUCUAUAUUUUGUGUCUUGUUAGUAAUCUACUAGCUGAUUGAACUUUGGCGUUUUCGGUUGGUGGGCGUGUUUUGACUCAGAGGUGGGUGGUUUAGGAGAGACCUCUUGCGGAGUUCGUUGCUCUUAAUGUUGAUGGUUACUUUACAAGUAAUCUUGUUAUUGCGGGGUUUGGUAAUUUGGUUCGUAAUGUCCGCGAUAGGGGAAUGUCACGAUGGAUUUCUUAGCCAAGUCUUUGUUUGACUUUGUUCUCCAUGCUUUUCUUCAUUCUUCUUAAUUAUGCUUUGUUUGUGAGCUUUUAGGCUGAGGAAGAGAGCGGGAACGGGAGUAAGCCCUCCUCUUAUUUGAAAUUUCAAAAUUACACAAAAUCCCCAAGUUGAGUAUACUCCACAAAAUAACUAUAAAAGGGUCAUUGAUGGAUCUUAGAUGCUGGUUUCUAUAAAUUCAUCAAACUCUUCUCCCUUAAUAAAAAAGUCUCGAACAAAGAGAUGCAUUCUGGAUUUCUCAUAAGCCUCCUCAUUCAUUUCUUCCCCUUCAAAACUACCUUGCAAACAGAACCUUUAAAGAGUGAUAUUCCACUAUACGCCCUAGACAACUACUAAUAUUAUUAUAGGCUCGAAAUUGUCUAUAAUAAAUUAACAAACUUCAAAGCUCACAAACAAAGAGUAAAUAAAUAAAGAAAACAAAUAACUCAAACGUACAAUUUCAGUUCUGCAAAUGGCAUGAGUUGGUCCCGCAUUUCCCAAAAUAUCUACGAUGAUGCUCCUGAUGAUGCAAGCAUGCAUCUUUUUUUAUUCAUUUAGUCAAUCAAUGGCUUAAGAAAUGUUUCUAUAAGCAUAAAAGAUUUAAGAAUGAGCUAGGUAAUGAGUAUUUUAAUUUUUCUAGUUAAAUAUUAAAAAAACCCUGUGUAUUAUGAUUUUCAAUAAAAAAUUAUUUUAAUACAACUACACUUGUCAGCACGCUAAUCUAGUCAGCUAUACAGUUUUUUAUACAAAAAUAUAGUCAACUAUACCAGGGGCGGACCCACUAAGGGGCCAGGUGUGGCCACACCGGUUUUUAUUGUAUUUUUUUUAAAAUUUAUAUCGUUAAAAAAAAAAGAAAAAUUAUUUAAUUUCUAUCACCAGUUCUCAAACACGCACGCUUCUUCUCUGUUCUCAGUCUCACUCUGCUAGAAGUGCUUCAAUCCUUUGAUUUUAUUUUCAUGUUAUACAUGAUGGUUGAGAUUUUAGGAUUUACAAAUGAUUUAAGUGAAGCACUACAAAAGCGUGAUCAAGAUCUUUUGAAUGCUUUAUCACUUGUCCAAGCCACCAAAGAAGAAUUGCAAGAAAUGAGGAAUGAUGGAUGGGAAGAACUUAUAUCUAAGGUUAUGAAAAUUUGCAAUAAGCAUGAUAUUGAUGUGCCUGAUUUGGAUGCACCGUUUGUGCAAGGGAAGAAACCUAGACGACAUGCUAUCACUUCUAGUGUUUCUAAUUUGCAUCAUUAUAAGCAUGAUUGUUUAUUUAGUGUUUUAGAUUUGCAGUUGCAUGAGCUCAAUGCUAGGUUUGAUGAAGAGAAUACUGAACUUCACACUGAAUCUACCUGAUUUUGUCCACAUUAAUUUUAUGCCUAAAUUUGGUUCCAAUAUAAUGAACGGACUAAAAUGUGAAGGACAUAUUUCUGCAGUUACUUUAUAUGAAGUUUGAAUUAAACACUCCCAUAAUCAACGUACAGUUGCAGGGGAUGUAUGAAUGUUAUGUUGGAUUUGUUUUCUACAUGGAUGAAUAUAAUGUGGGAUCUCUUUCAUUAUUGUAGAACUGGCAGGAUUGUUGGACUCUUGUUAUUGUUGGUUUAAGUAAUUUGCUGGACUUUUGCAAGGUGCUGUUUUGGCAAAUUGGACUAUAUUGUAAACUCUUCUAUUUCCAUGAGAAACUUUCUCUCAUGGUUUUAUCUAUAAUAUUUUUCUUUUAGUCUAUAAUUGCUUUUAUGUUUAGCCUCACUGAUAUUCAAAGUCUGGAUCCGCCCCUGAACUAUACCAACAUAAGAUAGGUUGGAUUAUUAUUCUUACAUUAUAAUGGUACUAGAAUUGCUGCUACAACACCAACGAGGUAUAAAGCUUCGGAUUUGGUUGGUCAAGUGCAAGUUGUUACGUUGUGUAUUUUUAUUUAAAUUACAACUAGGGAUUGCACAAUUUUAAAAUCCAUCCACCCCGGCAUAAAAAACAUCCACUUGGAAAAAGAAAAAAAUCAAUUUCUUUAACCAGCACUCAUGUUCACGUAAAAUCCAAACAACACCUCUGCUUCAUUACCAAUUCACGUUGUUACUUGUUCCCUCCAACACUCACAACACACAAGCCUAGAAUCAUUGAACCCAACCAAUCCACUAAUAAUCAAUUAUGCUCCUGCUUCCAUAAAGGUACUUAUAUCCAUUAAUAAAAGCGCAGCCACCAAUUAAUAACACUGGUAAAUAGUUGAGUUUCUUAAGCAUUUAUAAUUCAGUGUUCGAUCCCUAAAUGAUAUGUAUGAAAAAAAAUACUCACUCGGUUUCUAAUAUUUUAUUGUUUUAACUUUUGGCCUAAUUUCUAAAACUUUUGUUGUUUUACAAACUCAAUACAUUUUUUCUCAAUUUAUUUCAUGUAUAUACUCUCAUUUAAUAUUAUAUCUCUUACCUACCACAUAUUAUUUUCACAAGUUUCUUAACUAAUAACUAUUAUUAUCUUUUUUCACUCUAAUUCAACAUUAAAUAGGAGUGUGUUUAUAUCAACAAAUAUACCAAUGAUUAUACUCUUAAAUAAUGCGCAUAACCUUAAACAAUAAAAGAUCGAAAACAAGAGAGUAUUUAUUUGAAAGAUCUACCUACUUAAAAGAGUAAUGAUAUAUACACACCUCAUUUUUUAAACACUCAAUUUCCACAUCUUUUUAUUUCUAUUUCUCACAUCUUCUCAUCUAUCACAUCUCAUAUUUUUUCUCUCUUAUUUUUUCUUUUCUUCAUAUCUCUCUCACAAUUCCACCUCUCUACCUCAACCUCUCUACCUCAAAAGAGAGGUGUGGAUGAAACAUUACUCUACUUAAAAUGAUCUUUGUGAAAAUAUCGGUGGAAGAAAAAAACAUGUUAAUUAAUUGACAUAUUGGUAUUUUAUCAGUUACUCUUUCUCGUAAAAGGUAAAAACUGACAAGGUACUCAAACCCCACAAGCCCCUUGCCAUUUAUACCCUUUUGAUCCCUUCCUCUUUUUCCCCUCUCUUCAGUGUCCUUAUGGAGCCUUGUGAUAGGUCUCUCUCGUCAUAAUAGUAGCCUUUGUCUGACUGCUUUUGGCCAAGAGAACUGAUUCAAAGGACACCCUUCAAUCUUGAUAGAGACUAUUCAUCACCAUGCUUUCACAUUUCCCACAAAUUCACCCACUUUGCAUCCCACAUCACAAAAAACUCUUCUUCAUUUCUUUUUCUAAUUUUCAUUUUUAAUAGCUAGCUAGAUGUACACUAUAACUAUAUAUAACAGUACUGUAUAUUUUGUCUCAAUAUUUUUCGUGAAGCUAAAAUAACCUGAUGAAUCGCCCUAUUAAUUAAUGAACCAAAGCUUGAAAGCUAGCAUAUGAUAUAGCAUCUUUAUAUAAGGAACGAAUUGACAACCACGUGUUUGUGAUAGCUAUGCAUCCCAAAGCAAGAAACGUAUAGGUGGUGUCAUAAAUACCAUAACACAGAAAAAUGCAACAAAUAAAUCAUAGUUUAUAUAUAAAAGAUCAGAAAAAUUUAGUCAGAGCUAGCUAGCCCUGAUGAAUAUCUAGUAUCUCUGGUUAAAAGAUUUCGUCGGUUUGUUAGUUUGACUGACCCAGAUCAAGACAAAUGAGAGUUCCCAUAGCUUUUCCCCUUUUCACUCUUUCAACUUUCUCUAUGUUGUGCUUCCAUUUGUACAUGCUCACAAAAAGAAGAUUAUUUCAAUGGGAACAAAUUGAGUGAUUUUCUUAAGAGGGUCUCAUGAGAGGGUGGAAUCCAUUUUUGUGCAGCCAAACUUGGGAUGGUCUUAUCUGUGGUGGGAAUCCUGAUGAUGCUGCAGCAGUUGCUAACAAAUGUGGAGGUCCCAUUUGCCACUGUUGCUGUUGCUGUUGCUGAUCGGACAUUGAUAGUGAAAGAUCACUUCCAAUUCGGCCUCCAUUGCUGCUGCUGCUCGGAACCUACAUAAUACACAACAAAUUAUAUCUGGAUCAACUUCUUUUUCUUCAGAAUCAAUUCUCAAAUCAAGAAGCAAGAAGUGAACAUGCCCUAAUUAAAUUCAACAUGGAUCCUAAUUAACAAGAAGGAUGCUUCCUGAUUCAUCUCUCAUUUAUAUAUACAAUUAAUAAAUUAGCUAAAAGAGAAAUUAAUUGAAGAGGUACUCACAUGAAAAUUUUGGGGGUGAAGGUGUGCAAAAUUGUGAAGAAAUUGAGGCUCUCCUGGUGAUCUAUAUGGACCAUAUCUGUGAAUUGCAUUGGUGGGUGGAGAUUGGAGGUGAGUUUGGCUUAGAAGCCAUGAGGCUUCACUCUCUCCGUGUCCAUUUACAUAGCCUUCCAUGUUGCUUAUACUACAUGGUUUUGGUAGUAUAUUCACCAGCUGAACACAAAGGCCAGGGUGAUUGAUUCAGGUAGAAUUCAAAAGAAAAAUUAAGUGCACUAAUCAGCAAAUAACAAAAUGUUAAGUUGUAUCAUACUAACCUUAGCCUUGUUUCCCCCAUUUCGCCACUGAGAUUCUGGUGGUGGCAGAUGCUGAUCAUUCGCAGUAUUUGGGGCGUGAUUCCCCAAUGCUUGACCAUUGCUAUGCUUAUUAGAGCCUGAAUUACCCAAACUCAAAUCCAGAUUAUGAUCAGCAGGUUUGCCCGAGGAUUCUGCCACCCAACAAUUAAUAACUUCAAUUAGUAGCUGUGAUUGUGAUUAGUAAAAUAUAAACACUUCAGUGCAUAUAAAUCUUACAGUUCAUUUCAUACCAGAAUUGAGCUCAUUAUCAUAGAUGCUUGGGUCGAAAUUGGUGACGGCCUCUUUGCCAUUAGAUUUUAUUGCUGCCUUGUCAUAUGCCCUAUAUACAAAAUGUGACCAAAAAAGUUCAAAACCCUAGCAAGCAUUUAGAUUCAUGGAUACUUUUAACUAGCAAGAAGCAAAGCACAUACCUUGCAGCUUCAACCUCAGUGUCAAACAGACCCAGAUAAACAUACCUGGUGAAUGAAAUCAAAUUUUAUGGCAUAAAUAAACAUACAUGAAGUUCAGGUCAAAGAACAGAAGUAGAAAAUUAUAACUAGAACCUACUUUUUGCCUAAAAAUUGGCCCAUUCUAGCCUCCCAUCUUCCACACUUAUGCAAAGUUACACCUCUAUACUUGGAGCUUCCUCUCGGACAUCCCGUGCUUUGCCGGCGAAGUACGUGCACAAACUCUUCCUUAGUUAGAUUACUCAUCUAUUAACAUAGCAUUGAACCAGAUAACAAUCACAAUUCAACAUGGAAAAAUUAAUGAAGUAUAUGUUUGAAUAUAUAUAGUGGAAAACCAAGUUGAGGCCAAAAUCACCCUGAACAGAAGCAUUUUCCCUUAGUGUCAACCAUAAUUUUGGCCUCACCAUGAGUUUUCCAUCCACAGAAUCUCUCUCACCUGCUUCAAGUCAUCUUCAUAGUCUUCAAUGUUGAAGUUUAUGUCAGCCUCUACUCCCCGGAACUUAAUGGCAGCUCUAUCAUAUGCUCUGGGCAAACAUAGAUGAAUGAACACAACCUUAUAUUUCCUAAAAUGGAUUUUUAUAUGGAUUUGCUUGGAGAUACAGAAAAGUAAUAUCAUAAACUGAGCAAAGAAGGAGGGAAAGAGAGAGAAAGCAAGUGCUCACCGAGCAGCAGCAUGUGCAGUGUCAAAUCCACCUACACAAAAACCACCCAGACAAAACUUUCUCAUCAGUCAUCCCUGAAAAUUUCCCCCAUAAUAAUAACACCCUCUUCUCUGUCUCCCAAAUCAUAACCAUCACAAACUAUAAUCAUUCAACAAAAAAUAAAUAUAAUUAACUACUCACUUACCCAGAUACACUUGUUUUCCACAAUCCCUGAAGAACAAACAAACAAGCAGAACCAUAAAAUUUCAGUGUUGAGAAAACUAGUAAUGAAUUUCAGGAUUGAAGAUACAAAGUACUAACCAUAUGUGAGACUCCCAUCGACCAGUUCUUCUGUAAAAAGUAACUCCUCUAUACUGUGAGCUACGCGACCUUGGUCCUCGGCGACUCUUCUUCAACGGCUGCGACACUUCAACUGAUUUUCCGUUUCCGGCACCGGGAGCUUCCGAUUGACAGAAUUUAACUCCUACCCAGUGAGCACGAGGGAAGGAAGAAGAGCUUCCACCACCACCACCGGAGGGUGUCGCCGUCGCCGUGUCCGCCCCCUCCACCGGAAAAAACUGGCGGGUCACCGGCGGGUUGUCAGUAUCCAUGGGCUCGUUAUCAUCAUCAUGGGUGACAGAGAAUCCGAAUAUCUUGUUUCUUCUGCCGACCAGGCUUGAAUUGGAAAGAGAUCCAAGCCUCUUAAACGAAUUCGAACACUCCUCUGAUUCUGAAUCUUUUCUCUUAACAGGGGAGCCAUUCAGAUCCCACAUUCUUCUUCUUCUUAUUCUUCUUCACUUCUCUGAUAUCAACAACAAACAAAUCACUCAGAAUUUUCAGCUCAAUGAAUCAAUCAAUCAUCCAGAUUUCUGAUUCUUCACAUCUCUCAAACCAAGAAAAAAGGGAGGAAGAAGAAACAAUUGAACUCUGUUGUUGUGUUGUUGCUCCCUACUGUGUAUGCCAACACUCUUUGUCUUGGGUUCUCUGCCUGAGAAUAAAAUAAUGGAGAUAAGGAAAAAGAGAAGCUAGUUGCUGAGAAAUGUUCAGAACUGUGUGUGUGAGAAAGAGAGAGGAAAGAAAAAACCAAACCUACGACGAGUGAGAGAGAGAGAGUGAGAUGUUGGAAAAAGGUGCUAAUAAAGAAGGAAGCUGAUCAAAGAUCUUUGAAUUCCCCUAACUGCCCAAUUCAGCAUACACGAGGCCACUUUCACCUAGCUUAGCUCUCGGGUAUCCACUGCUGACAGUAGUAACUAAAUAUCUCAUCAAGUGUAUUGUACUAAGCAGUUAACGACUAGUCACAACGAUCGAACUUUUGACCUCGUGUUUAAAGAACGAUGUGAGCAACCACCACACCGCGCUGCAUCUUCUCUUGGCUCUUUCUAUUGUUUAAAUUAAUUUCAUUUACAUAAUUAUGAAAUUUCAAUUAAUGUCGAUAUCUAUAUUUUGUUUUGCUUUCUACUGGAGGAAAGUCAUUUUUUAUUUCCUUGUUGUGCCAAUACGUUUUUUUUAAGAAUCAGUGUACUGCUGUUUAUUUCCAUUUUAACAUGCUCAUUGAAUGAGUUGUGGUUAAAAUAGGGAAAGAAAGAACCAUCUCUUUCUUUAAACAACUUUCCCACGUUAACCAAAUCGAAAAGCAUCUAACUAUCUUGCAAGGAAAUAGACAGCGCAAGGAGUUCUAAAGAUGAAUGAUUACUCCAAAUAACCUUUUGUUAACUUCUUCAUCUUCUUAUUAAGAUUUAAUUAUUCAUGAUUAAUUGUCCUACUAUUUUAGUAUUUUUUAAUCGGAUUAAUCUCCUUUAAGUUUAUAUACAUGGAAUUUGUAACUGUGCUGCAGAUAUUUUAGACAGAAAUACCUGUGUUAUUUGGUUGUGUGUGAAAAGGGUCCCCUAAAUCUCUGCUCCAUUUUAUUUGUUCAGAUGUUUUGGACUAUAUACUGUCUAGAUUUUUUGAAUGCAAUUAUUAACCUUGCAAAAAAUCAAAAUCAGAACAUUAAGGUGGUGAAUGAAUCAAGCAUCCACGCUAGCCACACCUCCUCCAACCAUUUUUAUCUUUUUAGGAUUGUGACUAAGUUUUUUAUUUUACCAUGUGGGGGGAUGCUACAGGUACAGGGGGGUCAAAAGAGGAAAGUAAAUAGGGGUGAUAGAGGAGGGUAUUUUGGGGAAGAAGUAAAAGGAAAUGAGAAUAAUAAUGGAAGUAAAAGGAAAGUGUUUCUACAAAAGUCCAAUCCAAGAGUACGGGAAGAGGGCCAUCUUUCCCUCUUUCGUUCGCCAGUGCCUGUACCUCGUAUUUAUUAGCCAUUCCUUACCACUACUACGUCACUCUCCUUAAACUGCGCGUGUUCUCCCAACAUUACUUUGCAUUAUUCAUUUCUGCCUCAAAAUUAAUUUGCACAAGUUUUGUAUUCUUGUGAGUGAAAAUGAUGAACAAUUCGUUGAUUUUGUUCCAACUAAGAUCAAGUAAUCUCAUGACAAUUUGAAAAAUAAUGAACAAGUAAGGCGGCUUAGGGUUAACAUUGCGCUCAGAAAAGUACUUUGUAUAAUAGCUUUACAUAAAAUUUGCUAACACAAUAAAAAUUUAACUCAACAUUAUAUAUACAUAUGUUAUUGUUUAUUUACUUGACACACUACUUAUUUUUACUAAACUCUGUGAUUUUUUAGAUUUUGAGAUCUCCUCUUGUUCGUUUAUUGAUUUGAGUAUAUAAGUAUUUUCUGCAAGUACACCUUCAUUAUGACCACACAACUUUGUCUCACCUACAAAGCCAAGUCAGGUUACACGCCAGCUUUGAAGAUUAGGAGAGCUCAUAAAUCUCACAAUUUUGUUUUCCCAAUUAAAAGGUCAUACAUAUGAAAACAACGAGCUCUCGAUAUUUUUCUUCCAAAAACUAAUAUGAACACAAUUAAUUAAAAAUGAAUCUAUUUAAUGUAUAUGGGAAAAAAGAUAGACACAUGGAUUUUAUACAUUAAUUUGACAUGAUUUAUGUUAAUUAUUUUUUGGGUAUCUUCACAGCCGACAACCAUAAGACUAAUUUUAUAAGACUUUAAGAUUAUGUUAAGUGAGUAAGUCUCUUCCAACAACUCCCUCUAUAUGCACUGCCCAAAGAUUGAACGUGGACUAAAAUUAAUAUCCUCCCAAUUUUUAAGAUAGAACCCUGGACUUUAUGAUUAUGUUAAGUGAGUAAGUAUCUUCCAACAACUCUCUAUAUGCACUACCCAAAGAUUGAACCCCGGAAUAAAAUUAAUAUCUUCCCAAUUUUUAACACAAAAAAUAUAGCUAUUUUCUAAAUUUUAAAAUCAACACUGAAAAUAGAUGAAUGAAAUUAUACUCACCACAUGGGAGCGUUAUCUUACUCUAAAAUCAUAUGAGGUAGAAGUAAAGAUUUAUUUUACUCUUUUCAUAAUAUCUUUUUGUGUUUCCCGAAAUCUUUUAAUAAUAUACUAGUAACAUUUAAGUUUUUAAAAAAUAGAAAAAAAAUACUAUUUUUUAAAUUGAAUUUUUGUGAAAAUUUGAAUGUUUUAUUAUUUUAAGGUGAGCUAUCUCAAUUACUUAAGAUAAAUAUUAUGUAAAAUUAUUGCUUAGUUUGUCAAAUAAUAUCUUAACAAGCUUGCUUGGGAGAAGGGGUUUCGUAGAGUUCUCUGCAAUGUGGACUGUGCUGAUUUGGUAACAGUUUUGGAAGAUGCUAUAGCAGUGCACUACUGCACUUUCAUGCAGAACUCCUGGUGCUCUUUCAGAUUUUACUAUUGUUGCAGGGAGCUUGGGAUGUAAAGGUCAAUUUGAUUUACUGGGAUAGCAAUGCACUAGCAGAUUUAUUGGCAAGACGUGGUGCUUGCAGCAUUUCCUAUGGGUUUUGAGUUAUUGAUAUCCCCGAUUAUGAUAUUAAGCUCCUUCUUUUGAAGUCUCGUUGUCGGUUCCUUAGGUGUUCUUUAUUUUGUUGUAAUUUUCUAAUGCAUCAAAAAAUAAUAUCUUGACGUGUGAUUUGGAAAAUUCUAACUUAUGAUAGAUAUUAAAAUGUCAAUAAAUCACUUGAGUUAAAGUAAUUUUACCCAAUAUUUAUCUCUGGUGAUUUAAACAACCUAUUUUAAUGUAAUUAAUUUAGUGAAAAUUUGAUUUCAAAGAGAAGUACUGAAAAUUUGUUUCCACACCAUCAAUGAUGUGAAAAUUUACUUCAAACAACAAUAAAGUACUUCAUCCGUUCUAAAAUAUAUGUUGUUUAAGGUUAUGCAUAUGUUUAAGAACCAAUUAUUUGAUAAAUAUUUUGAUUGAAAUAUCUCUAUUUAAAGUUGUGUUAUGUUAAGGAGAGAUAAAUGUUAUUAUUGGUUAAGUGGAUUGUAAGAGUUGUGAUAGGUGAAAAUUGAAGGUGAGAACUAAGAGAUACUCCAUCCGUUCCUAUUUAACUGUUCACAUUGAAAAAAAAAAUGUUUCUAUUUAACUGUACACUUAGCAUUUCAAGAGAGCAUUAAAUGAUGUUUUUACAACAAAUGCCCUUGUCAGUACAAUAAAUGAGGAGAGAUAACACGUACUUUAAAGGGUAAAAUAGAAAAAAUAAUCUACACUUUUUCUAAAAGUCAACAAAAUUAAUCACACCCUUAAUAUGUGUGUCUCAACUCAAAGUGAACAGUUAAAUAGGAACAAAUAGAGUAUAAUACUAAAUGAGGGUAUAUAAGGAAGAAAUAGAGUGCAUUGAUUUUGCAAACAACUUAUAUUUUGGUAUAUAGUAUAAAUUCUAAAACAACUUAUAUUUUGGAAUGGAGAAAGUAAAAACUUACUUCAACACCGACAACCAAUUUAUAGAUAAACCAUAAACGCAUUCGAUAACAAAAAAAAGAUAGUUGUCAUAAAAUGCAUUAAUCAAACUUAAGUUGUAAUAAAUAACAAUAACUUUCUCCAAUUUAUCAUCAAAGAAACAACGACUUAAAAAACCUUAAAGAAGUAAGUUUGUCAACUGCGACUUUAAAAACCUUAAAAGAAGUAAUUACUGUUAUUGACGACUUUAACUAAUUAACACCUUGAUUCAAUGAAUGAAAGUCAUAUUUCUUAUUCAUGAUUUUAUUAUAAAAUUCAUUAUAUUAUCCUCUUGUUCAAAUUAUACUAAAAAAAAAAUACUUCAUCCGUUUUUUUAUUAUAAGUUACUUUACGUGAAAUAUUUUAGUUCCUAAAUAUAAGUUUUUUUUAGAUCUAGAAAACCGUAAAUAUCCUUUUUUUUUUUAAUUUACCCUAAUAUUUAAUAUGAAAGAGAUGUUGAAAUUUAGAAUAUUAAUUUAGAUGGAGAAAUUUAUAGGAAAUUAAUAAGGAUAAUAUAGGAAAUGCUAAUAAAUUCUUUUUUAAAUUUGUUGUUAGUAAGUUUUUUUUUAAAAAAAAUUGCUGUUUAACCACUUUUCUUAAUUUAAGAGAAAUAAUUAAGUAAAAGUAUCUUAUAUAUGAACGGAUGAAGCAGUAAGUAGUGAGUUCUACGCUAUAAAAGCUAGUCACAUAUCACACUGCACAUGUAAAAAAUCCAAAGUUGACAAUUAUAGAUGUUUAAAUUUCAUUAUUUCAUUAUCUUAUUUUGAUAUUUGAAGAAGUGGAGAAGAAUAAAGCCACGUCACAUAGCACACCCCAGACAAAAUACUCACUCAACAAAUCCAACCUCAGAAAUUAUACGAACGUGCUGAUAAUAUAAACAGCAUCUCUCUCUUUUUUUUUCUCUCUCUCUCUCUCUCUCUCUCUCUCUCUCUCUCUCUCAUGAGUGAUGAGACAAUGAAAUGAGUGGAGAACAGAAAUUCAAAGGCAUAGCAAACCUUCCCAUAAUGGAAGUGAGACGAGGCUAUCUCUAAUAGAUUGUUUGCCCCAAGUGGAAACAAUACCAGCGAAGUGGGCCUCUUUUCAUUCAAUUAUUCAAGCCCAGGCCCACACCUUUCCCUCUCAUGCAGGCCCACUACCAUUAUUAUCCUCACCUAUAUGUAUCCGACCUAACUUUCCUCCCUUCACUUUAAAAUUUACAUAUUAUCACUCACACCUAACUUUUGUUUCACUAUUUUGGCACUAUGAUCAUACACCUAUAACGGUGUCUGCAUAUUACAACUCCAAACUAACAAAAAAAUGGAUCAUUAAGGUUCCCUAUCUCUCACCAUGUCCGUGAGGACCCUCCUCAAUUUCCCGUUCCUAUAUGAUUACUAGUGGACAAGCAUGAUAUGCCAUGUCUUGUUUGUUUAUUUUCCACAUAAUGAUAAUUAUUAUUACCAAGUUUACAUAAAUCUUGUCUCUUCGUCACACCUAUUCUUGGAUCAAGAUGACUGAGUUCCAUUUUUACGUUGAGAAGACCGAGUUACAAAUAAGGGUUUUUUAAGGCAUGUUUCACUUUCACUAAAUGCUUCAUGUGUCGGGGGGCUUAUGUUUCAGUGUUAGCCUCACUGAUCUUAUUGGAUAUAUAUGCAACCUAAUAUGCAUGAUUGAAUAUAUUUAGUGGGUACAUCUCUGAUGAUUAUGUUCGUAUGAAAGUCAAAGCAAACAAAUGUGCGAUGUCUGAUUAAGCACAAAGAACCAAUCAAUAAUAAAGAAUACAUGGAGAAACCAUUAAAAUCAGUCAUACGACCCUAAAUAAAUUUUUGGCUAGGUCAUGAAUGUCGUGAAGAGAUGACCAAAAAAGGAAUCAUGAUAUGCGUGAUUCAAUUUUGUAAUUAUGUUUGACUACUUAUAGUAAUUAAGGAGUUCAAUGUUCAUUCUUUGUUAUUCUGGGUUGAGUUAGCUAGGGUUUGGUAUCCUAACUUGUAUCUUGGAGGCUUAUUGUGAGAACAAUACUAAAAUUGGAUAUUAAUUGCUUAAUGUUUCUCUAUGUUGAAAGUUUUUUUUUUUAAAGCUCUAUGUUGAAAAUUGACAUUCCGUUGGUUGUAAGAUACAAUUAAUUUUAGGCAAACUUUUACAUGCUGGUUGGUGAGGGAGGGUUAUAAUGCUGUUUCUCUCAUAUCCAAUCAAUGAAUGCCAAGUGGAAUUAUGUGCCAUACCAUUUUAACUUAUAAAUUUUUUAAGUUAGUCCUCAAACUAUUUACCAUAUGCUAAGUGCUACCCCCACAUGAUAAGUGUCAAUCUUACGUACUUUCCACCUUUAUUUUGGCCACUUAUUUAACGUGUGUGCUUCAUUUAUAUAUCAUUUAACCUCAUUUUAGUAGUUUAUUAUAAAUCAAGUUUUAGGUUAGAUUUCAUGUCAAAUACUAGUUUAAUCCCCAUAUUUUGUGUAGGAAAGCAUUGGUUCCUUAAUGCUUGAAGCUUGCUUGAAGCAGGGAAAAUACAGAAGUGAAGAUGACUUCCUUGCUCAAGGAUUGCUUGAAGCAAUCAUUUUACAGCAAAGAUAUUAUUUUCCAGUGAAGAUUGCUUGAAGCAUGCUUGAAGCAAUGUUAAGACGGUGGAGAAUUCUUCACAACGAAGGAAAGCUUGCUUGAAGCUGCUUGGAGCAAUCUUGAAGAAACCCGAAACAGCCAUGAACACUAUAAAUAGGGGAGCUCGAAAUUUAUCAAGGGAAUUGGCCAUUUUGCUUCAUUUCUAGACACACCCAAAUAGAGAAAAACAAGGGAGAAAGCUUAGGAGUCUGAAGCGGAAGCUUGGGUGCCGGAUUCGACGGCGAGACAUCGCGGAGUCUUCGGUUAUUAUUUCUUCUUCUUCAUGAUUUUAAAGCUAUCCAUGAAAAUGGAUAGCUAAUCUCUCUUUGUUGGGAUUGGUUGUAGCCUUUUGGCCUUUAUGCACUCACUUUGAACUUAUAUAUAUGAACCUAUGUUUCUAUGGAUGGUUUCAAUGAUUUUACUUUGUUCUUAAUGCUUAUUUUAGCUUGAUCACCUAAGACAUGAAAAUGGAUUUGAUAAGUUUAGUGAGAACUAGCUAAUUAAAUCUGAUCUAGGUAAAUAUCAUCUAAUGAAUCUAAGAUCUAGAGAUAGGAUUGGAUCAUUAGUCAAACUAACAUCUAUGUUUAAUGUUUCUUGCUUUGUUAAUCAAUCAAGAGAUUGAUGAUUAAUUUAGUAAGAUGAUGAUCUUCACAUAGGGAGACCGUGUAGCAAGAUAAGAUAUGAUGUGAUGAAACUAAUCAUAGUACAUGGUUUAUGUAGGAAAUCUUAGAAUGCAUUUGAGUUCAUCGGUGAAUUCCAAUUCCAACAAUCGUCUCCUCUUGAUUUUAAACCUCUUUUAUAUCGUUUUGUUAAGGCUUUUCACUUAUUUUCAUGUUCAAACAAACAAUCAAUCUUUUUUGAAAACCAUCGUUUGAGUUUGUUGACUAUUGAACGGCGUAAGUAUUACACCUCCCUGUGGAUAUAACAAAACCCUUUACUAUACUACAACUGAAUCUUGAAAGAGAUUCAAGAGUACGUGUGGUGAAAACUCUUUCAACACCACACCAAACAUAUGCAUCACUGGCACCUUCUGUUUCCCUGAUACAGAUAAUUGGUAUCAAAAUAUAAUCCAAGGAAGUAACGCCACUCAUAGACUCUUUCAAAAAAAAAACGCCAACUCAUAGACCACCCCUCAGUAUUGAGCUUGCACUAGCAAUUAAUGGCAACAAAAGACUAAAUUCUAUGAGGUGCUUCACACAACCAGAAUCAUGAGUCCAAAAGCUAAGGCAGACUCCCCAGCACAGAACGAACAGAGGAGGUGAUCAGAUCCCUGUAUUUAAUUGCCAAGAUCUGUAUUCCUCUUUGUACAGCAAAACCGUCAAAACGCCUAUCUCCGACGCCGCACAAUAGUUCAAGACAUGACAGACUCGACGAGUUAAGCCACGGUGGGAUUCUUUCUUUGAUCUUAUUUUUAUCUUCCCCGACCCCUGUUUUUUCCGCCACCAUCUUCAACCUCCGUCAUUGUUGGGAUGACGACGAUAAUGGGUGAGGNNNNNNNNNNNUGGAUUCGCUUUGGACCCCCAAUUUCUCCAGAAAUCCAGUUCAGAUGGGUUCGACGAAGCAUCGAUUAAACCCCUUUCCAUCUGGGUUGUGGGAUAAAAUUAAUUAAAAAACAUAAAUAGUUGAGGGAUAAAAGGCACAACCUAAGAAGUUUAGGGACCUAAACUUGGCAUAAUAAAUUUACUAGUCAAAGUGUCAAACAAAUGAUUUGGCAUCUUUCUAUUGGUCAUUAAGUGGGGGGCAUGACUGCUGUUUAAAAUACAAACAACAUUUUUAAGUUUGCCUUAAUUUUAAUAGUGUGCAGGUUAAUUGCUUUUCGAUUUUGCCUAAGUGUGUGUCUAAGUCAAGGAUAAAGUCGUGCCAUCUGCUAAUUAAUAAAAAUGAUUAGUUAAAUCAGAAUGUUUAUGUGGCCUUAAUUUAUAGGUUCAAGCAUACUGCAGAAUCAAGACUCGUGAGCUACAAGGAUGUGCCAGAGUUCAUUGUAUUUUGCCAUAAAUUAAUUAUUUUAUGAACUCUGGAUUAUGAAUUAAUGAUUCACGGUUUGAUAUAGAAUAUAUUAAUGCUCACGGAAGAGACAAUGCAUUGUCUGUGGCAGCAUAUCUCUACUUUUGCGUAAGAAAGAAAAAAAGGACAUAUUCAAAGAGUAGCGUCUUGUUUCAUUGACAUUAUCGAAUGCGAAUAUUAUAUGUAUCAUGUGUGACAUGAGUUCAUGUGUACUUUCUAUAUAUAGGAAUAAACAUUUUCCAACCAUAGUGUAAUUUGAUAAAUGUAGAAAGGCUAUGGGAAUCCUAUGAAAUGAUAAUUAUUCUCCCUUGUCAUAUCCUUUACAGAUUACUGCAUCUCAUCAUAUGUAUGAUAAGAUUAUUGAUUGUGCUUUUUUACCAAACAACUUGGGAUAUUUUAAUUUUUCAUGAUACCGUGAUGACAAUUAUUGAUAAAAUAUGUGAACACCUAUGCAUAUGGCACAUUAUCUUAUAUUAUGUUAUGUGUAGAUUGAUACUUUGAUAUGAUUUAAAUGGUGGUGUAUGCAUCAUAUAAAGUAAAUAUUGGAUAAAAUACUCCUAAUUUUACGUAGUUCAAUAAUAUUAUUUACACUCAUUCGAUGAAUAUUUUUAUAUAAUUUUUUUUCUUUAAAUAAGCUUAUCUGUAGAGUGGAGAAAAGAGUUAUCAUUUCUUAAUUUUUUCUUUAUAUAAUCUCUUUACCUCUCCGACCCACAAGAUGAUGAGACUUGCUCUCUAGCCAACUAAUCUCGUCGAUCAUAUAAUUGUGAUAUGCACACACUCCCAUUACGAGAAUGAAAUGACAGAGACGAUGAGGUUAGUCCAUAGAUUUUAUUCCUUUUGGUUAACAACUGACUAUGGAGCUUGUUGUGUUCCUACCCCGACUUUCUCUGUUGCGGGCAUUCCCCAUAUAAUUUGGGAGUUGAUCUAGGCUUGUAGUGCCCUGACGAUAUUUUUUAUUUUUUAUUACUAUACACACAAAGGAGGAGUUGGUGGUAGAGUUCCUAUAUGUACUUUGAAAAAUCCCUCCUACAAAUGAAAGAGCCAGAGUCCACCUUAGAAGGUGAGAGCUAACCUAUCACACCACCGAGGUUCCACCCUACUAUCAUUAUGACUUUGCAAUAUUACUCGGUUCAACUCAAUUUGUGACAUUUUCUCUAUCUAAUAAUCUUUCAAAAGAGCUACUACUUGCGCUUUUGUCUUUAUUGUCUAUAUCUCCCUUCUAUUUGAUUUUGCUCUAUUGCUAUUUCACUAGGCUCUACAUAAAUUGAAUCAACCGUUAAUAUUUUACUUGCUCACUUAAGCACAUGUUUAAAUCUUUUGGGGUACACAAGUAGACUUAGAAAAUGUAUGAAUUUACUUGCUCACAUUUUUAAAUCUCAUUUUGGGUACACAUGCUUUUUUUUUUUUGGUCAAUGGGUACACAUACUUUUAAAAGACCUAUUUUUUUAAUGGACUGUAGACCAGAAAAUGUAUAAGGCCUUAUUGCAGUUCAAGCCCGUUAGUGGAAGUACGUAUUUCAAAAACAACUUUGAUUUUUGCCCAACCCUUGAUUUUUUUAUUUUACCUUUUUAGAUAUACUGAUAUUAAAUGCUUGUAGAUUAUUAUUGUAAAUUUGGCACAUCAGGAAAUAAUGUAAACUGUUUAUAUAAUUUUUGAAUAAAUAAAUGAAAACUAAUCAUUGGAUCUUAAUUAUUUUUAUUUGAAGUAUCACCUAACUGAAAACAAGUAAACAUGGUUGGUGUAAAUUAUCUUGUUUUUGUGGCACUUGAAAAUCGUACGGUCGAUAUUUAGAGAUAUUUAUUUUGUUUAAUUAAUUACUUUAAAUGUGGUGUUAUGUAAAUGUAAUAGGGUGGAAAAGGAAAGAAAAUUGACUUGCACUUUGAUUCAUUAUUAUUAUUAUUAUUAUUAUUAUUAUUAUUAUUAUUAUUAUUAUCUUUUACACUUAAAAAGAGAAAGAGAAAGAGAAAGAGAAAGAGAAAGAGAAAGAAAUGAGAAUAUUGUCGUGAACCGGCACAUGGCAACAACAAUAUCUUCGGAUUAGAGUCUGAAUUCUCAAACUCUUGUUCACUCCAACACUCCAAANNNNNNNNNNNNNNNNNNNNNNNNNNNNNNNNNNNNNNNNNNNNNNNNNNNNNNNNNNNNNNNNNNNNNNNNNNNNNNNNNNNNNNNNNNNNNNNNNNNNNNNNNNNNNNNNNNNNNNNNNNCACCGCACCCUUCCUUUUCCAUCCCCCCGGGGCUGGCCGCUUCUCGCUGCCAACAAUUCUGUUCCGGUAAUAUAUACAUGUCUCUCCUUAUUCUGUUCAUGCUUGUGGCUUUCUAUGUAUCAAGUUCAUAUGCGAGCUUUGUUAUAGUUGAUAGCUUCGUUAGACUUAGAAAUAUAAUAAUUGUGUUAUAUUGAAUUAUUUAUGUUAUUUGAUGGAUUCAGUCUUUUUUCUUCACACAUUGGGAUUUUGGUCUCGUAGACCUUUUAAUUAUGGAGAAAAUUUAGUUAAAUUGCUGCUUAUCGAGGUAGAGAGUGUGUUUAUGUUUGAGAGGUUGCACACGCGGCAACUCCUUCCGCUCCCCUGCAGCUAGGGGCUAUUAUUACCGCCUGGACAAUUAGACAUCCAACCCAUAAUCGCGACGACCCAAUUGCAAGAGUGGACCUUGCAUUUGUGCAUUCAUGAGAUAUGACUUAUGAGUCAAUAUGACUCGAUCGAUCAAAGAUUGAAUGACUUAGACUUGUUGACUGCGUGAAUUUAGGGAACCCCUGACUGCAGGGAAUCCGUUUCCUCCGCUCCCAGGGAUGAACGGCGUGUUUCAAUGCACUUCUAAUUUCGCCAGAAUCACUUAUAUUAUAAAAAAAUUCACUCACUCCUAGUAUCUUCUGUCAGAAUCACUUCUUCCUGAUGAGUUUCCAAGCACACUAUGAUCCUUAAGAAUAAUAUUUAAGGUUGAUGGUGAUUUAUUUUGACAGCGUUUUAUGAUCCAUCUAGCUGAUCCACCUAGUGGGAGAAGACUUGUUUGUUAUUAAUAUUGUUAUUGUGUUGGGAUUGAUUUGUUAACCUUACUUGGUCCGAAGAAUCUCAAUCUUUGAAUGCUGUUCUUGGCUGUCAAGAGGCACGGAACCUCCUUUGCUGGGAAGUUUGUACUUGCUAGGCCAAUUUUCAUGCUUUAUCACGAAGAGUAGCACGAAGUCAGAGAACUAGUGUUACUAACAAAUAUAGAUCAGCUUGAUUUUUUUUGCGGGACUGAUGUCAGUAGUUCACUACUUCUAAAGUCUAAAUUUGCGAGAAGUGUAUUAAAUUUAGUGACCGGUUGACCACAUUAUGUGCAGCCAAAAAAUGGAGUGUACACUGUUGGUGACUUUAUGACAAAGAGAGAGGAUUUACAUGUGGUAAAGCCCACAACAACUGUGGAUGAAGGUAUAUUUAUUGCUAAGUUCAUGUCUCAUCUCAUUUUAUAUUAGGUUUCUGUGAUUCUAACAUCUUAUUUUGCAACAGCUCUGGAAAUGCUUGUUGAACAUAGGGUAACUGGUUUUCCCGUGAUUGAUGAUAAGUGGAACCUAGUGAGUUAUUCUUAUCCAUUUUCGUUUUUACAUUUAUUUGUUGAUAUGUUUUAUUUGUAUCUCUAGUGUAUUCAUUAAUAAAACUCUUGUAGUUUUCCAUCUUACAAUUCGUUAUUAGAUAAUUGACAAAAGAAAUUAGCCACAAUACUCCCGUAAAAGAAAUACUAGAAAUCUUUCAGCAGAUAUUGUUUAGAGACAAUGUAUCCUUCUAAAAUUAAAUCUGAUACUUUCAACUUCUGAAUGUAUAAAAUAAUUUCUUAUGGUUUAGUCGCUUGCAUUGGUUCACUUGUAUGUGGUGUGGAGAAGACCUGGAGAAGCAUUGUUAGGAUAAUUGAUUAGUUAGAAGAUAGCCUGAUAGUUAGGAGUAGAGGGAGGCCAAGGAAAAUUAUAGGUCAAACCAUUGAGAGAGAUUUGUGGUAAAUGGUUUAUCUGUGAACUUAAUACUACUUGAUAGAGCAUUAUGGCAUCAAUUAGUUCAUGUAGCUGACCCCACAUAAUGGGAAAAGUCAUUGUUAGUGUUGUUGUUGUGGUUUUAAUUCCUUCUAUUCUUUGUUUAUACUUCCAAAUUUGCACGCGAUUAAUUCAGCAUAUUAUUGUAGGACAAUUUGACAUAGAAAUAAUUUUUGAAGGUUCUUUAUCCUCUGUAGGUUGGUGUUGUUUCAGAUUACGACUUGUUAGCACUGGACUCUAUAUCAGGUAAACUGAUUUAUCAUGCACAUAUAAUUAGAGGCUUGAUUUUCAUCUUUGUUUAUUAUGAUUGUAUCCUUUCCUGUUAUACUGUUGAUACGCUUAACAUCGAUAGUUGAUUAGCCAUAGUUUAGGUGGUUUCAAUCCUUGAUCUGACAGUGCUAACCUGAGAAGGAUGAGUGGUAGAGGGCUGACUAUCAACUUUUAACUCGAUUAUGGAUGUCUAUUAAGUUCAGAUUAAUGGUGCAGUUCUGCCUUUACAGGACAUGUUAUGAUAUUCAGAAAGUCGAGAUUGUUUAGGUUAAUGAUUUAACGCGACUAGCUUGAUGAAACUUUAGAACUUAGGUGAUUGACUGACUUUCCUUUUUAUUUGAACAAGUGCAAACCAUUUACAAUGAGAUUAAAUUGAUUAUAGUGAAUAAUGGCUCACAGAAGAUUAAAUCCCUUUGCCUGUUAUGAAAGGACAUUUUUAAUUGUUUGAUGCUUUUAAAGCACUAAUUCUGAAUUGAGAAAGAGAUUCUAUUACAACACUGUUUUAAUAGAGCCCAGUGCCAACGCUCCUACAGAGAGUAUUUUUCUGCUCUAAAGAGUCAAAUACACUUCUCACAUGUCCCUUUUACUUCCCUAAACGACUACAUAUACUUAAAUAGAGAUGAUGACUUCCUUAUCUGACAAUUAAAGCUCUACACAACAAAUGUUUUAUUCUCCUACUACAAUACUGCCCAACAAUACACAAUAACUUACAAACAAGUACCCAACAUUAGACACCAGCUUACAGGUAACUGCCCUACAUGGAAGUUCCGUUAUUCCUUCUGGAAUAAACCAAUUCGAUAUGCAGAUGUAGACUGGCAGGUGAUGCUAGCGAUUGGAGUGUAGUUGUGAGUCAAUUUCUCAGCUGAUCGUGUGAGUCAUUGGAAUGUAGUUUUUCAGAUUUUAAGGUACAUCAAAGGAUCACCUAGGAAGGGGCUUAUUUACAUGGAUAAAGGUCAUAGUACUAUAAUUCGAUAUGCAGAUGUAGACUGGCAGGUGAUGCUUGCGAUUGGAGGUCCACUUCUAGUUAUUUUGUGCUUAUUGGAGGAAACUUAUUUUGUUGAAGAGCAUGAAACGAACUUUUGUUGCAUGGUCUGACACAGAAGCAAAGUUUUACUAAUACUACUUUUUAGCUUUUAUGUCUUAAACAUUUGCUCCAAGAGUUGAAUUUUUGUGAGAUAGAUCUAUCUGAACCUGCUUGUGAUAACCAAUCACCUAUGUAUCUCUCAUCACAUCCAAUCUUUCGUGAAAGGGCCAGACAUAUGGAAAUUGAUUGUCACUUUAUUAGAGAAAAGAUCCUCUUAGGCAUCAUCAAGACUUCUUAUGUAUCUCUAUGGAUCGAUUGAGACAUAUUGGCUGAGUCUUUGCUCAAGCUUGGGGCAGGGAUUGAUUAUGAUUGUUAUGGCGAUCCUUUCCUUUUAUACUCUUGGUUCAUUUACCAUAAAUAGUUGAUUAGGCAUAGUUUAUAUUUUUUCAAUUUCUCAAUCCGUACUCUUUAGGGAUUCUGUAUAGUCAUUGUGAUUUAUUCGUGUACCAUAUUGUUAAUAAAUACGAAAAGUAUUUUUAGAUUCACCACCAAUUAACUUACUGAAAACCUGACAGCAUUUGCAUUUUGUAGUGAAGAUAAUAUGCAAUUUUUUUGGGCAUGUUUAUGUGUUUCUAUUCUCAAGCAGGGACCCUAAGCUGAAAGAAUUUUUGCAAUGAUGGUUUCAGGUAAUGGGAGGAAGGAGAGUAGCAUGUUUCCAGAAGUUGACAGUUCUUGGAAAGUAUGUUAAAACUUCCAUCACUAAUAGUUAAUUCCUCUUUACUAUCAUAUUCUAGUAUUUUCUAGACUUCAAUGCAAAUCCAUUUAAGGAAACAAAACUUCAACUUGCUAAUACUUAAGAUUAUAAAACAAGUUGAGUUUUAAUGUGCUGGUGGUUUGGUAGUCAGGCCUUAAAGGGCUAGGCUGGCUUGAAGUCCGGCCUUAAAGAGCUAGGCUGGCUCGAAUGGGAAAAUCAAAAUCCAUACAUCACAACUUACGCUUGAUUUUUCUUAUAACACGCAAUAUGAUUAUUUUGCAGAUUUUUUUGUUUAUGAUAACAAUUAAAGGAUUAGAAUAUUUUGUUUAUACUAUUUUAUCAUUUUAUUGCUUUUAUCCUAAAACAAUGUUGUCAGAUUCGUAAAUAUCAUCAUUUCCUCCUUUCCUCCCAAAACCCCUUUUCCAAACAACCUAUGUUGAAUGCUUGAGGAAUGAGGCUGUGUUUGGAUAACAGCCCAAAGUAUGUUUAGCCACCUGGGAAUUAUAAUUGCCAGGAAGAGAAUGUGAAAUCAGGAAUAGCUUACCUUCCGUUUAACGUUAUUGUAAGGCAAACAUACAAAGUUUGCUACUCAUAGUGGUCCUAUAUAUUUGAGUACAAUACGAAUGCCUCUAAUAAAGGAUACUUCUGCUAUGUGAUCUAGAUAUAAAAAACUACCUGUAGCAUUUCAAAUAACAAGUUGAUUAAAAAGUUGUCAAGUUUACUAAAGCUGAAAAUUGUGGUUUCUUGCAGACUUUCAAUGAGGUGCAGAAUCUGUUGAGUAAGACAAACGGGAAGGUAAUCGGUGAAUUAAUGACUACUGCCCCUAUGGUCGUUCGGGAGAACACCAAUCUUGAGGAUGCUGCCAGGUUCCUUCAUCUUUCUCCUUAGUCUCUUUGUUUCUGAAAAAAAUGGUUGUUCUUUCAUGGUUAUUGAGACAUAUAGAAAUAGAAGAGAGAUAAGUGAGAUAUAUGAUAAGUGAUCUAAGAAAAAAGAGAUACGAAGAGGAAAUAUGUGUUAAUACGAUGAAAAAGAAAGUGAGUACUAAUGGAAUGGAAGAGAAAAUUGUUGUAAAUAUAUAAUAGUUGAUUACAAAAUGAAAGUACUUGAUAGUAGAUUGACACUCUAAAUCCACCCUCCACCUUGAAGGAGAUAGAAAUAAAAGAGACUAGACAGAUGAAGGAGACAGAUAUGUGUUUGUUUUUUAGUUAGGGUUCUGUUUUCUCACAUUGGAAAUUCAAAAUGUCAAAUUCAGCAUUCCUAUGCAUUAAACGUAAACGAAGGUGUAAGGUUCCGUUUAUUUGACAUCCAACUAAAAACAAACUUGAUGGAAAUGAGAUGAAAGAAAAUGUUACUGUGAAUAUAUAAUACUAGUAGUUACAAAACUAUCACCUUAUAAACGCUAUUUUUAUUAUUUCCUCAACAAAUCUUAAAAAAUAAGAAAUAAUAUUUUUAUAACUAAAUUAAAAAAAAAAAAAACUUGAUGCCUUUAUCUUGUCAACUUUUAUUUCCCAGUGUAUUCUAAUCUGCCACUCAAGAAGAUAACCUUAUUUAAAUGCCUAUCUUCAGGUUGUUGCUAGAAACAAAGUUUAGACGCCUUCCAGUUGUAGAUUUUGAAGGUAGACUGGUAAGAGACUCCUCUAUUCUGUUUUGUUUUUUAUUACUACUAGUAUUAUUUUUGUAUUUCUAAAGUCUGAUUAUAUAUUAUCUGAAGGUUGGGAUUAUCACCAGAGGAAAUGUUGUAGGAGCCGCUCUUCAAAUUAAACGAGCUAUCCAAAACAAAGCAUGAUAGGAUUUAGAAGACCAUUCAUUAAAUAAAUUGCUGGUUUUCUUGAUAGUGAUUUGAAUUAAGUGGCAGAAUAUUGCUUGAAUUAGAAUUAAAAUUUUGGCUUAGGCAUGUAUGUAAUAUGUAUUAUAUCUCAUGUUGUUUUAGCACCACACGAAUGUUUGUCAUUGGAUAUUGUCAUUCAUAAUAUUUUCAUUACUACAAUUUAUUAGGACCGCCUCAGUGAUAAUGAUGUUGUCAAUUCGCAUCAUUAAUUACAUGUCAAAGACUAAGGAUGAUUUAAUUUCAAACACAAAUUUCAACCGGCAUCAAUCUAAUCUAAUCUACUUCUGAACUAGACUUGUAGUACUACUCAUUUUAAAUCGGUUAGUGGUUGAGCUGAACCGAUGACCCAUCACUAAUAAAAUCCAUGACUACGUGCUCAACAGAACGGUUGACAAUAACAGAUUGAGACCUCUUGUUGUUGUCAAUGUCGGUUCCCAAUUCUUCACCCCUGUUAAAGUUCUUCGUUUGGUAACACAAACCGCCCAAGUUAACCAUUCAUUUACUCUCUCCAUGUUAAUUGGUGCGCUUCCAAUUUAGAAAGAAACAAACUCCUAAAUAAACGAGCUUGAGGUUCUUGUCUUCUUCCCUUGUUCUCUUAUUCUAACAUGUCUUAGCAGUAAUUUUCCUUCUCUCUCUCUGAUAAAAUCACCUUUUGGAUUCGUAUCGUAUCUUUAAUGUGGGAGAUUAGCUUAACAUAGAUCAAUUAAAGCCACACUUACGUCAAGCACUAUGUAAUCUACAGCUAAAAAUCAUAUAAACUAAUGAUAAAAGAUCUCUAAUACUCCGCUAAAGAUGGACUAGCCCUUUGCCACAAAUGAAAAGUGGUUAUAGAUGCAAGCGAAACAACUAUGGGGUACAGCUAACAUCAAAUCAGAAAUCCUUAACAAAAGAUAGUAUUUGUUAAUCAAUUGAGGAGGAGCUGUAAUUUUGCAUUCACAUGCACACAUCUCUUUCUCUCGUUUUCUUUUCUUUUUUUCAUUUGUAUUUUAUGUUUUGUUUCGAUACAAUUGUGUGUAGGAUUUGACUACUAAUAGAAAUUAAAGAAAAAAAAUCUUGGACGACAGAACCGAUUAACCGACCCCAUUAUCCAUCAUUAUCAAAAACAGAGAAGAGAAGUGGCCAUUGCAUUUUCCCUUCCCUUCACACUGGCCCAUUUCAUUUUGCCAAUUGCCAUUCACAACACAAAUAAUCAAGAAACAGUGCAGAACUAGAAAAAUACCUAACUCUCAAUCUUAUCACUUUUUAGAAGUUAUUAUUAUUACUUUAGUGGUUAGCAUGGUUCCCUCUCACUUUUCCACCCAACUGCUGGCCACCGUAGGCCAUUCCUGUCUCCUUCCUCCAUCCAUUUCCCUUCACUCCCACAUUCUUUUCCUUUCUGACUAUACCAUCUUAGCUUUCAUCCCAAAAAUUCCUAUUUUCCACCGACUUUCUUCACAUAAAAGACAUAAAUGGAAGCUUUUUCAACAAAUAAAAAAAAACACCAUCAGAAUCAAAGGAACAGAAGCUAAGGAAUUUAUCAUCUGCCUCUUGUUGAAACAUGAAGAUAACUAAACUAAAGCCACAACAAAAACUAAGAAGAAAAAGAUUCUACUAAUAGAUACUAGUUAAUUUACAUUUAAACAAUUUUACAACGCCAAAAUUUCUCCUGUAAAAUCUAAAAAAAAAAAGAGAAAAGAAAAGAAGGAAGAGAUACAGUACAGUAAUCCAUAACAGUAACACCAACAUCAAAGGCCUCAUCAACAAAGAUCAAUUUGCUUCAGCCGUCAUGUAACCUCCAUGGCGCAUGUUAGCAACCACCACCGACCCAGAAAAAAAAGACAGCAUCAUUUCACUUUCUUCUCAGCUCACAUCCCAUUCAUCCGAACUCUCGGGUUCUGGUAAUUUAUUCAGGUCAACCCGCUCCGCAAAAUCUCCAGACCCGCCGCCUCCACCGCCUAUGAGAAGCUCCGGCACCGGCGCCGCACGAGGGUGGUGGUUGUGGUGGGGAAGGGGAAGAGUUGCCGACUGGAGAGCAUCGACUCUGGCACCGACCUCUGUCGCUUUCUUCCUGAUAAAAGCUGCCGACAUAUCGCAGUCGCCGCCAACGAAGGCGGCGCGUUCUCCGGCAAGAAGCUCCGGGAAGUUGAGGCGCGCGGAGGGUCCCCGGAGGUAGAAAACGGCGGUGUCGUAGGCUCUGGCGGCGGCGACAGGGGUGGAGUAUGAACCGAGCCAAAUCCUGGAACGCUUGUUUGGUUCUCUGAUUUCAGCAACCCACUUCCCCCACUUCCUCAUCCUGAUUCCUUUGUACCUUCUCUCAGCACCACCUUCCACACCACCACCACCUCUCUUCCCUCCUCCUCCUUCACCCUUCAUCUUCUUCUUCCUUCUCUCCCUGGUUUGUUUCAGAGGUCAGAAUCAAGAGAGAGAAAGAAAGUUGAAGAAAAAUGAAAAAUCUAAGAAAAAGGGGUUGUUAAAUGGGAAAGAAGGAAUGGAUUUUUGGAUUGAAGAAUUGAAGAUGAAUGGUUCAUUCAUGCGAGCGAGGACUCACCCACUAAGGUUUGUCAUCUGGGUAAGCCUCCACGUUGGUUUCUUUCUUUCAAACCCCACCUCCUCUAUCUUCCUUUUAUAUUUAUUCUUGGGCUCAUACUAAUAUUAGUCCCGGAUUUCGUAAGCGAGUUUGAUUUUAAUGUUUCCUCAGAAAAAUUAUGUUUAAAAACGGUCAUUUUAUAACUACGAGCUAUUUUCAAUCUGCACUAAACAUAAUUUUUCUCAAAAGAAAUAGAAUCGAACUCACUUAUGAAAUCAGAGACUAAUUUAACUAUUAAUCUCUUUAUUUUUUUAUCACCAAAUGAAUUAUACAAAGCAACAAAACAAACAAGAUAAUCACUACUACUGUUUUUUCUUCUUGUUUGUUAAUUGAAUUUAUUAAAUUCACCGACAAAAUCACUCUCUUGCCUUUUUUAUUUUCCACUGACAGAAAAAAUCUAUUUUGUUUUGGAGUAGUAUUAAUGGCUUUCCCUUUCACCGUUUGGUGCUACUAUUUAUUUAUAAUCCUAAUUCUAAGCCGUCCUUUUAAUUUCUCUAUGGUUGUAUCGAUUUAAUGUAUCUAUAUCAUCACAUACCACCGAGCGUGUACAAGAACAACUAUAUUAAAAUAAAAUUAUGUUUUCUUUAACGAACUGUUUAAGUUUUGAGAUAAUAGAUUGUUUGAUAAUCAGAGUUUUAUUCGUCUAGACUUUUGGUCCGGGUUCGAUCCCCUCUGAGGUAAAAAAUGAUACCGUUGUGGCCAGGGACAUCACUACCGUAUCCCGAGCCAAAUUAGUCACGUGGGUUUUUUUUUUCCCGUUGAGACCGGUGGCUAAAUGACAAAAAAAAAACUUAAAUUCAAUCUUGCUUAAUUAAUAUAAAAUUAUUUAUGUGAAUCUUGCACUUAUCUAACAAUUUAAACUUCUAGGAUAAUUGUUCGUUUGAUACUAACUUAUGUGCGUUUUUGUUUAGUUUAAGCAAAAGCCUCAAUCUAAAGUACUCCCUCCGGUCCUAUUUAUAAGCAUGAAAGAGAAGAAAAAUCUUGGUCCUUUUUAUAAGAACCAAAUGAAAGUUUGAGCUAUAUUAAUUUUUUUUUCCAAUGAUGCCCUUAUUAAUUCUAACAUGUAAAAUGUGUCUUAUUAACUAUUCUCUCUUUCCCACUUUCCAACACUAAUAACAAAGGGUAAUUUUGGAAGUUUGUUUUGAUUCAAGCACACUUUACAUCUAAUAGAUAUCUCGAAUUUAAAUAUGUCUUUAUGCAUUACAUACUUGAUAGAAAUAGUUUUACCGUCAAAAACUCAACCAUAAUAUAUUGUCUCAAUAGAAAAUAUUAUUUUUUUAGUACAUUAAAAAGAAAAAGAUAUAUUGCGUUCUCCAGAAAUUUGAUCAAUUGAUCUUGUACCUCUCUCACCCAACCCAUUUAUCUCAUAAUUCUUAUUAUUUGAGCUAUUAUUCGAAGAAAAAAAAUGGUAAUUUAAGAAAAAGGCAAUAAUACAUAUAUAAAAUUUCUCACAAAUAUUUUACAUCAUUUCUACAUUAAGAUAAAAAUAUAUGUUAUGCGUCUAUUUAAAAUGAGUUUAAUUUUGAUGCACCGACGGUGUAAAGUUUUUUUUUACAACGUCAACCAAUCAAAUUUCAAGGAUGUGAGAAAAUCUCUCUUUUUAUUUAAUUUCAUUAAUUGACGUGGUAUAUCCUUGAAAUCUGAUUGGUUGACGGUCGGUGCAUCAAGCUUUUUCUCAUUUAAAAUAUACUAAUAUGUAUAAUUCUAAACACUUUAGCUUUGUUUGUUAUAGGAAAGGAAAAAAAGAAGUGACGUUAGUAGAGAGAAAGAUAAUAAAUUUUGUAAGUUAUCUAUCUAUAAACUCUAUAAAGGAAGAGUNNNNNNNNNNNNNNNNNNNNNNNNNNNNNNNNNNNNNNNNNNNNNNNNNNNNNNNNNNNNNNNNNNNNNNNNNNNNNNNNNNNNNNNNNNNNNNNNNNNNNNNNNNNNNNNNNNNNNNNNNNNNNNNNNNNNNNNNNNNNNNNNNNNNNNNNNNNNNNNNNNNNNNNNNNNNNNNNNNNNNNNNNNNNNNNNNNNNNNNNNNNNNNNNNNNNNNNNNNNNNNNNNNNNNNNNNNNNNNNNNNNNNNNNNNNNNNNNNNNNNNNNNNNNNNNNNNNNNNNNNNNNNNNNNNNNNNNNNNNNNNNNNNNNNNNNNNNNNNNNNNNNNNNNNNNNNNNNNNNNNNNNNNNNNNNNNNNNNNNNNNNNNNNNNNNNNNNNNNNNNNNNNNNNNNNNNNNNNNNNNNNNNNNNNNNNNNNNNNNNNNNNNNNNNNNNNNNNNNNNNNNNNNNNNNNNNNNNNNNNNNNNNNNNNNNNNNNNNNNNNNNNNNNNNNNNNNNNNNNNNNNNNNNNNNNNNNNNNNNNNNNNNNNNNNNNNNNNNNNNNNNNNNNNNNNNNNNNNNNNNNNNNNNNNNNNNNNNNNNNNNNNNNNNNNNNNNNNNNNNNNNNNNNNNNNNNNNNNNNNNNNNNNNNNNNNNNNNNNNNNNNNNNNNNNNNNNNNNNNNNNNNNNNNNNNNNNNNNNNNNNNNNNNNNNNNNNNNNNNNNNNNNNNNNNNNNNNNNNNNNNNNNNNNNNNNNNNNNNNNNNNNNNNNNNNNNNNNNNNNNNNNNNNNNNNNNNNNNNNNNNNNNNNNNNNNNNNNNNNNNNNNNNNNNNNNNNNNNNNNNNNNNNNNNNNNNNNNNNNNNNNNNNNNNNNNNNNNNNNNNNNNNNNNNNNNNNNNNNNNNNNNNNNNNNNNNNNNNNNNNNNNNNNNNNNNNNNNNNNNNNNNNNNNNNNNNNNNNNNNNNNNNNNNNNNNNNNNNNNNNNNNNNNNNNNNNNNNNNNNNNNNNNNNNNNNNNNNNNNNGUGCAUCGCACGGGUAAAAAAUACUAGUUUAGUAUGAUAAAAGAGAAGAAAAAGAGUGAAAGAGAAAAAUUACUUAUUAUAUUUAAAAAUAAAUUUAUUCCAUUUUAAACCGGCUAAUGCCAAUUUCAAACACAUUUUGCAGUGUCAAUCUGCUAGCUAAAAAAGUGGUGCGACUAACCACUGCACUUCCUCUUCUCUUCCACCAAACAAGGGUAUACUCAUUCCCUAUAUCUCUCCUAUCUAAGAGAAAAAAACCUAACCAAAAUGCCUUUAGGUAAGUUAUAGGAAAACACGAAUUUAGUUCAUGUUUGGUUAGCAAUGUUUUAAGUUUUAGUUAGAAACAAGUGGAUUAAUAUGUAUGGUUAAGUGUGUUAUCGUGUGUAAACAUGAAAAGAUUGAAGUAGUCUUAUCGUGUUUGAAGUUUGAACACCGUAUAUGUAUGCUCACAAAUUAGAAACUCCGUAUGUAGCUUCUCAUUUGACGUAACUCCACUUGCUUGUGUGCUAGCAAAAAUCAAAAGAAACAACAACCUUUCAAGUAUGACAUGCUUCCUUUUCUUUCAUACUUGAUUCCGUGUUGUGAAUAGCCAAAAUCAACUAAAUUCACCAUAAACUACUCAGCAAAUUUAAACUCAGUUCAUUGGAUAAACAAAAUCACCUGACUCUAAAAUAGCAAUCAGCCUGCUGGAUAAGGGAUGUCCAAACUCUCACAGCAGUGCUCCUCUUGUGGACCAGAUCAAGUCCCUCACCUCCCGCUGCUCCAACUUUCACUGGAAGCAUGUUUUUCGUGAAGCUAACUCUGUAGCCGACGCUUUUGCUAAGAAUGGACUAUCCUUGCUCAUGCCUAUGAGGAUCUAUGAUAGUAUACCUCCUUUUGCUUUCGUUCCUUUUAGGUUUGACUCUUAUAAUACUCUCUAUAAGAGAGUUUAGUUGGGCGCUUUAAGUCCCGAAAUUAAUAAAAAAAAAAAGUUCAUUGGAUUCUCACUUUAUGCAUGUCACUUCUACGAAUAUGCACUUCAUGUUUUUUAUGUUUAGAUUAAUUUCCAUCACAUAGUUUUCCUUCAACGAAAACGAAUUUUAUUUUCGUUUUACACAUGUAAAUUGACAUGAAAAAACAGGAACCAUGAAAAGGUUCAAGUUGUGGAUAAUAAAUUUUUAUUAUGGUUUGUACUCUUAAUAUUUCUAGCUCGUGAAUUAUUGAGUAUCUUGUUCGAAGUUUACGGUCGAAUAAAUUCUGAUAAUCGAUCGCAAUCGUAUAUAUGACAACAUUUUUUUUUUUCAUUUUAUAUAAGUUUGUUAAAAAAAUAAAUAUCUUAUUUAAAAAAAAGGGUCGUUGGCGUAAGACGUGAUUUUAUAUGUUAGUGACACAAUUUAUAAUAAUAUAUCAUACUAUAUUAAUUAAUCAAUGAAUGCCUAUCUGGUGUAUGAUGGUGAGCGGUAUGGUUGGUGUUUUUUGCUGGUUCAGGAAACACAAAGAAGGAAUCGAAUUUAAUUAGUGUGUGUUUUAAAAUUCUCUUUUAAUGCUAAAGUCAUAAUCAAUUAACUCAUAAGGAUAGCUCAAUUAACAAUCUACUUUGAGUGUGCUGAAGAUUUAUGCUUGUGAAAAAGAUGAAUAGUCUUAAUAUUAACUGUAAUUAGAUUCAAAAUUUAUAAUAGCCGAUAUCUAAAGACUGACCGAAACCUGACUGUUUGUAAAUAUUUUUUGGUUGUUGACAAAAACAUAUUAUUAAUUAUGGGGAAAGAAAAUGAGAAUUGGUUUAGAUAAUAUUUUGUUUCGUUUUCAUUAUUAAUACUCCCUCCGGUCCUAUUUAUAAGCAACAAAAAAAAAAAUUCGCAUAGUUUAAGAAAUGUAGUUAAACUAGAUAAAAUGCAUUAAAUUUGUCUUAAAUUAAAAUGAACUUCCAAAAUUACCCUUUUNNNNNNNNNNNNNNNNNNNNNNNNNNNNNNNNNNNNNNNNNNNNNNNNNNNNNNNNNNNNNNNNNNNNNNNNNNNUUUGUAAUAUAAAUAGGACCGGAGGGAGUAUUAUUUAUCUGAUAUUUAUUUAAUAAUUCUGAGUGGGAAGAAGGGCAGGUCGGUGGUCGGUGGAUAGAUACCGUUAGCAAUUGACUUUCCCUCCACGCUAUAACGAUAGGACUGCAUGCCCCGUUUUGUCCUUCUCAAAUUUUGUUGUCAUGCACAUGACUAGGGGUUCUUUCGGAAUAAAGAUUAAUUUCGAUGGCCCACGGUGUUAAGUUGUUGUCCUCCUAAUCAUUUUAAUGGGCUUUUUAUUUGCCUAUUUAUAAUUUUCUUGUUUGCUCUUCAAUUAUUGAGAAUUUAUUAUUAUUUGAAGUAAUUUAAUUUUAUUCCAACAUUUUAAUUAAAUUAUUAGAAAUGAUAAUUCUUUGAAAUUUCUAAAGAUGAAUGCCAAAUAGUGGUUAGAUUAAGCUGUAUAUAUUUUAUUUCAAAAAGCUGUAUAUAUUUGAUUUUCUUUAUAAGUAUAAGGCCAUUAGAGUACUAUAAAUACUAACUAUCAUACAAACCUCUCCAACUAUCAACUUAUUAACAAUUAACAAAUACUAUACAAAUAUGGAAACAUCGAAGGAGGCGUCCAAUAUGUGCCAUUUGGAAACAUAUUAUGUGCUAGUAUAAUUGAGGAUAGAAUAACUAUUUCACCGACAAUUAAAAGUACUCAACAUUGUAUCGGUUGCAUUUAAAAAAAAUGUUGAGGCCUGAGGCCUGAGGGUGAUGGUAAAUUGUAUGGGAUGGAUAAUUAAUAAUGAUAUGGGAUAGAUAAUUAGUAAUAAAUAUAUAUUUUUAAUUUAACAUAUAUGCACAGGCAAUCUAAAAUUAAUUUACUCUUAUAUUUAACUGUUAUUUACCCUGUCAUAAAAUAAUUUUUAAGACUUAUUUACUUAAAAUAAUAAAUAAUUUUGUAACAAAAAAAUAAUAAAUAAUUUAACUGUUUAAAUAAAUAUUGUAUGAUCAUACGGCUGAAUGUGUGUAAAUAAUGCAUGAAAAUUAAACUAAUACUUAACUAACCGACCUCCUUUUUGUAUGAACAAUAUCAUUUCAUCAAAACCUAAGAAGAUCAUAUUCGAGAUGAAGAUAAAUUUAUGUUUAAAAAUAUAAUCGUAGAUACGGGGGUGAUAUCUCAUGAUAUGGUUACAGGCUUAUAGCAGUAGCUAUUAAGUAACAAGAGGUUUGUUUUGACUUUUGUUUAUCAAAACAGACAAUUAUGCAUGCACCUAGAAAAUCGCUUAUGUUGGAAACGAUCCAAUAGAAGUGAUUUAUUGUCAAAACAUAUCUCUUUUGUUCAGCGUUUUGGAAUUUUUUUAUAGAAAGAUGAAACUUUCAUUAGUAAGAAAUACUUAGAUUGGAGGAAAGUAUACUGGCUAAACCAACAGAAUACUCCUCCCAGCGUUUUGCAAAAUUGAUUUUAUUAAAAUUUGCUUAUGAAAACCCGAGUUAAAAUUAUGUUAUUUAUGUUGUAAUACUUGUUGUGACAAGUGUACGUAAUUAAUUUUGUAGAAUUGAUUUUGUUUUAUUAGUACCUUUGAACAUCAUUUUUAACUCGUUAGGAUUGAUUUUGACCAAAUAAAGUGGUUCCCAAACAUAGUCAUAACUCUAUAGUAUAAAGCUACUCACAAUAUAUUUGGGUUGAUUAAUAUUUUAUAUAAUAAAUUGAAGAGUUUUAAACCAUUCUAUUUUUUUAAGCGUUUAAUUUUGAUGCACCGACGGUGUAAAGUUUUUUUACACCGUCAACCAAUCAGAUUUUAAAGAUGUGAGAAAAUCUCUCUUUUUAUUUAAUUUCAUUAAUUGACGAGACAUAUUUUUGAAAUCUGAUUGGUUGACGGUGCAUCAAACUUUUUUUUCUUUUUUUAAAGUGUACCAGAGCAAUAUCCAUUGAAGAAGAAUUCUUAGUAUUUUAAUUUUUUUUACUCUAUCCUGUAACAAAUUCUAGAGAAAGUAUUAAAUAUUUUAUAUUUUCAAAAUACUAAAUAUAUUAAUUUUUUAUUUAACAUGUUCUUUAUAUAGUACAGUAAGGAAAAAAUUAGAAUAAUUUCAAACAUGUUAUGUAUGGUUCAGGUGUGGUUGAUUGUAGUCAAAUAUGUGUUAAUUAAAUGUUAUUUUAACAUUAUAUAGAUAAAAUACUAAAAUUUUAUAAAUAUUAAGAAAUAAUUUAUUUUUAAAAGUAAGAAAUUAAAAUUAAUGCAUCUAAAAAACAUACUAAUAUAGUGAUAAAUGACAUACUUCAUUCUAACUUCUUAUUAGAUUUUUUAACUAAAAGUGAUAUUUAAAAAAAAACAAAUAGUUUAAAACAAAUGAAAAUGUAUUCAUUCAAAAUGGUUUCAGAUUUACCAAUUCUUUUUUGAGAAAAAGUUUGAUGCACCGACGGUGUAAAGUUUUUUUACACCGUCAACUAAUUAGAUUUCAAGAAUGUGAGAAAAUCUCUCUUUUCAUUUAAUUUCUUUAAUUGACAUGUCACAUCUUGAAAUCUAAUUGGUUGACGGUAUAAAAUUUUUUUACACCGUUGGUGCAUCAAAAUUAAACACUUCUAAUUAAAUGAAUCUGAUAGAUUUCAAUUCAACAAAAUUAAAUUUCUCAUAUUAACUGAUUACUACACGCGCCAAGUAGUUAUGAGUAGUACUAGAUUGUUUUGUAGUGUAGGACACAGGUCUAGAGGAGAGGAGGUUAAUGUGGUUGUUCCAUGAUUGAUGGAGAAGUCAAAAUGUUUGGUGAAAACCGCACGGGUGAUUUUAUUCUUAAUUUUUUAUUUUUUUAUGGAGUACAAGUGGUGAAGUUAUUCAACGUUAUUGAACAUUAUUGUAGUUGACAAUUUUUUUUUUUUGGUAAAUUUGUAAACGAAAUGAUAAGUGGACAUACAGAUUUUACAUAAUCUAAUAUUUCUCAAUUCUCAUAUUUUACCUCUUAUUUUCCAAUUCUCAUAUUUUCGAUCAUUUAAUUAAAUGAAUAUGAUAGACUAUGCAAUCAUUUAAUUUUCGCAUAUUUUCUCGCCUCCACUCGCCUACGCCCAAUCAUCAUCCCAAACUAUGCCUCUCUGUGACUCCACCCGCAACUACCCAUAGUCUUAGCAACCUCGACGUCUUCAUCAACAAUGUUGGUGAGAUGGUGCCAGUCAUGGUGUUUGUAAGGUUUAAUGGUAAGAUUGUGUGCGUUAGAGAAAACAUCGCAUUUCUCUUUCUUCUUUCGAUUUGAAACCCUUCUUUUCCCCACAAUCUCUCAUUCCCUCCCAACUCGUUGAAACCCUUCUUCGUCCCAAAGGAACCUCACCCUUAAUCUAUUACUUCUUCCCAUCUUCUUCUUGACCAAUUCUAGGGCAAGCAAUACUUCCUCAAAUACACACAAGUCGAAUCUAAUUUGGAAAGUAAGACAAUAUUGUCAAGACCCAAAGCCACCAUUCAGAUCAAAUCAAUUAGGGUGAUUGAUGAAGUCACAUAGAAACAUGAAGGAGGCGGCACCAUCCUCAUGAGUGAAACUAAAGAACGAGAGCAAGAGUUUGAGAAAGAGAUAAAACGUUAGAGAGAGAAAAGGGAGACCGACGAGGGAGAGAGAUAAUGUUAGAAGAGCUCUGCUUUGCUGGUUCAAACUCAACUAGGGUGGUUCAACACAAUGGUGGGGGUCCUAGCGUUUCUAGCAUGGGAAUGGUGGAGAAGGAGGCGAGGGGAAGGUGGCGAGGGAGAUGGUCCAAAAUGCCCCUUGAUACACCAGGGAACCAAAUUUUUAAAUGUCAACCCUAUUCUUAACCAUAUACCUUAAUAUUUGAUACUGUAAGAUUGCGACACGUCUAUUAAAGAAUAUUAUUUAAAAAUGUCAUGCUAAGGCUGUAAUUUGGAAAAUAUAACUAAUACUCUCCUGAAAUUGUAAAAGUGAUAAAUAUUAGGGAUAAACUAUCAAAAUAGUAAUAACAGGAGGUAAUACUUCAUACUAGAACAAAAUUGGAAAAAUCAUACAAAAUACAAGUACACCUAAUAAUUUUCGAGAAACGAGAACUCCGGCGAUGAGUCAAAUAUCAAAUAUAUGUUCCACGCCUGUCGAAUUCCAUGAUCAGUUUUAAGUUUUUCACUAAGUAUGAAGUGGCAUAUAAAUUACACUAGCAAAAUUACAACACAUAAGAUACACAUCAAACAAAAUUGAUAUGAAUUAUCAUAAAUCCAUCAAAAGUAAAAAAAAAGUACUUCUAUAUAAAAUUUACAGUCAAUAAAAUCCCGGGUGAUCUUUUCCAAUGUGAAACUCUAACACUACGAAAAAUACAAACAAUUAACUUGGGCCGUGGGGUCCUACUAUGUAUUUUAAGAGACUGAAAUUUGAAAUUUGCAAAUUCUGGGAUAAAACCACUCAGCAUCCAUUCUAUUGUACCGGGAAAGAACAAUUCAUAGCGCAGCACAGUGUGUAUCUCAAUUUUUUUUACUUACUAGCAUGUAACUUACUUUGGCUUCUUCCGCAUUCCCAUCCGCGAUUUAGCAAAUCUAAAAUUAUCAUUAAGUAUACAAAACAAAUGUUGGUGAUGAGAAAAAAAAAUCAAUGAAAGAAAACAAACAGGUAACCAAAGGAUACUCUAAACGCAUUCCCUCGCCAGCUGGAGAGGAGUGAAGAAUGGUGCCUUGCAGAUUGUUUAGAGCAUCAGCGGAGCUACCAACGUCCUGCACAUAAAGUUAGCAAUCAAUCUGGGAGCUUUACAAGAUGCACUUGUCGUGAUAGUUCACAAAAACCUCCUAAUAAAAUCAUGCAAAUCAAAUAUGGGAAUAACUAUAAUAUUUAGGUAAUAGUUUUAUGCAAUUUUCAACAUGGCUUUCAAUGCUUUCACAAGAAGAAGCAUGCUGACUGCUGAGUGAUAACACUCCCAAGGGUAAAACUUAGGUGCUAUUCUUUAGGUACUUUUCAUGUUGUUGACUUGUUGCCUAAUUAAAAACUCAACUACCCACUUUCUUAAUUCAUUAACAUAAUUUUUCAUUUUUUUAUUCAUGUCUCAUCAUAUGCAGUGCAAAAAAAAAGGACAACAAUAAAGAAACCUGGAAAUCAACAAAUGCAACUGGAGCCCCAUAUGUGCUCUGCAUCUUCAGUUUCAAAAAUCCAGGAUAUCUGAUAGAAGAUACAUACACCAAAAUAAAAUCAACUUCAGCAUCUACGGACUGUAUAGAUACGAAAAUAAUUCGAACAAUACAUAUACACUGACCUAGAAAACACUUGUAUUAGCUCUUGUUCAUUACAAGACGGCCCCAGAUUAGCUACAAAUAAAGUUGCACAGGGGAUUGUAUUUUGAGGAAUGUAAGGUAUUGAACACUUUUUCUGUCAACACAAGAUAUGAAAUAAAAACAAUUACUUGAAGUGGAAAAUGCAAUAAUUUUAAAUUAACUAUAGUCCUAGAUGCAAGAGAAACAAGGAAAAACAACACGGUUAGAUACAACAAUUUAAUAAAGCAUAAUAAUGUUGACCAGCCUAAUCCAUGUAAAGCAUAUAACUGAGAAACAUUGUACAGUUUAACCACAAAUUUUAAUAGUCUGGAAAAAAAAGAUUAUGAGAAAAGCAUUUUGAGUUCACCACCGAAAGAUUUAACCAUUUAGAACAGCUAAUAGAGGUAAAUAUCUUAAGGUGAUGCAAAAAACAGAUAGAUUGAGUGCUACAUAACACUAACCAGAUUUCCAUAUAGACCAUCAUUGACAGCAUUUCCAUCAGCACUCCCAUAACUUUUGCAGAAAACAAACAAACAGACAAUUAGAUGAGAUAGCAUGAUAUACAAAGGCAAUAGCCCAAAAGAAUUUCUCUUGUACUAUAAACACAUUAGUUAUUUUCUUCUAAUAAUAUAGAAUGAGUUCCCCAACAGCAGCUCAAAAUAAUUAACUUGUAAUAUUGAAAAAUGUGCUCUAUUUGAGUUAGAAGCAAUGACUUCCAUAUAAUAAAGGUGUGAUUAAGUAGUGCAGAUGACCUUUGUGCAGAUGGAUAACCAAUCGUGUUCAUGUUGAUAGAAGGAUUACCCAUUCCAGGCAUGUGAAUGCUGCUAACACCUGCUAGUGCCGAAGAGUGCAAAACAUGUGCAAUGUGAGAUAAAAGUGUCCUUUUGUGUGAUCAACAUUUAACUAGUCUUUAAGCAAGAGAUCAUCAACAUCAACCGCAUAUACAUAGAACAACAUCCUACACACUAAAACAAUCUAGCACCAUCUUACUUACCGGAAUCAGGAGUCGCCCAUGACGGUGCAGACCCUCUAGCUUUCUUAUCCGAGCCACCUCUCUCAUCAUCUGCUCACCAAUGUCAAUCAACCAUCACAAUUCAAUUCAAACCUCUUAAAAUGUAAAUGGGAUUAGGAAAAUAAGGUAAUCAAGACACACACACACCUAUCCGCGUUCGCUUAGAUCUAGAGUUGGAUUUGGCAAGAUCAAUAUAAAGAGUUGAAUUCUUUUCAAGAUCAAACACCAUCCCCUGCAAACCACAGCAAUCAAAAUAUUCAAUUCAGACACUGAAAACUGCUACUGAGCAUGAAAUGUAUGUAACACAAAAGAGCCUUACAUUCAGAGCAUGCAUUGCCAUUACUGCAGAUUGCUGAUUCAUGAACACAGCAAAAGCAAAAGGCUAUCGGAACAAAAAAUCACGUCACAGAAAGCAUAUCAGUAAUCAAUCAAUGCAAACACAAUUACAAGAUAAUCAAAACAGUUGAAAACGCUUUGCAGUUUGCAGAAUCGAUUAUUAUUGUACCUGUGAUGAAUUGGUGGGGCUACGAAGAUGCGAUGAUUCGUAACCAGGAAAUUCGCGGAAGAGGUUGUAGAUUUCGCGGGGUUUUACAUCUUCAGGGAGUCCAGCAACGAAGAGGGUACGGACCUCGUGUGUGGGGGAUUGAGGAAGAGCGAAGGAAUUGUAGAGAGGUUGUUGCUGGUGGUGAGGAACAUACUGCGGAUGCGGGAAAACGGUGCCGGGAGGAGGUGGCACCACCGUCAUGAUAGGCGGCGGCGGAGGUGGCUGAUAAUAUGAAUAAUUGAGAAGGGCGGGUGGUUGGGUUUGAGCGUAGUAGGCAGCCAUGUCGUCCAUCGGAGCACUAUUGCAGUGGUUCGGAAGCCCUAGAGUAUUUCAUUUCUCUCUCAACAACUCCUCUGUUUUUUUUGUUGAAUUGUUGUGCUUUUCAUUUUCUUGACAAUAUUGGGCUGGCCCAUUAGGGAGCUGGUCUUCCUUAUCUGGGCCUGGCCCACUGGGAGUUUUGCAGUGAAAUUAAUUUAACCUACUAAGUCUAGACUAUAGAUUGACCAAAAAAAAAUUCUAGACUAUUGCAAAGGAAAAAGAAAACUGAAUGAAGAGAAAAAUUGGAAGCAAGCAAUUUAUUUUUAUCUUUCUCUUUCAUGAACUUUACAAUUUAUAGUUAGGGUUCAACCCUUGGGGUGUGUAUGUGAGUUCAAUUUUGAGGAGAAGGAAAGGGAAGAUGGAUGCUUGUGAGUAGAGGCAGGCGGAGGAACAUGAGUGGGGCCCAUCGAUGUCACAAUCCUUUCUAUCUUUUAGAUUUUUAUCUUAAUAUUAUGUAUGUAUAUUUUUCUUAUGACCUUUGUAGUCAGCUUAAUAAAAUAGAAUCAAUACUAUGUAUUUUUUUUAUGGCCCACUUCCAAACACGUACACAAGGUUGCUCAAAUAAAUUUAUAAAUUUUUGUAAUUAGAACGUUAUUAUCGUCGCAUUGAUUCUUUUUUACAGUACUCGUUAUGGUAUGUUGGAGUGUUUUUACAUGUGCCCAUAUACCAAUACGUCUAUAAAAAAAAAAGGCAAACUUAAAAAUGUUGGUUGUGUUUUAAACCCUCCGGCGUCCCUGUUGUUUUCGCCCGCCGUCGUUCAUAAACGUGCCAGCGCUGUUUCUAAUCGUAGUUCAUGGGCAUCGUUAUCUGGUUCCCUUCAAGAGUACACUCUGUCGCCGCUGUAGCCCCCAAUUCUUUUUUCGUCCUUCAUCGUUUGCAUAAACCUUUUGAACCUUCCCCCGCCACAAGCCUUUUUUAUCUGAUAAGAAGCACUUCCGCAGCAAACCCCUUUUGGGGUUUUAAAAUUAUUCAGAUCUCUAUGAAAUUUCUACUUUGAGAUACAUGAAUUGAUAUUCUGGGUUUAAAUUGAUAUUUUCAUUCUUGGUUUCCAUUCAAUUGGUUGUUCAACAAUUCAGUCUGGCCAAUGUUUUCUGAUAACAAUUCACACGAAACAUGUUAGGCACAUGUGGGAAUUUAUGAUCACCUCUGCUAUACAGUUUCACUCAUGGAGGAUGGGAGAGGAAGAGAACGACAUCACAGACGAAGAUGAACACAGAGGAGAGGAGGAAGGAUUAGAUUAAUAUUUGCCCCAAAUCAACUUGAAAUGUUUAAAAUCAACUAAGGUUAAAAUCAAUUUGAAAAUCAGAAAGUAAACAUUUUCUAAAAAAAAUGUAUUUUAAACACAUAGUAAAACUUAUAAUAGAGAUAUUUAGAGGAUCAAUUUAACAACUUUAUAAGUUAAAAUGACAUGACACAUUUCCACACUUGGCAUUCACUGAUUGGGUAUAAGAGAAACAACAUUAUAACCCCCUCUCACCAACUAACAUGUAAAAGUUUGCCUUUUUUAUAAGCCAAAUAUCGUAAAAACUCAAGUAUCCCUUACACGUAGAUAUGAGAUUUUAUUAUAUAAUUAUUAUCGAAAUACAACAUAAUCAUAUAAAGUUCAAUCGCUUAGCGAGGAUCGUGACAACUCAUGGGGAGAUUACACCAUCUCUUUAUUCUCUCUUUGCUAGUUAUUGCCAUAACACAAGUACUGACUCAACAAGGGUAAAUACCCUCGUGCAAUUCCAGCUGCUCAGUUUACCCUGCAAUUACAACUUACUCACAAGUUAUAUUUAUAGACAUAGCUAGCUAGUAAGCAAGCAAGCAAUUUCUCUUGCAGAAGCAGAAUGGGUGAAUUUCGUGGAAGCAAAUCAAAAAAUUGUACGUAUGAGUGAUCGCAGGCUGUUUUCUUCUUUAAGAUGAAACACGGAAAAAAUCGCACACGAUCAUGUUUUUCCGUUCUUGCUUAAAGGGAAUUUGAAAUUGCGACCAUGCAAUUGAAAAACGCUGCUUUCUUGUUUUCUUUCAUUGAUUCAAAGCAUCUAAUUCAUCAAUCAAGAAUGAUACGUGUAGCACGUUGUUUUUGUUCAUUGAAAAACGCUUCUUUCUUGACAUUAUUACAAUAUAUAACAUUCAUAUCUAUCAUUUAUAAUAUAUCUCUAGUCCUCCCAAAAGUUGUACACAAAUUCAUGACUCAUGAGUACCUAUUAAAACAUAAUUGUUUUUUAUUACCAAGAUAUCCCCACAAUUGAUAACAAUGAGACUAAUCUUCUCGAAGCUUGAAGAUCAUAUUAAACGGAUAAACUCUUUUUAAUAAAUCAUUCUUCAUACAUAUUACUCUAAGAUUGAAUCCUCGACUAAACUUAAGGAGCUUAGUUAUCUACCAACUCAAAACUAUGACUAAAACGACUUUUAUCAAAUUCAAAAGAGUAAUGCAGGUUACAUUAACUUAAUAUUGUUUGUAAAAUUAACUACAUUAUGCAAUAAUAACCUCAAUUGCCACACAAAUGUAUAUCAUAUCAGAUACUACCUCCGGUCCUAUUUAUAAAAAUCAAAGUUAAAAAAAAUUUUGGUCAUUUCUAUAAGAACCAAAUGAAAGUUUGUGUUAUAUUAAUUAUUUUUUUUCCAAUGAUACUCUUAUUAUUUCCAACUAGUAAAAGUGUAUCAUUAAUUAUUCUCUCUCCUUCACACUCUUCAACACUAAGGUUAUGUUUGGCACGCCUAGCUAAUAAGCUAGCUAAAAGAUGAAAAACUAGCUGAAAACUUAUAAGCUAGUUGAAAGCUGAAAGUUGAUAAGCUAGCUGAAAGCUGAAAAGCUACGUGAUUGGAACAAAAGUGUUUGGUAAAACUAACUAUUGAACAAGCUAAAUUUGUAAAAUGACAUAAAAGGACAUACUUAUAUAAUUUUUUUAUAUUUAACAUUAAUUUGUUUUCACACUAAUACCUAUAUGAUAUUAAUAUUAACUUUAAAUAUUUUGAUUCCACUCAAGUUAUUUAUCAUCUUAAAAAUAUAAUAUUAAUUAUUACUUAUUUAAUUUUCUAUAUUUUUAUUAAAUUAAAUAUAAUAAAACAAAUAAUUUGUAAUUUGUAAUAUAAAGUUAAAUAUAAUGCACAGCUGCUUGUGCGUUAGUGUUGUGUGGAACGGUAUGCAUAUGAGAUAAGUGUGAUAACUGAUAAGUAAAUAGGUUUAGUAAAAAACAUAUAAGGCUAAAGGUGAAAUUUUAAUAAAAUAAUAAGGAUAAAAAUGAGAAUAUAUUUAAUAAGUUAUAAGCUACCUAAACUACUGAAAUAAGCUCAUUCACCAAACAUUUUUAAAAAGUUUUUAAGCUAGUAAAAUAAGCUUUAAGCUAGCUGAAAUAACAUGUCAAAAAUAGCCUAAUACUACUACAUUAGAAAAAAGAGUAAUUUUGGAAGUUUAUUUUAAUUUAGGACAAAUAUAAUGCAUUGUAACUAAUUGAACUACAUUUCUUAAACUAUGAGAUUUUUUUCAGUUUUUAUAAAUAAGACGGGAGGUAGUACCAUGCUAAGCUUUAUUACAAAUAUGAGGAUUGAUGAGGAAUUAAACAGCAACACCAUGUCCUAGCUAUAUCUUAUCAUGAACUUUUGUGCCAUACAUAAUAUAUUAUAUGAGCAAUUAAAUAUGAAAUUUAGAAGAAAAUAUAGGGUUAAAUGUUUUCGGUCUCCUUAAAAUUGCAAAUUAUUGAUUUUGUCCCCUUAAUUUUUUUUAUUAAUGUUAGUCCCUCAUUUAUAAAAAUGAUGAGGUUUUAGUUCUUUAUCCAUUUUAAUAUGCAUUUUGUCGCGGCUUUUUAGAAGGUUUAAACCGUCACUAAUAUAUUUUACGUCAGUUUUUGUGUAUUAGUGACGGUUAAAUUGCCUCAAAAUGCUCCACAUCAGAAUUAAAAUGGAUAGAGGGAUCAAAACAUGAUCAUUUUCAUAAAUCAAAGAUUAAAAUCAAUGAAAAAUCAAAGAAGACUAAAAUCAAUAAUUCACUAUUAAAAAAUAUAUUUAACCCAAAAAAAUAUAUGAAGUGAAUCUUCCAAACCUUUAUAUAAGUGACAGAGUAGCUAGUCUAUCAAUUAUAAGAUUAUACGUUUGAAAACAAAUUAAAGCUGGUGUAUCUAUCAAUUGGGUACCAAAUAUAAACAACUUUUUUAUAAGCGAUAGAUAUGGUAGUUUGAAUGGGAAAAAAAACCAAAAAGAAAACCCCUAUGGUAAAUGAAAAUAUACGGUAAUUAAUUAAUAAAUUUAAAAAGUAGUUUAAGUAAUUGAAUUUUACAUGAAUUUUUUUUUCCCACACUUGUCUUACUAGCUAAAUGAGCUUGCUUGCAAAUGAGCUUUGCUGUGCAUGUUAUUUGUAUGGCAGAGAUGAUGUGGCACGCCACGUGUGUUAAUGAGAACCAAAAUCAAACAAUUUUUCCCUCGUGUGUUAAGGAGUGACAAGGCCCUUGAGUCAAUUGUUUGAUUUCUAACGUUGUAUGAUUAGGGAUCGAUCUGGUAUUAAUUUCUGAUACCCAUUAGCCAUCUUCUCCAAAGUUUUGAUAUCUUUACCAUAAUUUUUCCAAAUUUAACAAAACAAUAAGAUUUUCAAUGUUCGUGGAGAUUAUGGGUUCGACACACUUCGAGGAGUGGUAGAAGUGAAGGAGAGGACGGGGUGGCUGUGGAGGCUUGAGGUUUAAACUGAAAUUGAGUUUCUGAAAAUGCAUCAAGAUGAGGAAUUUGAAUUGGGAGUGCAAGUGUUUAAUUAGUUUAUAAUUAGAUUACUAAUGAGAUAAUAAAAUUGAAGUGGGAAAAUGUUUGAUUUAGGUAUUGAUCAAAACACGAGAUCAGGCACAUUAUCUCCGCCGCACAUUAACACUUGACAUGCUCACCAUACCUCAUUUUCAAGAGAUAACUAAAAGCGGGGUUGGUGGUGGCAGUGGCGACAUUAAUAGUUGUGGUGGUGAUAGCGGCGGUGACGGUGGUGGUAGUGGCAAUGGUAGUGAUGAUAGAAGUUGCAGCUUGUUUCAUUUUCACUUAAAAUGAAAAUGAUUUUUUUCUUAUGUUUUGGUCAUAUUUUAAAAAAUGUUUUUGAAAAAAAUAUUUUCUAAAUAUUAAUCGAAUAUGUUAUCAGCUGUAUUUUUUAUUUAUAUUGAAAAUGAAAAUAGGAAAUGGGUCAAUUCCUACUUUACUAGUAUUUUUUUGAAAUUUACUUUACUUGGUAUAGUGAUAUCAAGGAAGUAAAAAUCAUUAAGCGGCUUUCAAGAUCUCAUUUUAAUUACCAGCUAAACAUACUAUUACUAUUGUCUUUAAUAAUGGGAAUCUUUUCAAUUGGUGCAAUUAACUAAAUUAAUAAAGCAUUAACCUAGACAGAAUCCCAACUAAUCUGACCCUUGUCAUUAAUCAACAGUUCAAAUUAAUUAAGUUAGAUCGAUGACCUCUCGUCAAUGAACAAUCUAUACCUAUUUUAAAAAUAUGUAAUAAUACUUAUGGAUCAAAUUAAAAUAGUUCCACUCUCUUCGUUCCAUGUGAUCAGAUUGCUUUCUCAUGGAAUAAACACUAUACACAUACAGAGCAAGCCUUAAUGCAUGUGCUUCUUCUUUUAUUUGCAAGUACGGAUGAAGUUGCCGGCAUUGACCCAUUAUAUAGGUGUUUUGAAAUAAGUAAUUAGUAAUUAUGUAUACACAACUCAUUUUCUUUUUGAUCAUAUCAUUUUCAUACAUUUUUCUUGUUUCUGCAUUUUCUAAAUAGAUCACAUAUUUCUCUUUUUUCUCUUCUUUAAGGUGAAGGGCUGAAAGUGGAAAUAAAUUGUUAACAUAACAUUAUUCGUUUAGAAACUGAUAAGUCACUCCGAUCAGACUAGAGACUAGAGACAGGGGCGGAACUUGGAGAGGACAUAAGGGAGCCAUGGCUCCUUCAAAAUUCUUAGAAAACUCUUACAUAAUGCCCAUGAUAAAAAAAAAAUGUUUCACUCAUAUUAUAUAUACUGUAAUUUGUAUACUGUCACACAAACUUCAUGGUGACUUGGUGGAAAGUCAUCAUUCCUCUCUUUUUUAGAUACUGGGUUCGAAUCCCGUAUAUGUCAGUAUUUAGGUUACUUUUUUCUGUUUCACUCCCUUAACUAGCUUUAGGUUAGUGUGUAGAAUUUUUAAAAUGUCUUUUUAAAUAAUUUUUUUUGAUAAUCUCUUUAAAUAUUUAUUUGUUUUCUCUACUAUUAUUUAAAUUUUUAUUUAAGUCAACAUUAUUAAUGAUAAAAAAAUUCAGAAAACAAAUUAUCAAAAGGUAAUAUAAAUUCAGUCAACAUUAUUAAUAUAUAUAUAUAUAUAUAUAUAUAUAUCAAGAAGGUAAAAAUUGAAAAAAAAUGAGAAGUAAGUUUUUAAUUAUUAACAUAACUUUUAAUAAAUUUUCAAUAUUCAUGUAUAUAAAUUUCAUCUUUAUUUUCUUUUGUAUGAAUAUAUACAUGUAUUGUUGAUAAAAUAUUUUAAUUUAUGUAUUGAAAUUUUAUUUCGGCUCCCUUAAAAUUUUCCUCCAAGUUCCGCCACUGGACAUGGAGUUCUUAAAAAUAAGAACUAGUUCUUAUAUAAGAAGUUUUACUUUUUGAGUUAUUAGCAUAAAAAAAUUAUUUUUUCUUUCUCAUUCAUCAACUUAUUUAAUUUAAGUAUUGAAUUAGAAUUUAAAUUUAAAUCAAAAUUAUAUGAAAAUAAAAAAUAUUACUAAUAUAAUGGUAUUGUGAGACCAGAUGAAUAGUGCUAAGAACUAAGAACUCAUGGUUGGAGCAAAUCUACAGAGAGUUGCUUAAGCACAUGUGGCACUACGUGCUCACAUGAAUAGUGCCAAAAAUUAAGAACUAAGAACUAAGAAACUAGCAUUGAAGAUGCUCUAAGUACUCUCUCCAUGGUAAGUCAUGGUUUUCUCUCAGUCAUGUUUGUUUUGUUACCAAAAUGAAGUAUAUGAGAUUCUGCAUCUGUGAUUAUUAGGUUUGGAUUUAGUCCUUGUGAGAGCGACCAUAGUGUUCAACACCUUGUACUGCAUUUAAAGAAGAAUAUUUUGACACACAUCAGGACAGUGCGUUCGUCUGUAACACAAUGUUCUGGAGAGCUUCUUGCGCAACCAAAAAUCAAUCCAAAUAGUGUAAAUAAAAGCAAUGUAAGUGCUAUUACUUUACGUUCUGGAAAAACAACUAACUCUCCUGCACCCCUUAAAAUUUUCCUCCAAGUUCCGCCACUGACUAGAGACCCGUUCAGUCACAUGAAAAUGAAAAAAUCCUGAACUGGUUGAACUGGUAUGCAUCGAUGCCUAGAAUCGGUGUUAUAGACCAAGUUAAACAAGUGAAUUUUUUGCAUUUUAAAAAAAAAACUAAGUAUUUUAACUAUUUAUUUUUUUAUCAUAUAAAUUAAAUAAGAUAGUUGAGGACAUAUGAGUUGAGAGGGGAGGUACAUGGAUUAAUCUUUAAAUGGUGCAAUUUAUCUUUUCAAUAUAAAAAAUAUAUAAAUUAAAUAAGAUGAAAAAUUUAUUAUAAUUGAAAAUUCAAUCAUUCUAAUUUUUUUUAAUAUUGUAUAUGAAUGUAUUACAUAGUAACUAUAGUUUAAUGAUGCUUGUCAAUGUGUGGUGCCUUAAAUGAUAUAGACCAAUAGAAAACAUAGAAUUUAAACUUAGAGGAAGAGGAUUAAGGAAGAUUUGGAGGUUCAAUAUAGGUGGAGAAUGAAGGAAGAUGAUCUUAACAUGGAAGAAAUUUAAAUGAUCUCUCGGAGUUAUAAGUUCAACUAAAAACCUUAAUUUUCAAAUUGUGCAUUACAUAACAUAAACAAACUUAAGAACUAUAUGUUAUUAAUUCAUCAAGUCGAUCAUAGAACUUUUUAAAAUUAUAAUAAUACAUACUUUCAUCUUUCUUUAACCAAAUAACAAAAUUAUAACUUAAAAUAUCAUAUGGAAUACAACACCAAAAAAAAAUCUGCGUACCCCAAAAUUCACCCAAUAUAAUUGUGGUUCAACUAUUAAAUCUUGAACUGAUGUUUCGACUAAUUCAUGAUUGGUCCGACUUUUUAAUAUUGAUUUAUAUCAUACAACUUGCAGCCAUGCAUGGAUAUUUGGAGGAAGCUGACUUUUAUGCCUCUUUCAGUGCAUGAGAGAUUUGUAAAAGGGCACGUGCAUACGAUUAUUUAGAAAAGUAAAUUUUAAACUCUAUUUUUAAUAAUGAGUUUGGAUCUCACUUGGAAACUGAUGCCAUUUUUUUGAAGAAACUUGAUAAUGGUUAUAGGAGUAGGAUUAGUAUAAUCAGAGAUCGGAGACCAAUAGUGUGCCUGUUUGGAUAGGAACUGAAAGUCCGUUUGCUUCUCUUGAAAUGUGUGUGCGUGAUUUCCAAAGUGCUCAAACGCGAAAGAUAAAAAUUGUUUCGCUUACGUUCACGUUCAAUCCAACAUAAAUACAAACAGACCAAGAGUCCAUUCGGCAAGGGGCUUGGGAGUAUAGCUUGGCAAUAAUCUCUUCUAUAAUUCUAUAAACAUGGUUCAUACUUGCUCAAUGUAAGUUGUAUAAAUAUGGUUCAUAUGUAGAUCAAUUGUUUAUUAAAUUACUUUUGUUAGUCAUUUUCUUUUAAACUGCUACAUUCGUUUCUUACUAACGGUUCAUAAAGAGAAAUAAAUAGGUUGUAGGCAUGUAAAGAAAUACAAUUAAUUUUUUUAAAAAAAAUAUAAUUUAUUAUUUAUUUUACCUUUUAUAAUGCAAGUUAUCUCUUAUUUUUUUAGUAUAAACAUUCGGUACUCGGUUACCAUUUGAAUACUGCCAGAUUCGGGAUUUAAUUAUAGUUAAGACUCUUCAUCCCUCCCCUAGAGUUUAUUGUAUGGGGAUAGAACCCGAUAGUUAUUCUCACACACUCAAUCUGAGCUACCCCUCUUAAGAAAAUAUCAAUUAAUACAUUUUAAAAUCCGAAGUGGACAGAAAAAAAAUUGGGAGAGGUAGUAAAUCACAAGCAAAUCCUUCUGAAAAUAUCAAAGAACAACAUCAAUUAACAACAUAAUAAUCAAGGAAAUUUUCUUAGACUCUUAUAAUAAUGUCACUGGUUCCCUUAUCCUAAGAUUUGCUGAAGAUUCAAAUGCACCAGCUCCAUAACUAGAACGACAAGAUGCAAUUUUUCUUUCCUUUUUGCUUUCUUGGAAUACAAUAUGAUGAGGUGAAACUUAGCAGAUGACACAGGCAUUAGGAUUCUCUUCCACACUAGUGUAAUAGUAAUGUGGCUGUCUCAUCAUCUGAUUCUGACAUGCUUCAUAUACCUUCGCAAUAUCAACCAUGUUCUGAUUAUGAUUCUGAUUCUGAUUCUGAUCGGUUUUCUUCUUCUGAUCCUCUGGCUUCUUUCUCUCUUCUUUCUUAGGAGGUUCCUUGGCUGGUCCAACAGAGAGUAUCUCAGUAUGACACAGCUUCCUCAGCUUACCCACCACUGCCACAGGGUCAAUGUCCCCAGUUAAGGUCAGUUUCUGCUCAUUCAUAUCCAUAGAGACUGACUCAAUCCCUGCAUAAAGCAUGUCAGUGUAUAUUUAGAAAUUUUUCUCCUAUUGAUUCUUAACUCAAAAUUCAUGUGGGGAGAGCUAGCAGCUUUUGAAUUUAAAAACUGAUUCUGAUGAAAGACAAGUUAACUCAAACAUGCUAUUUAUCAACUAUGUACAAAAUUACAAGGGGUUGAAAUUCCAUACCUGAAAUAUUAGAGACUUUCUUCAUAGCUUUUUUCUUAAUUUUGUCAUCGAGUAGUUCCACUUUUAGCACUACUUUCUGCCAGAGUGCAAAUAAGAUCGACGAGUGUUAGUUAGGACACUUGUAAUUUAAUCAAUCUAAUAAAGAAAAACACCAAUCUUCAAUUUGUUUUUCAAGAGACGAAAAGACAAGCCUAUGUUGAAAUUUUGACACGAGAUCUAAAGCUUUGAGUGUCAAAGAGUGCCAAAAAAUUAAAAUAAACAUAUAGAUUAUAUAGUUGAUCUAUGAUGAUGAAUGAAUGAUGAACCAUGCAUGGAGCUGGAACUGAAACAGAGCAAAACUAAAAUUAGAAGCUUUCACAAUAAAACUUGGAGGGGUGACAAAUUCUUACAUUCAUUGAUGUGACGCUGGUGAAAAAUAAGGGAAGUUUUGUUUUGGAAGUUCUGGUGUAUGGAAGUUCAGUUGGUUGAAGGUAUUUAAAGAGAAAAAUAAUAAAGCUACAGAGACUAGUGUGUGAGAUAGCGAGAUAGGAAGUCAACCCAAGUCUAUAAUUAUGAAAAAUAACAAUGAUAUAUUCACACCUCAUUUUUUAUACAUUUCAUUUUCACAUAUAUUAUUUCUAUUUUUCUUCUCUUAUUAUUUAUCGCAUCUUAUACUUUCUCUCUCUUACUUUUUCUUUUAUUCCUAACUCUCUCCUCUUUAAGAUGUGAAUGAACGAUUAUUCUUAUAAAAAAUGUUUAUAGGAAGGCUAGUGUUUUGUUUUUUUUUUGGUAAAUUCUUUUCUUUUUGGUAAAUGACUAGUGUUUUGUUUAUGUAUGAAACAAUCAAUCAAUCACGUGCGUUAAUACAUAAAAACCGUCAUAAAAAAUUUAAUAUAGAUUAAUUUCACAUAUUUCAAUAAUAUUGGAACUAAAAGCUAUAACAUCUUUUUAAGGAACCGAAUUCAAUUCAUAGGAAUUAAAAACAUGGUUAACCAUUUACUUGUUUAUUUUUGUCAAAGUGCCACAGCCAAAAUAAAAUUGAAGCUAGGUGUAAAGGGGUCUCGCAAUCAAGAGCGUGUUGACCUUUGUUGGUAAUGGAUUAAGUGUGUGUUUGGAUUUCCAUGUUAAAUUCAAUGUAGAUUCAUAUUGAAAAUAACCUGUUAAAAUUAUGCAUCUACAAUUUAUGUUAAAUUUAAUGUGACGAAUUUCAACUUCUUUGAAAUACGUGAAAUCAAAUUUACUACUACUAACCUCUCUAAGAGCAUCUUCAAUGGAGUCCUUAUUUUGGGACCUUAAAAUAAGAUCCGGAUCUUAUUAGAUCUCACCAUUAGAGCUAUCCUACAUGGCAUGAGAUCUUAGCAAAAGCUAAGAUCCGUGCCUUAGCUCAGGUACUCUCAAAUGUGAGAUCUUAAAUAAAAUAAUAUUUUUUUUCUCUCCUUCAAUACCAUAAUCAAAGUGAAAAUUAGGGAGGAAAAUAAAUAAUAUAAAAUAUAUUGAGUACUGUGGGCUCAGACAAAAGUAAAAUAAGAUAUCAACCAUUAGAGUAAAAUGUGUAUGAAGACCUUAUGAGUGUCUUAAAUCCUAUGUGGCAAUUUGGGCCCACAAAAAUUGAGUUAAGUCCCAAAAUAAGUUUAUACCAUUGGAGAUGCUCUAACAAGCUUCUAUGCUCUUUGAUUUUAAUAUAUUAUCCAUUUAAAAAAAAAACCCUCUAACAAUAAACAAAGAUAGACUAAGUGAUUUAAUGCUGCACAAGAAAGUGCAAUAACAACAUACGAAGAGGAACAAAAGAAACACACUUUAGCCAACCAACAAAGAAAGAAAAACAGAAUUGACAAGAAAAGGCUAGCAAAGGAACCCCCUGGAGAUGGUUAUGGCCCAUCACAAUUAAGUGGGCCCAGCAGAAAAUAUCUAUUUGAUAUCUGAGGCCCGUACUCAUAGCUUUUGGUCCCACUAAUCACCUCAUGACGGAAGGGAGAAUCUUGGGCCGAUGGGUUUCAGGCACAAACCCUCCUUAACACGUAAGUAACGCCUUCCCGUGUCGUUUUUGUUCAGCAACCGACUCUUUCCUAUGUCCUUCAUACUUCACAGUUUUCAAUUAUUCUAUAACUAUUUUGUGGACCUUGGACUUCCUUUAAAUAAAAAAUAUUGGUGAGAAAAAGUUGAAGUGAAGUUAUAUCUGAAAAUAUCGUAUGAAAAUAUCUAUGUUUAUAGUGCAACCUUAUUUUAAUAAUCUAAAUGUGAUAAAAUAUCUUAAUUUGUCACAUUUUAUAUUCCCAAUCAAUUUUGUUAGCUUUAUUAUUUUUUCUUUUGUUAGCUUUAAUAAAACAUGAAAAACAAGAUAAUAUCUAAAUUAACAUGGGUGCUUCAAUGGGGAUAAAUUUACCCAUUAGUGUGUUAAAUCUUUCUAAUGAUUAUUCAGCAAUUUAAACUUAAAUUAUUAUUCUUAUUAAGAAUUUAAUUUGUCUAUUACUAAACUAACGCAUCGAGCAUGUUUAGGCUGUGUUACUUGUGGUAUGAAAAAAAUCAUAUUUGCACAAUUUUCUUUUUAUCCUUUUACAUGAUUGGAAGUUCACAUGGCACUAGCAGGAAUUGUAUCCCUUGGAGGAAAUGUGACAAGGCAUAUGUUGUAAAGAUAUGUGCUUUUGACUUUGGAGAUAUUUUGUUCAAAAUGCAGUAAAAAAUGGAGUGGUAAUUAACAAUAUGAUAUUGAUUAUUUUGUUUAUCUUAACGACUUUAUUCAUUAUCUAAAAUUUCUAAUUUGUCCAUGCAUGAUGUGUAAAAAAAUAUGGAAUAUCCAUUAUAAAUUGAAUUGCAAUUAAUAGAAAUAUUUAUCUCAAACAAGUUUCACUUAAAGCAAAAAGGUAUAAAAGAAGAAAAACAUUUUUCACAAUUGAAACCAACUAACUCUCAUGCUUGUACUUGUAAGAAAAUCAACAUUCCAAUAAGUAAAAUCAUUUAGAGCAAAAGUUGGGUCACUUUUUCCAUGAUACAUUGCCUCCAUCUCCAUCCUUGUAUUGUAUAUAUAAAAAAAAAGACAUUAGAAAAUAGUUAGAAGGAAGAACACCAAGCUUUAUUAAAACGCAAACCUAGGAAAAUAAAAACACUUGAUUUGUCAAAUGUUAUGGCCAGCAAGGAUUGGCAGUUGUAAAUACUACUUUAGAUUCUGCAGUUAAAGCCAUUUUCUUUCUCUUUGAAACCCCACGAAAAUGGUGUCAGAAAACCCGAAUGCUUCAGAGGCUAUAUACUUGGAACCCUUAGCAGAUUCGGUGGAGGACCCUGCCAAGAAGACACGCAAACCAUUCACCAUCACCAAGUCUAGAGAGAACUGGACCGAACCUGAGCAUGAUAAGUUCCUUGAAGCUCUUCAACUGUAAGAAAAUGAAAAGUUUUCCUUUUUUUUCAUCUUCUUCUUCUUAUUUUGUUCUCAGAAUGUAGUGUGUGAAUUUUGAAGUUCAACUGAGACAUGGGUUUUAGUGGUACCCUUGUGUGUGUGUGUGUGUCACUGUUUGAGUCAUGGUUUCAGGAAGCUACUUAUGGAGAAUUUUCACAAUUGUUUGUCAAGGACUGAGAUUUUGGUAUUUCAGAUUGGUUUGGCAGGGGAAGAAUAAAAGAUGUUAGGAAUGGUCAAUGGGGAGGGUAGAGUUUUAUUACUACUGUUAUCAACUUAUCAUUGUUAUUUGGUGAUUGUUGUCAAAAUACACUAUGUGAAUCAGUGAAUGUGAUCAAUUCAUUCUUUUUGGGGGGGCUUCUUAUAAUGGUUGAACUUAGUUUACUAUUCCUAAAUGGAAUUUGCCAUUUCAAAUUUAAGCAAUUUGUUUGUUUUUCCUUUUUCCUGGUCUUGGUGUAACCAUUUAGCAUCAACUCAUUGUUUUUUUUCUUUCAUUUUGGAUCCAGAUUUGACCGUGACUGGAAAAAGAUUGAAGCUUUUGUUGGAUCAAAAACAGUUAUCCAGGUAAUUUCAAGUGCAAUCGUUGAUUAGAAAUUGUCAUAAGCUGUUACUUCUGGGUACCAUUGGCCAUAAAUAUUUUGGAUUGCAUUAGUUAUCUUAUAAUUUAUGGAAUCAGAAUGUGAAUAUUGGUUAUGUUACAUUAAGGAUUUCAUCCCUUGCCAGAUAAAGUGUUGGAUGCUGGAAAUGAAAUGCCAAAAAAGGAUAUUUCCCUUUCUCUCCCUGCCUCCAUUGCUAAUUGGACUGAUUUCUUGAAAACCCUGAUACAUAUGACUUUUCCUUUUGUUUGGUGGGACUAAAAUUGUGAAACCUGAUAGUCAUAUUCAUAUACCAACUUGCUUUUCUUUUGAGGAAAGUUCCAAUAGCAUUCAUUUAAGAUUAACUUAAGCUAUUAUGCGGGUUCCAUGUGCUUGUUAUACAAGGAUCAAAUCAUGCUGUGACUUUUAAGUAAAGAAAGUUGAGGACAAAGAAAGCAUUAAGCUUUUCAUAUUUUAAAUUGUGGACUAAGCACAGGCUCAUCAAGCCUCAUGCUGAAAUGCAAUUUAGUUUAGAAGAAUAGAGAUUAUAAGGAUUAAACUCAUGAAUAUUUAGUCACAAAAGUUUUUGUACCAAGUCAAAGAACCAACUAUCCUUGGUGUUUACUGUUUAAUAUGUUAGUUGUAGCUUUGGGAAUGUAUUUAUCGUCUAACAAGAAUGAUGCAAAUUUUCUUAAAUGGGAUACCAUCAUUGACUAACAUGAAAAGCAGACUUCUUUUAUGUUGUUAAAAGAAAGAAACAGUUUCAUUGGGGAAUAUUUUAGAAUAUCUUUUAAAUGUCUGUUAGUUGAGUGCUUACAGCUUAAUGGAUUCAAAGAUGUCAGUGCAUAUGACAGUUGGGAGUUGUUAGGAUUUCUAUUACUUUUUCAUGUGCUUCAAUGUUUAAUGGAUGCCUCAAGUACCCAUAAGAAUGACUGCUGAUUUUGUAGAUACGUAGCCAUGCACAGAAAUAUUUUCUUAAAGCUCAGAAGAGUGGGAAAAGUGAACAUCUUCCUCCACCCAGACCAAAACGAAAAGCGGCUCAUCCAUAUCCUCAGAAAGCUUCCAAAAACGGUUACAAUCUUCACCAUAUUUUGUUUACAACAUAUUUUAGAUUAAUUGUAUCUAAUGAUUGUAAGUGAUAUUUGACAGUUCCAGUACUCUCGCAUGUUUUAGGAUCCUCUCAAUCUUCAUCUGCUUUGCUUGAACCUGGAUCCAUCCCCAAGCAUGAAUCUUCGCCAAUUCUUAAAACUCCUAUACUUAACACUUCAGUUUCUUCCGGGUCAAACAACACUUUGCAGACAACAGCCAAUGUAUUACAUGGUACUGAAAAUUUAGAUUUUAUAAUCCUGGAAUAUAUUUAUGGAACUUGUUUGGAUAGUUUUCGUAUGAUACCAACUAGUUUGUUGUGUUUAAAUAUUGUGUGUUUUAGGUCAAAAAGUGAAUAAUUGUUGCAGCAGCAAUGAAAGCACUCCUAGAGCACGCGUGGUUGGUGAAUCUAAUGGUCAAGGAAAUAAUAACCAUCCAUUGAAAGGCAAGGGUUUAAUGAUUUUCCUUUCUAAUUUCAGUGCUGUCAUCUUUGAUUGUUACAUUAAAUUUGAUGUGUGCAUGACAAGGUUAUGGAGUGUUGUUGUAAGCAUAAUUUGUGCACAACUGCAUAUUUCAGCAAUUAUGUUAUUGCUUUAUAGUGUAUUCCUGUUUUAUUAUCAAGAAUAUAACUGUGUUGGGUCCAAAGUAAGUAUGGAGUCUCUUAAUUUCCAAUCCCCUUCUUGGACAUGAAUCUUGAUUAUCAUCAUCUGAGUCGCCAAAAUAUUCAUUUGAUAUUUCCUUGAUGGUACCUUCAAUUUAUGAAAUUUGAUACGCUUUCGUAUCUUGAACAUUUUGUUAUUUUAAUGUGUACUCAACAUGUGGAAGUGAUGUCUGUCCUGUUUUUCUUGUUCUGCGACUCAUUUCUUAUGAGAAUACCCAGAAAGCUGUCUUAUCCUCAUAGGAGUUUUACAAACUCCCACCUACUCAUGUCAAUAUAGCUACAUACAUUCGAAGUUAUGUGCACAUUUCUGCAAUAAUUUUCUUUUCAUAGAAUUUACGCAUAUGAUUUUUGUAUCUUUUUUAGUAUUUAUUGUUGUCUCACUGUUUUCCAAUGUCAAUUUAAUUUUCCCCUCAUUUGUAAUGCAGUUCUUCCUGAUUUCACUCAAGUAUACAGAUUCAUUGGCAGUGUAUUUGACGCAAAUGUAACUGGGCAUCUACAGAAACUUAAAAAGAUGGACCCUUUAGAUGUUGAGACGGUAUGUGUUUGUGUGAUUUCUUGCUUUGAACUCCCUUAAGACAUUAAAGCAUUAUUUCUUGCUUUGAAUACCUGUGUUAAUUUGUGUCAACUAGUACAAUUCAGAAGUUCUGAGACAUUUCUUCUUUUUAUGACCUUGAAUAUUUUUAGGUGCUGCUGUUGAUGAGAAACCUGUCUAUCAAUUUAACAAGUCCAGGUUUCGAGGAUCACGUAAGUAUUCAUGCCACUGAUCUUUGGAUUACUUAAUGCAUGAACCUCACCACUAUUUUGACCCAACAUCAAAUUUUCUCUUUAAAAGAACUUGUUUAAGGAUCCUUACUCCUUAGCUUUAGAAGGCCGUCCCUAUAUAUUCCUCAUCUUUUGAAAACUGUCCAUCUCCGACAAAAGCAUCUUAUGCAGAUUGGAAAUUUCAUCUUCAUAGAAACUUGAAUGACUAAAUUAGACAUCAAAUUGCAUGACCAAUGAAAGAAGGAACAAUAAUAAAUUUCAUUUAUAUGUGAACCGGUUGUAAUUCAUGCAGAGAAGGCUGCUCGCGUCAUAUGAGGUGGAACCCGAGAUAGAUAAUUAUAUCAAUGUAGAUCAAGCCAUGCAUGAUGAGCAGUUGAAGAGUGCUACUUAGAUGGAGGGGAGGUUGAAUAUAAAAUUGGCUGUUUUUCAUGCAUUUCUGCAUGAUGAGGUAAGAUGCCUCGGCAAGAAAACAAGCUGAGAUUCCAGCAACAGUCUUAUGAUCCUGCUCUAAUUAGUGGCUUAUGUUGCUCAUCGAUCAUCUCAGCUUAACAAGGCUUUUGAUUCCCACAAUUCGAUUCGGUGAUGUAUAUAUUAAUGAAACAUAUUAUAGAAGAAAAUAAUAAUGCUGGACUCUAUAGAUUUCAUAUUUUUGUAAUAUCCGAGACAGUACUAGCAAGUUGAUGACUUUGUAAACAAUAUAUACGUUUGUUUGCCUUAGGAAGGGAAUGCAAUUUCAAAAAGGAUGUAAAAUACUUCAUAUUAAUGUAGUGUUUAUUCUAUUUAAUUGUGUUUCUAUUAUUUGAUAAAAAUUGUUAUUAGAUUACGGAAUUUGGCUCUAAAAUAUAAUUUUUUACUAUAACUCAUUAUGUUGUAGUAUAUAGUUCUUCUACUAAAACUAUAACAUGUAAACAGUAUAUACGUUUGUUUGUCUUAUUCUGAAAUUUGUUGAGAAAAUAAUAAGGAACGGAAACUAAUAGCAAUGUUUACAGUGUAUAACACAGCAAUAUCAAAAAAAGUCUCUGCAAUUCAACAUUUCACGUCCUUGUUGGAAAAAGUAGUAUGCACCAAAUCUUUUGUCAACUGUUAGCCUUUACUGUGUGUCAUAGUAUGAAGUUUCAGGACAUGAAAUUUCCAUGUAUCUAGGAGAGAUCUAUUUAGUAUUUACACAACUUCAUUACUGUUUCAACAAAAGUAUGAGAAAUCUGUGCAGACAAUUGUGAUCUUUUUAGACUUUUUCAGACCAAUAUUCCAUCUACAUCCCAACAAUUGCUGGCAGUGGUUCAAAGUCUGCUACUGAAAACCUCCAACAUAAGGGUUCCAGUUCCUUGCGCUAUCACCAUGAAGAUCUAACAAUGAGUAGUUGACAAGAUCUAACAAAAUCAGUAACUAAAACACCACAUAAAUUUCAUUUCUAAAAUGACUCAUAAAAAACAUUUGACAAGUGAUUUCUUACCAAGACUCGGUGGUCUUAUGAAACCUCCAUAGCUCGAUUCAUGAUAUCCUAAGCAACCCUGCAUUGAGUUUAGCUUUUGGGUGCAACAAGUCAUGCGAGAUGCAGGCAGGUGUGGUGGAACUGGAACACCAGUUUGUGGUUCACACAAUGAGCUGAGAUUAAGUUUGCUUGGAUUUAUCAUCUGCUGGAAUUUCGAUUGACCGACUUCAUGAUCAAACCUUCUCAUGUCAUCUUGGGAAAGAAGGAAAGGUGGAGAAAUUGAGUUGGAUGGGAAAGGGUGGGAAAACAGAGAAAAUGUGGGGGAACCAAUGAAGUUUUCUUGAAAACUGUUAUGACUUUGUUGACCCCUUCUUGGAUUCAACUGAUUAGAACAGAGCUGAGGGUAAGGUUGCUGUGCAUGCACAGGGGGGUAAAAGCCCGUUCCAGCUCCAUGAUGCACUAUAGGAUCAUCAAAAUGUGGUGCAGGAGUACUGUCAUCAUCAUUGAGUAUGGACUCCACUAGCUUUUCGAUCAUCUCAUGAGGUGAUCUUGGACUGAACCCAUCAGCUUUAUUUGGACUUGUUUCAGGGUUAGACAUGAAAUUAUCACCCACAGCCGAAUUUCCCACCUCUGGCAACAAGAAUGAUCCAUCAAAUGCAAUUAAACUGUCCUCAUCAGGCCAGCAAAUUUCAGAGCUAGAAUUUGAUUCUCCAUCUAAGCUGUUGCAGGAAGAAUUUAACUCCAACUCCUCCUGAGAUUGGAGAUCAGGGUUGCAUCGAUCUUGCUUCGGGAUGACUGGAAUUGCUUGCUUGACAUCUUGCAAAGACAAAUUACUUAAUUGCAACUCCACGGUACCUUGCUCAUAUGCCACUCGACAAAGGUUUUUCUUGAAAUUUCCGCAAUUCUCUUGGUUAUGGAAGCUUGUUGGUCUACUUUUCUUUAGAGAUUCCAUAACUUGGCAAGUUCCUAUUGGAUAUUCCACAUCAAAGUUUGAACAUUCUUCAGACUUCAUUAGGUGAUCAGUAUCCAACGCUGAAAGAUGACAAUAUGUGUUUAUAUGGUUUCCAGACGACUGCCAUGGAUUUACUAUUUUAUCAGUAGUUAAAUCUUGCUGCCUUUGUGUAGAACAACUUUUAGUCAUCUCCGGCAAGGUGGAUGGAUGAACAGAAUUGCCUCUUACAGCUCCUUCAAUCAGACUUAGUUUCGAUGAAGCAUCUAAUUGCUCAUUGAUCAUAAGAUUGGAAAUAAACUGCAAGAUAUUUGAAUUUCUUGUUGCUGGUGUCAUCAGAAAUUCCUCUGAACGAUCCUUCGAAUCUAUGUUUUGUAUAGAAUUCCCCUUGCCCUCCUCCACUUCCCUGACUAUAUCUGCACAUGAUUUCUCUUAAUGUAAUGUUAAAUACUAAAAUUUAUACCUUCCAUUUCUUUAACAUUCUUUAAUGGUUUGUUUUUUUAUCAGCUCAAAGAAGCUGAACAGAAUUGGCUAGUCAUGUUAUAAUAGGAAAAACUAUAUAAUAACCUUGUGGUUGACAAAUUGAAGGCCUAAGAAGACAAUAAAGAAUUGAAAAGAGAUUUGACCUUUUCUCCAACUUUCCCGUUCUGUUUUCUCUUGAAUUGUUCCCUCAGAAGAUACAGAUGUGUCACCGUUAAGCAAGACAUUGCUGUCUCUAGGUGGAGGUAGUGCCUGAAAGAACAGAAUAUUAUGAAACAAAAUUUUGCAUGCCUAAGUCUACCUUCCUUUAUGAAAACCAUAUUUGUAGACAGACCUUGUAACGACAUGGAGGCCGAUACGGUUCAAUAGUCCUAUGGAGCUGAUGAUUAGCACUGUCUACAUCUAUAACCCUUGGAGAAAUUUUCUGAGGCAUGAUUUUCUGAAGUCCUGAGUCUGUGUUUCAAAGCACAAAUUUCUUAAGUUAAUUUUAUCAUAAUCCACAACAUGCAAUGAUGAUCCACACAAUACACAUUAAUGACAAGAAGAUUAUCAAGCAACAGAUUUUUCAAUAGAAUUUGAAAAUCAAACAUUACACACCUGAAACACAAGUAGGCACAGAUAGAAUUCCAGGUGAAUCUUGAAACACACUGUUCAAGAAACAGGCACAAAUUAAACAACCUACACAAAACAGCAGAACAAUACGCAUGGAAUCUUAUAAAAUAACAAUGUAGUAGAGUUUUCCUAACCAUGAAAUUGAGAGCUGAACCUCCUUCGGUAAUUUCACCGCAUUAGGACAAUCUGCUUUUGAUAAAGAGAGAAGAAACUCUCUCGAGUACGAAAUUUUCGAUCGCCUGAAAAUACCAAAUCAAAAGGUUCUUGAAUCACAAAUUCACAAUCACAUUGAAACAGAACAUCACAUGAAGCCAAAUUCAUCACAUUUGGCAACAGAGUGAAUCCUCACCAAGCUAAAGCCUCAACUCAUGUAAAAAUCAUCAAAAAUUCAAGUAUUCAACAGCGUUCAAACAAUUUUCAAAUCAUAAUUAGGGGGAAAACGUUACACGAUAGUGUAGUUGACUAAACAAAGAUUCACCGUAACAAGAAAUUACUACAGUGAAUCUUCACCAAGCUAAAGCCUCAAUUCCAAUAUUCUACUGCAUUCAAACGAUUUUCACAUCUAAUUGACUAGUUUCUCAGCCGCCAAACAGAAACAAAGAUUCACCGUAACAAGAAUCAAACAAUAAGAAACUACACUAGUUCAUGAAACCGCACUAGCCUAAAACAUGCAUUAACAGUAACAAUCAAACUCAAAAUUCAAUGAAUCAAAGCUUACUUGUUAGAAUCUUGAGACGGUGGAGCAAAGACAUUCGCGGUUCCAUUUUCCUGGCUCAUUUUCUCGAGAAAAUCCUCCGUCAAAUUUAGCGUUGACUACUCACAGUGUUUGAAUUUCUCCAAGAAACACCAGAACAGAACACAUGAACCGAACCUUACAACAAUGCUGCUAGAAGAAUCGAGAAGAAACUCGAAAACCUAGAAGAUCAAAUGCAAGAAAAUUACUCAGGAAACAGAGAGAAAUAGCAACGAAAAUAGCGACGAUGAGAAGAAGAAGUGAAGAACAGCACCUUGAGGGGUUCGAUACGGUGGCGGUGACGGUGGUGGAGUAGAGGUAAUAUCCAGAGGGAGAAACAUUUUCCGAGCGAGAAGUUUUCUCGGGAAACAGAGAGAAAAUGGGAGAGAAAAUGGAAAAGGCUUGCAGAGGAAGUUACAGAGAAAGUGAGAGACUGUGAGUGUUUCUAUUUGUAGAAUUUUGAUGGCAACGCGACGCAUUUAUUUACUCUCAGCUAGCAUAGCACACUGACACUAGUUGCUACAGGCUCACGUAUUUAGCAUGGCACAGAUUAAAAUAUUAAAUAUUUUUAUUUCUAUUUUUGUGUUUAGUUUGAUACUCUGAUUCAGCUUUUUAAUAAAGUGUGAUAUUCUCAUACCAUUGCCUAGUUAAACUAUUUUUGAAUAGUGUUGAUAUGGAUUUUUAGCUAUUUGUUUUUUUAGCCCUCUCAAAAUUUGUUUAUUUAAGUAAAGUACAUUUUAUGCUAAAAGACAUGUAAUGAUACCGAUUUAGAUUUGGUAAUAGUUUUUUGUGUUUCAUUUCAACAAGUUCAGCUACUUAAUGUAUGAUUUUGGAGGAAAAGUUUUGUUUACACUAAUGUGGAAAUAGAGGGGAGAGAAAGGAAAAAAGAGAGAAAUUUAUUCAUUUUUUGUUACGGGAAAUUGGGAGAGUAAAAGAGGGUAAGAAAAAACAGUGACUCUUUUUCAGUGGUCUGUCUAAUUUGAAGAUAAAGUCUAUAUUUUGUUUUUUUUUUUACGGUCAGAUAAAGUUAAUUUGAAGAUAAAGUGAGACCGUGUGUGAUUUUUGUCUACUUGCUUACUUUUGUUAGGGGAGGGUAAGAUCCGGAAGAAAAAAAGCUUCACAUUUUUUGCAAUUCAUACUUCAACUACACUUGCAUAAGAUAGAGAAAGAAAAAAAAUAUGACAAAUGGUGUGAUAUGAAAAAGAAAAGAUAUAUAUAUAUAUAUAUCAAGAAAAAUAAAUAAAAAUGAGACGAAACUGAAAAAAAUAAAUUAAUGAAUCAAAAUCUAAUUGUGAUCACCCUAAUUUGAAGAUAAAAGUGUAUGUAUUCUUUUUAUCCAUUUUCUUAUUUUAUCACUUAAUUAAUGUCAUGCUGAUAAACAUUAUAUGAAGAAUGGUAGCAAAACUUUUUUUCUAACACUCUUUUCAACAUUCUUUUUACUUAAUCGGUUGAAAUUCAUGGGAGUCACAUUAAAUUGGCUAAGAGACUUAUUUUUAGAGUGACUGGAUUUAACUAAAUUAAAACAUUACCAUAACUAGAGGGUUUGCGGAGUAAGACGCUUGGGCUGUGUGACAUGGGAUGUCCAUAGCACUUGGUUUAUUGGUGUUUUCGUGAGUUUUGGGCUUGAAAAUGCUUAUGGGCUGAGCUUUUGGCAGUGGAAGUAGGAUUGCAUCAUGCAUGGAAGCUUGGUUACAAAGAUAUUUAUCAUGUAUGAGACUGCAUUGAUGUUGUGUGAAAAUCCUUCCUAACAGAAAUGAUAAUUCAAACAUAUUGGGUGAGGGAAAGCAUCACUAAAAUUAGAUUCAUGCUUUCUUUGGCUCGGAAUGUGGAGGUUGAUUAUAUCCCAUGUGAGAAAAAUAAUAUUGUAGGUUUUCUAGCCCAUCGAGCUUUUAGGAAGAAGGGUACUCCUCUUUUAAUUUGGCAGAGCCCAUCUUUUAAUGUUAUUUGUGUAUGUGCGCUCUAGUGUACUUUAUUUUUGUUGUAGUUUCCCUCUUGUAAGAAAAAUAAUAAACAAUCAAAUUCAGUAAUAAGAGAUUUUAAGAAAAAACCAUAAUUAACACUGCUACUUUCAUCAUAAAACCACAUGUUAAAUCUACUAUUAGUUUAUCAUGUCCCGUCGAGUUUGGUGGUGAAACUAGUGACAAAAGGAUUUCUUACUUCUUUGCAGCCUUCUGAUUUUGAGCUGGUUGAAGUGGAACAAAAGUUCAUUCUCAAAUUGUCUUUGUUUGUUUAUUCUGUUAGAUAUGAAAAGUUCAACGAAUCUGGUUUGUUUGGGUCUUCUUUGUACAAUGAGCACUAACUGAUAACUACACACGCUUUAUAUCAUGGUUUGGUUCUGAAAAUGAACAUCAAUAAAAUAAAUUGAAAAGGAGAGGGAAUUUGGAUGGAAGACAUACACAGAUCAGCUUCAUUGAUGUUUGUUCUAGUAGUACAAAAUCAGCUUAGGCUCAUCAUAACACAUUUUGACAACACAAAACUAUAAACCAAAGACCAAGAAAGAAUAUAACACACUAAACUUUGUAGACAGACUUUCAGACACAAUGCAUCUGCCACCAUACUUACAUGAUAUAUGAUAUAUCCUUAGUCAACUUCCUCCAUCUUACUCUCCUCAGCACCAUCCUCCUCCAGUGGAGGCAUAUCUUCAUCUCCACCAGUCUCCUCCUCAUCAAUGCUAAGACCAAGCUUCAACAUCCUGUGAAUUCUAGCAGCAAAUGUGUUUGGAUCAUCAAGGCUGAAACCAGAAGUCAAGAGUGCAGUCUCAAAGAGAAGCAACACCAAAUCCUUCACUGAUUUAUCAUUUUUAUCAGCUUCAGCCCUCUUCCUCAGCUCCUCCAUGAUCCCAUUAUCCGGGUUAAUCUCCAUGGUCUUCUUGCUCGACAUGUAGCUGCUCAUGCUGCUAUCCCUCAACGCCUGAGCCUUCAUGAUCCUCUCCAUGUUCGCAGUCCAUCCGUAUUCCCCUGUCACCAAACAGCAGGGUGAAUCCACAAUCCUGUCAGAGACAACCACUUUCUCAACUCUGUCUCCCAAGAUGUCCUUCAUUGUCCUGCAAAGAUCCUCAAAUGACUUCUUCUUUUCCUCUUUCUUCUUCUUCUCUUCCUCGCUUUCAUCAUCCAAUUUCAAUCCCUCCUUAGUAGCAGAAACCAACUUCUUCCCAUCAUACUCUUUCAAUUGCCCAACAGCAUACUCAUCAAUUGCAUCCACCAUGAACAGCACCUCAUACCCCUUCUUUUUCAGCCUCUCCAAGAAUGGUGAAUUCUCCACAGCCUUCUUGCUCUCUCCUGUGAUAUAGUAAAUGUCCUUCUGCCCCUCCUUCAUUCUGGUAACAUAGUCCUUGAGACUAGUCAACUCAUCUCCACUCUUUGUAGAAUAGUAUCUCAGCAAAUCAGCCAAUUUAGCCCUGUUCUGACUAUCUUCAUGGAUACCCAGCUUCAAGUUCUUGGAGAAAGCAUCAUAGAAUUUGUUGUAAUCCUCUUUAUUCUCCGCGAUCUCGUUGAACAUCUCAAUGCAUUUCUUCACAAGAUUCUUCCUGAUCACCUUCAAGAUCUUGUUCUGCUGCAGCAUCUCCCUGGAAAUGUUGAGUGGCAAGUCAUCAGAGUCAACCACACCCUUGACAAACCCAAGAUACUCAGGAAUCAGCUCCUCACAAUUGUCCAUGAUGAACACCCUCCUCACAUAAAGCUUGAUGUUGUUCAUCUUCUUUCUUGUGUCAAACAGAUCAAAAGGUGCCCUUUUGGGAACAAAUAGAAUGGCCUUGAACUCAAGCUGACCCUCCACUGAGAAAUGCUUGACAGCCAAGUGGUCUUCCCAGUCAUUGGUGAGGCUCUUGUAGAAGGAAGCAUACUCAUCCUUGGUAAUCUCCUCUGGCUUUCGCAGCCAGAUUGGUUUCUGCUUGUUGAUGAGUUCCCACUCAUGAGAAACCUCCUUAAUCUUCUUCUUCUUAGAAUCCUUCUCCUUCUCUUCAUCAACAUCCUCAACUUCUCCUUCCUUCUCCUUCUUGGACUCAUCAUCCUCCUCAUCAUCACUGAUCUCCUUCUCAGUUGUCUUCUCAGUCCAGAGGUAAAUUGGAUAGCUAAUGAAUUCAGAGUGCUUCUUCACAAGAUCCUUAAUCCUUCUCUCCUCCAAAUACUCCAACUGUUGCACAAACAAGACUCAACCAAUUAACAAUUUGACUAAAACAAACACCCAAAAGAAAAAGAAAAAACAAUCGUAGUUAAAACUUCAAUUUCUUUACCUGAUCCUCCUUGAGGAACAAGGUAAUCUUAGUUCCUCUUCCUAAUUGUUCACCAUUCACAUCCCUGAUCACAGUGAAGGAUCCACCAGCCUGUGAUUCCCAAAUGUACUGUUCAUCGUCAUUGUGCUUGGUGGUCACAAUGACCUUCUCAGCAACAAGGUAAGCAGAGUAGAAACCAACGCCCAAUUUGCCCAUCAUGCUAACAUCAGCCCCCGCCUGUAACGCUUCCAUGAAUUCCUUCGUCCCAGACCUCGCAAUGGUUCCCAAAUUGUUCACCAAAUCUGAAACCAAACCACACCACAUAAACACACACAAUAAGAAGCAUAGCACAGCACAUUUAAUCAAAUUCUCACAAUAAAACCAUUGUUUCAAAUUGCGGCCGCAACAUAAUAUAUUUCAGGGUCACACCCAGUUGCGGCCGCAUCAACCUGCAUUUGUCUACAAUUCCGCGACAACUGCAACCGCGAUCGCAACCUCAAUUUAAAUAAAACGGAUAAAGAGGUACAUUACAACUACGUACCUGCUUUGGUCAUGCCAACGCCACUGUCAAUGAUGGAGAGAGUCUUGUUAGCCUUGUCAGGAACGAGUCUAAUGAAAAGCUCUGGUUGAGCAUCAAGCUUCGUCUUAUCGGUGAGUCUCUCAAAUCGAAUUUUAUCCAGAGCCUAAAUGUAACAAACACACAAAUCAAAUUGAGUGAUUAACGAAACGAAGGAAAGUAAAAUGUUAAUGGUGGUGGUGGAAGGAGGAGAGGCUUACGUCGGAGGCAUUACUGAUGAGUUCACGGAGGAAAAUCUCCUUGUUGCUGUAGAAGGUGUUGAUGAUGAGGCUGAGGAGUUGGUUGAUCUCAGCCUGGAAUGCGAAGGUCUCGGCGUCACGCAUUUGAACAUCUGCCAUUACGAAAUUAAUGUGGGAAUCUAACUCCGCACUUGGAACACCAAAAUAUGUGAGCUUAGAAAGCUAGCGAUGUUAUUUGUUGAGAGAAGGGAGAUGAAGAAGGGGAUUUAAAUAGCAUUAAGCAGAAGCGAAUGUUAAUGAAAUAGAGAGCUCUGGAUUCUUCUACCAUGCUCUUGAAUUUUCAUCUUUGGCGCGAGUUUGACGUUUGUUCUAGAGUGGGCUAGUUACAUCGUUUUUAGUUUUUGGUCAGUACAAUUAAAAUUAAUCUAUUUUAUUUUUAUUUCUUAAUUUCACUUUUAUUCCUAAAAACACGUUGUUUUAAAAUAAAACAUUAUUUUUGUUUAUAAAUUAUUUUUAUGUGUAUAGGAAGUUAGGAACAAUAAAUAAAUAAAUAUAUUCACAAAAUUUGAAAGAUAAAAUAGAAAAAUAAUUUUAGUGUCAAUAAGUUAUAUUUCGCAUUGUCUAUGUAGUUAUUAUGAAGAGAAUUCAAGAAUCAAGGCUCAAAGUGGGGGAGAACUGUGUGAUGUUUGAUUUUUUUUUUCUUUCUUUUAAAAUCUAUCUUCCGAGCAAAAAUAUUGCAUAUUUCUCUUUUGGGUUGGGCCUACACUACCAAGAGACCACAAGUUGAUAAUGGAUUUUUCUACAAUGUCAUACUUAUUCAUAUAGUAGGGAAUUGAUUUUAUUCGAUGCAAAACUUAUCCAUUAGAGGGAGGGAAGGUAAUACUGCAUUCAAUGAGAAGCAAAGUCUUUUGUGUUGACUCCCCCUGACAUACUCCAUGAAUCCAUGAUGUUCAAAAAAUGUUCAAUUAGGGUUUAUUAAUUUUAGAUAGAAACUUUGAAAAAUAGUCAAAUUAGUCUGAAUUUAUAAGCGAGUUUGAUUUUAGUCCCACGAACAAAAUAUGAUGUAUAGUGACGGUCAUUUUUAUAAUUACUGACGGCUCUUGACCACCACUAAACAUCAUCUUUGCAAUGAUUGACUAAAAUCAAACUCACUUACAAAAGGUUUAAUUUGACAUUAACCCUUUUUAAAACAUAAUUACAUAUUUUUUUACGAAACCGACAUUUUAUUAGGUAUGAAAGCGAGGAAGGGAUUAUAGUUGUAUGAUAAACAAAUAUUCAAUACUUCAGUUAAAUCUAAAGACCAUAAUGAACAAAUUUCUUAUGACUUAAUAAUAUCUACUUGUACUUUAAAUAAAUUUUGAACUAAUAUUGCAGAGUUCUCAAUAAAGAGAAACUCUUUCAAAAAUAGGCGUAUGCCGUUUGAAGAGCCAUGCACACGGUAUUCUUUAGUAAAAGGCGAAAGAAUAGUUCGCUUUGUGCAUAACUCACGGCUGCGUGUUUAAAACAAUUAAAACUCGUUCAAUUUAUAGGACAAGCAGCUUACAACUACUUAUAAACAACCGAUGUGGGCUUUGGUCAGUAGCAUAGCACAUAACUCAGCAGCUUUGGCUUUCCCCAAUUCUCGAGUCUUGCUACCCUCCUCUCAUCCACUCAAUGCUCACUCUCUCUUUUUCAUGAAGCUUCCUCCCAUAGAGAAAGACCAAAACCUCUGCCUGGUUUACAGGUUCCAUAUCAAUGAUUUAGAGUUUACAAGCUGUUGUUGCCAAAUGAUUUCACCCUUCUUUAAGGACUGGUGGAAUUCAUUUUUAACGAUUACUACAUUAAAAGGUCACUUAUUUUUAUUGUUGUGUGUACCUGAGAAUUAGCUAGAUUUACCUGUUAGAAUUCAAAAUCACUAGUACUUCCUACAUUUCAUUAAAAAUCAAUAUGAACAAGCAUUGCCACAAAUUGACAUUAUACACAGUUAAUAACUUGACAUAUUGAAAAUUGCAACAAAUUGACAUUACACGGUUUUUGAACUUGAGUUUGUAAAUGCUGAGAAAUGAGAAUGGAUUUUCUUUGACGUGAGACUUUAGAGGGAAUGGAAUUUACAGUUGCCAAAUAAUCCUCCUUUUGUUGCCAUGAUAUUUUGCUGGAAUUGUAGAACUAUAGUAUUGGAUUUGGUAGGUUGAUUGAAGAACCUUGCUAAAGUUCACAAUGCUUAUAUUGGUGGAAAAUCAUGCCAGGAGAGUUUCAAGCAAAUUGAGACAUGAUAGCUUUGAAAUUGUAGAUUCCCAGGGGCAAGCUGGAGGUAUUUGCUGAAUUCUUUUGUUUGGAAUGCUGUUAGAGCUGCCUCUUCUCAGCUUCUUGACAUCUAAUUGCUGUGUAUGGGAAUCCUAACUUUGUUACUAGAAGAGUUGUGGGCCUCACUUGGAGCUGUUGCAUAAUGAGAUGAAUGGUCGUUCACUUGGUUACUAGAAGAUUUCAAUGAUACAUUACAUGGUUUUGAGUGAACUUUUAGUACCGACCCUGCUCAGAGAAUGAGAGUGUAGAGACUGAAUGUCAUUGAUAAUUGCUUAGCUCUUGAUCAUAGUCCUUAGUUGCUAGCUUCUUUUAAAACAACUGGGAAGUAGCUGGCCAUUACCCUUUGAAGAUGAUAGAAUGCGAGGUGACAUGAUUUUGUGAGGCAGGCUUAAAUUAUUUGGACCAAAAAUAUAAAAAUUGAACUGAUUUGGUGGGGUGUGCCAGGCCCUUGCAGCAGUGUAAGGCAUGGGCGACACUCGAAGGCCCAAGUAGCAAGCUACUUCAGUGGGCCCUUCCCCUUAAAAAAUUAAUUUAAUAUCGUGUGGACAUAUGGGCUCUUCACUUGUCACGCUAUUUAUAACUUGUAAUCAAGGGCUCUUCACUGAUGAGUUUCGAUGUGGGACUCAUAUAUGAACACUCAGCACUGCAGUUACUGACUAUCUAUCGAAGAAGGGCUCUUCGCUGAUGUUUUUUCUUAGAGUUUCAAUUCUGCUGCAGUCACUGUAGAUGUUGGUUGGUCCAGACCUGAUAAAUCAAGCUUUGGAUGGCUGGCACGGUCUCAUGAUGGCAAACUGAUGUGUGUUGCAUCUCCUUUGGAAGAUUGAAGAUUGGAACACAUUGUAGCUGAGGCUUUAGCCCUCAGAUGGUGUGUAUGUUCAUGGCUCAAGAGUUUAAUUUGGACAUUGCUCAACUCUCAUUGAGCUUCUAGUGUUGGACUGCAAGAAGUUAGCUGAAUCUUUUGUCAUAGUUACAUUCUCAUGUUUGAAGGAAAGCAAAUUGCCCCGCCCAUGUAUUUUCUUCUUUAGCUUUUGAUUUUGAACAUCCUAGGGGCUUUUGGUGGGAUGAUCCCCUUAAAGUUUUGAUUUAAGCCUUUGCCGAAAAAAGAACAAUGUCUUACAACGCUUCAGAUCACUUCGCUAAUUGUUGCUGGCACAGCAUAAAUAAGUUCUGCCAAAACAUCAAACAAAUAAUGUCUUUAUUUUAGUAGAUACUGAGAGACUGAGAGAUUGAUGAGGUUUAAACCAGUCUCGCACAAUACAAGCAUAGCUAAUCAGUUUGCCUUGUGUUAAUCUAUAGUGCUUAACACAAUAGGCUCGGUAGAGAGACUGUACCUGUACCCUCUAGCUACAUCUACUUGUAUAAUUGUAUUGGUUUUAGUCAUUUCUAAUGGGGUCUAGACCUCUCGUGGUGCCACCAGAAAAUGAGUAUGUUGUCACAGUCUUUUCAAAUCCAUCUGAAUUAAUAUUAUGGAAGUUUUAAAAAUGCUUGAUACUUCCCCUCGCUUAUGGUUGUAGUCCUUUUAGAUAUCAGUAUUACUAUUACUAUCUCAAACUACAGGACAAAACACAAAAGCUUUGCUUCUUGGGGGAAAAAUCAACAACAGAGGUUAGUAGGCAUGUUAGAUUAAUCUAGGGUAUAAACCCCAUGCUUAGUUGUAUUGCAUUACUUAGGGUAUAAACCCCAUUGUUCUAAUAUUGCAUAAUUGUUUUUGGCUUAGAUAUCUACAAAUCAACUACUGCUUUUUACCGAUUAUGAAUGAAAUAAAUAUUAAACUAAUAAAGCAUAAUUAUUUACCCUCCUACUUCAUCUACCUCAAGAUCUCAUUUCUUGAUUAGUAAGGUUGGUGAUUUCUAUCGCUGUCACGCUGUUUCGGUGAAAAUUGGGUAGAUUUACAUGUUUAAACUUUAAACUAUAACCACUUUAACGCAUUUCAAUAAAAUUACUUUAUAGAGUAUGGACAAGCUUUGCAACACAUUGACAUUAUGAAAAUGACUUCACUUUCUCCCUUUUUUUCCUUGCUACACUCUCUAAACCCUUUGCUAUUAAAAAGAAUAGACAAUACUGCAAAUUCCAAUUACUACCAUUUGAUUUCUUUUUCUUAAAACCUCUAUAUGGAUGGAAAUAGUUUUGCUACUUCACAAGGCUUAGUGAGUUAGAUUAUUUGUAACUCUAGUAAAUAUCAGUGCAAUUUCUUUCAAGUUGCUUUUCCACCUUUACUCAUUCUGAUAGGCAGAUUAGAAAUGCAACUUCCAAUGUGAGAGACUCAAGUCUAAUACCUUGCUAUUGGACCUUAGCAUAUGGCAUUUCAAAUUAAAUUCCACACAAGUCCCAUUCACUUGUUACUGCAAUCAUCAGCAGAGACAAUGUUGCAAUCUUCAAUUCUAGUGUUUGUACAUGAAUCUAUUAAGAAGGAAAAACAAUGGGAAUAAUUACAUAAUGUAAUGUAUACCAGUAUAAUUAGUCCUUGUAGUUGAAGUUUUUUCAGUAUAGAUGUCAUCAUUGGGAUAAAGGAUAAAAGUUUAACAAUGUUAAUUAGUUCGUGUUGAGAAUGUUUUUAAUCGUAAUUUUCAUGAGAACGUUUUUCCCUCAGUAGCCCAGAGAUCAAAACAUCAAAGCAAACAAUAGGGAUAAGACAUGAAGAAAUUUCUUCCACCUAAACCGAAUUAGCCAAGGUUUAACUCCCAGAGAAUAAUGAUUUAUCUCACUUAUAAUAAUUUUUCUCAAAUACCAUCAUCUGUUUAGUUUUUUAAAUAUAAUUUCCUAACCUAAGCAGAGUAUGCUAUUUGAGAAAAAGCACUACAUUAUACCCUUAAACGUCAAUUUGUUACCUAACUUUUAUAAUAGGUAAUGAAGGGCUCUUUGCUGAUAACAUUCAAUGUGGGACUCAUAUAUCAAUGGAUAACGAACCUUCAACAUUGGAGUUACUGACUAUCUAACGAAGAAUUAUACUUGGCUUCACUUAAAUUUUGUGUAUCACCAAGAAGACAUCAGAAGAAACCAGUAGCCACUAGCCAUUAUCAUGAAUUGGUUAUCUGGCAUCUCUAGAAAAACUAAUGCGACAAAAUGGAGAACUGGUCAUGUAAGAAUUGUAUUGAUAAUGUUGGCAUUGCAUUGAUAAAUUCAAUGACUUCUCAAAUAAGUGCAGCAUUUAGGUUUGAGGAUAGCACACCAGUGAUUGACGUGAAAUAGAAAGUAAAAUCUAAAUUAAGAAAAUUGAAGUAGUAAAAAGAGCACAGCCAAUUAGCACAGAUUUCCUCCAGCUUUUUUCAUGCUUGGCACAGAGCUUCAUCCCAUGAAAAUUGCCCAAAACCUCUGCCUUCUUCCUGGUUUACUGGUUCUUUAUCACUGAGAAAUCAAUGAUUCAGUGUUUCCAAGCUGUUGCUGCUAAAUGAUUUCACUUGGAUCCUUCUUGAAGCACUGAUGGAAGUCAUUUUUAAUAUCAGUGUAAUUUCAUUGAAGUUUCCUUUUCCCUUUACGCAUUCCGGUAGACACAUUAGAAAUGCAGAUUCCAGUGAAAUGACCAUUAGAAAUUCCACAUGUGAAGCUAUCAGUAAUUGUAGGAAGUGCUUUGGGGUCAAAACCAGGGUGAGGAAUCAUGUGACCCUUAAGAGUCUAUCAUUAAAAAUACAUAUUUCAUGGUGUUCAAGUUCAUUCCAAGAAACAUAUUUCAUUUAAUUCAUAGUUUUCCUCUACCAGCUGCUGCUUUACUAGUCUCUUCAAGAAAUCAUUUAUUAGGUUAAUUAACUAGCACUCAAUCACAUUUACUGCCUUCAAGCAAUCAUCUGACUAGAAGAAUGAAAUAGCUUAAGCAUGUCAAUGUUUAGACUAAUAUUGCAGAGUUCUCAGUAAAGAGAACUCUUCCAAAAAGAGGCGUAUGCCGUUUAGCGAGACAUGCACACGGUAUUCUUUAGUAAAAGGCGAAAGAAUAGUUCGCUUUGUGCAUAUCUCACGGCUGCAUGCUUCGACCCAAUGAAAACUCGUUUUAUUUAUAGGACAAGCAGCUUACAACUACUUAUAAAUAACCGAUGUGGGCUUUGGUUUGUUGCAUAGAGACACAACUUAAGCAGCAGCUUUGGCUUCCCAGUUCCCAGAGUCUAGAGUCUGGUCACUCACCUCUUUCAUCAACUCAAUGCUCACUCUCUUUCAUAUUUUGUAUCCCAUAAUUCAUCUAAUUUAUCUCCACAUAUGAGAUUAAAAGAGGAAAAAUUAAGUUGUCAUUGAAGCUUUCUCCCAUAGAAAGGGACCAAACCUCUGCCUGCUGGUUACAGGUUCUAUAUCACUAACAAAUUAAUGACUCAGACUUUCCAUCUUGUUGCUGCCAAAUGACUCAAAUUUGGUCCUUCUUGAAGUACUGAUGAAACACAUAUUUCAUGGUAUUCAUGCCCUUUACACAUGUGCUCCUAUACCAGCUGCUGAUUUUAUUCUAACAGGCUGAUUGAGUAUUGAUAGCUGUGAUAUCUUUAAAGUUUUGAGUAAUAAAAUUUCAUUUUCUUCCCUCUUUUCUAAUUCUUCUACUACAUGUAAUUUGUGUCUUUCAACUAAAUUGAGUUGGUUAUCUUUAAACUUGAUUUUUGUGAUAUAUGGGGUCAUUAUGUACAUGAGAUGGCAUACUGAAAGAAGUAUUUCCUGACCGUUGUAGAUGAUUGUUGCCGUUUCAGUUGUGUUUGCUUUUGAUUUUAAGUCCAAAUUAGAGUCUCUCACACCCAAUUUGGGGUUGUGAUCAAAUAUCUUAGAUCAAACAAAUAUUGGAAAGAAACAAUAUGCACUAUUGAAUUUCGUAUUCAUAAGAACCUUGGGUUAAUUAUACCACAAAAGCUAGUAUUACUGAAGUGGAACUCAAGUAUCAUUAUCAUGCUUUGCAAUUGGAUCCUAGCGCUUAUUCAGGCGUGGACAAACAUUUAUUGAAUGUUGACAUGGUUUGUUUUGUAGUCUCCUAAUUUGAAGUAAUAUAGAGCAAGAAACCAAACUAUAGCGUUUAACCAAACUAAUUGCUUGUGCUAUAUAUGUUGCCAUUUUGCAAUCAGGGAGAAACACUAAUUGAUGACCAGAGGGUGUAUUGAUGUUGUAUCCGAUCAAACACUAAUUGGCCAUUUCAUGCCAUGUACUUGUCGAUAUAUACCUUGGCCAAACAUUACAGCUUAUGACCCUUCUUUUCUUAGCUAAAUCUUAUCUUAUGGCCCUGCUCUAAUUAGUGAUUAAAACUCCAUUGAUGUUGAUGUUAGGGAAAAAAAUCUAUAAGCGGUGUGGGACUUCCAAUAGCAUAUUCCUAAAGAGCAAGUUCUCAAAGAGGCGCACCAGUACAAUGGCUUUAACCUCAAACGCACCAAUCUUUUUCUCUGGUAGAGACCCUUUUAAUAAUAAAAUAAGUAUAUUAUUAUAUAAAGUUGUCUAAAUUAUCCCAUGAGAUUAUUUAACUUCAUCAUAGUGGACUAAUUUUUAAGACUAAAAAGUUAAAUUCUUUUAAAUUAUAUUGGUCCAUUAGAAUUUCGCUAAACUAGACAACCUCAUAUUAUAUUUUAACCAUUAGGAUUGGGUCACAGUGGCUAACUUUUACAUGAGGUACUAACACUUUCAUGGCUAGAGAUGAGUUAGAGAAGAGAGAAGAAAAAAAGUUAGGGUAGAGAGACUACUUUCAUCCUUGUUUGGUUGUAGGAGAUAGGAGAAGAGAGGUUGAAUGGGUCAAACACCUUUUUGAGUAGCUUUCCUAAAUGAAGAGAAAUUGGGAGCGAAUGAGUUCUUGUGGUUUUUCACAACUGUAACUUUAGUGACGAUGUUAAAUUGAUUGCCUGAAAAUGGGUUUUCUUUUUUAAUUUGAAAGUGGGUUUUUGAUUGUCAUAAAUUUUUAAUAUGUAUAAAUAUUUUUUCUUUCACCUCAACAUCAUUAUUUCUCUUUUAUUUUUAUCGUUAUAAAUGACAUACAAAAUUUAGUUAUUUUUCAACUUUUUCUCUCUAUUCAUUUGUUUAUCUCUUCACCCAAAUAAAUCAUAAAUAUUGUUUGAGUCUCAUUGCCGCAGUAGUAGAAGUUAAAAUGACAAAACUCAUGUAUAUUUCGUACGUGCCUAGCAUGUGUUACUAGAGUUAUCUUGCUAAUCAUCCAAAUAUUUGAGUGGCUGAGGGAGGAAGGAAACAGAAGUGGGAAUUAAACAUCAAAACUUUAUAAGAAAGUUUGGAUAAUUGGAUUAGACAUAAAAUUGAACCGACCAGCACUUGCUAGUUGCUACUACCUAAUAAUGCAAUUGCCAAUAGAUAUAUCAUAUAUAAACCCUGGGAAUUUGCACGUGUCAUAGGCAAAGCAUUUUAGUGGCACACGUGUUUUGGCGUAGGGGUAACGGUUGAGCCAAUACGUGUUGGAGACACUAACAAGUAACAACGUUUUGUUUUGUGUAAAGUGACACUAGCAACACAAUAGGUUCAAGAAAAAGGGAAUUAUGGAUGUAAUUGCUAGUUGUAAUCGUUAACAUGGGUGCUUAUGGUUGUGUUUGGGUUUGUGAGCAGACAUUCAGCGGCCUCAGUGUGCAGUGGCAGAAGAAGAAAAAAUUUGAGGGAGCUAAAAGAAGAUUGCAAUAUAUAAACUAUAAUAUUUUGUAUUAUUAAUGCACAAAUGUUCAUAAAAAAAUAGUUCACAUAAUAUGGAUGUUGAAAAUUUAUUAUAAGUUAGGUUAAUAAUCUUGAAAAUUUACUUUUUCUUUUCAAUUUUUGGUUAUGGAUAUAUAUUUUACCGUUAAAUAACUUCCUUUUAUAAGUUUGGAACUCUAUAAGUUUUAAUAUUUGUGCAAGAUAACUAAGGCUAGCUGUUAAAAAUGAAAAAAAUGUAAGAAGGACUGUGCGUGGUUCCCAACCACUGAACCAGUGUCGUGUAUUGUUUAAUUUUAUACACAUUUUGUUAUAUAUAUAUAUAUAGUAUUAACUGAAUAUUUUUUUUACCCAAAUACUUUUUUAAAAUUUUUGAGGCAUGUCAUCAAGAAGGUCCGCCACUGCGUCAGUGGGAUGUGGCUUUUUAGUUCAUCUACGUGUAAGUUAUUUUAAAUAUGUAACGUGCAUGUAACGUGUGGUACUAAUUUUAUGUUUUUAAUUUAUUAAAACAUAUCAUGAGAGAUUGAUUUUUGUAAUUGUUUUUUAAAAAAUGAUAGGGCUUGUGAUGUGGCCCUGAUUGUGAUUCGUGGUUAGGUCUGUAAGGUGUCUUUGCCCAACACACCAACACUGCAAUCCCACUCUGAUACCUGUCAUCGUACUUUGCUCCAACAUCAACCCUUGGUCAUUCUCCAAACUACGUAAAUGCCCAAAUGUUGCAUAAAAAUUAAAAUACACUACCAAAAAGCAAUGGCUUUGCUGUAAUUUAGGGAAAAUGUCAAUGGCAGAUGUCUCAAAGAACAUCCUACAGCUUUAAUUGUUCCACGAGUUCUGUUUUGUAUUGAAAUUGAAAUAAACCGACCACUAGUCGAUCACCUCAAUUGUGUGGACAAAAGAAUUCUGGUUUAUAUGCAACCCCUCUCUUUCAACUCUCCCCACAUCAACAACAACAACACUCUUUGCUUCAACUCCAACCUCAAUCCACUACUCCCCCCCCCCCCACCAACAAAAAACACCCCUUUUUCCUCCACCCCCACCCAAACCCCACUCCCCCUCUAGGGCGGCAGGCCCCCCCCCCGCCACAACCUUAAACCCCUCCAGUCUUCUCCAAACCUCAACCCUUUUCCCUAAGCUAACCCCAACAUUGUUCUUCACCCCCUUAACCUUAAGAACUUCCCAUCACAGAACAGUCCUUCAAACCCGGAGAAGAAUCAGGGGCUUCACCGUGUGUAUCCUUACAGAGGGUCCAAAACCAGGCAUACAGAUCAAAACAGAGGAAGAAGAGGAACCACCUCCCAACAUAGUGAUUCCUCAAAUCAUGUCAGCACGUGUGGCAGAUUAAUUGGCAAGGAAAAAGUCAGAGAGGUUUCCUUCCCUUGUUGCAGCUGUUAUGUCUAGCCUUGGUGUCACUUCUAUGGCUAUCUUGGCAGUUUACUAUAGAUUCUCAUGGCAAAUGGAGGUAGCUACAAAAAAUCCUCUAAAUUUAUGCUCAUUUUCUUUAUGUAUCUAAGUAUUAUGACAUUAAUUUGUGUAUGAAUGUUGGAUUGGAUUGGUGUAUAGGGUGGACAAAUUCCUAUGUCUGAAAUGUUUGGCACAUUUGCCUUAUCAGUGGGAGCUGCAGUAAGUCCUGACCCUUUUCUCAAUUCAGCAUUGUGAAGCUCUUGAAUGUGAAAUUUGGUAACUUUGGGUGCUAAAUCCAACUGGGUAUGUCUGAUUUUCAGGUGGGCAUGGAGUUUUGGGCUAGAUGGGCUCACAAAGCUCUCUGGCAUGCUUCCUUGUGGCACAUGCAUGAAGUAUGCUUCCAAUUCAUCAAUUUCCCUUUUCUUCAAAAUUGAACCUUAUCAUCAAAUCAACCAAUUCAUUCAAUCAAAACAUGAAUUUGAAUCGUUUUGCAGUCACACCAUCGACCAAGAGAAGGACCGUUCGAGCUGAACGAUGUUUUUGCUAUAAUCAACGCUGUUCCUGCCAUUGCUCUUCUCUCCUAUGGUUUUUUUCACAAGGGAUUGGUUCCUGGACUCUGUUUUGGUGCUGUAAGUGUAUCUUUCAUAAUCUACUUUUUAAUCAAUUAAUCCCUUAAUUAACGGUUUCAUAGGGAUCUGUUAAUUGUAAUUAAGGAUUAAGAAUGAUAAUGAUUUGACUGUAAUGCCCCUGGUGAUUCUCUUUAUUGACAUCAUUAACUUCGAGCAGGGUCUAGGAAUCACAGUGUUUGGGAUCGCCUAUAUGUUUGUCCAUGAUGGAUUGGUCCAUAAGAGAUUCCCUGUGGGUCCCAUUGCCAACGUGCCCUACUUCAGAAGAGUUGCUUCUGCUCAUCAAGUAAUUGUUAUUUUAACCUUAAUCAAUUGCUUAAAUAAUAGUUUACUUUUGAUUAGUACUUGAUCAAUGUGGCGUGUACGUGUUUGUUUCUGUUUCUACUGGACUAGGAUUUGAUCUGAGAUUACUUUGAUUUUGUUGUCUGUUUUCAGCUACACCAUUCGGACAAAUUCAACGGGGUGCCAUAUGGGCUGUUUUUGGGACCAAUGGUGAGUCAUCACAUUCAUAUUUCUUCUCCUUAGGUUUGGUUUCAUUAAAAUAACCCUUUUAGAUGCUAAGUUAAUAUUUUAUUAUUGGUUAAGUGUUCAUGAAAAAACCUAGAUACAAAGUCAGUAGGUAGUCGCUAAGCAUUAGAAUUCUCAGCAAAUGAACACACUUCAUUAAGUAUGGAGGACCCUCUAUAUAGUCGAGGUCUCCCUAGAUUACAAAUGUAGAAAAUCAAACCAUUACAAAAUAAGAGGGAGAGAAUCAAGUGAUUAUAUUAAUAUGAAAAACAUAAUAAAGUGAGCUAAGAUUCUAGCGCAGUAUGAGUGACUUAGUCGGCCUAAUACCCUAGUAAGCCACAACCCUCCAAGACUUGGAGUCAAGCAAGUGUUGGCGACAAAGCCUUACAAUCCGGCCCAGAAGUGGUUUCAUCUUAGACCGCAUUUGGGUUAUGUUGUCAGCCUACGUAGUCCUAACUGUCUACUUCACUUGGUAUUUGUAAAUUUAAAAGAUUUUACUAGUAGUGGAAUGAAAUAGGACCUUAUAAUUUAUGAAAGUUUUUUGACAUAUUUUUUAUAAUUUAACAAAAUUUAAUUAUUAUUCUAAGAAUUCUAUUGACAUUUUUUAACUAUAUGUCGUAUUUAUUUAAAAAAACCAAUGAAGUUGUUUUUUGAAACUAAACCAAUAAAGUUAGAAGAAUUAAAAAAGAAUACUAACUUUCACUUUAUUGAAGUUUCUUCUGCAUAUAGUUUUGUUGAAAGUAGGUUGUCACAUUUAAAUUUCAUUGAAUUAUUGUGAGAUAAGAUGAGCGUGUGUGUGUUAGAUCUAAAUUUUUUAAUAAGCGUUGUUUAAGGUUUGGAUAUUUCUUGUGGUGCAGGAACUUGAAGAAGUAGGAGGGCUAGAAGAGCUAGAGAAGGAAAUAAGUAGGAGAAAAAAAUCAUAUACUGGUUCAUGAGAAACUGACUAGCAUUAAAUUUAAAGGUGUCUGAAAGAAUGUGUGUAGAGAACUAUACAACAAAUGAAUGAAAUGAUUUGAUUCUUUUUUGCGCUUACACAGUUUUUGAUCUUAAUUAUAUAGGGAUAUUUAGCUAACAGAACAACAGGUUCAAAACUAUGUAGAUCAACCGAUAUUGGUGGUGAUCUUUCAUUCUUCAUUUUUAUUUUUCCUUCGUACAAACAUGCUCACUCAUGUGGAUACAUUAAUGCCAUAUAAAGUCCCUAAACCCUCAGAAUUCAACCAAGAAUCCAAGUGACUUUUUAGUGGAGAUUUGUUUUUAAUCAGCGUUUUAUUCUUUAUGAAAAGUGAAAACAAUUAGGGAUGAGAACCGUCAGUUUCGGGCUCGUUUAGCCCAGCCCAAUCCGACCAAAACUGACAUGGGCACUGUGCACCCAUAUUCGGCCCAAAUAUUGGGAUCAAUUUGUUCAGGUGAGAUGGCCAUCAUAUGGGUUAGCACGGAUUGGGGCACCCAAAAUUUUUAGUCUUCAUAAUUUAUGAGUUUUGAUUAUAAAAAAUCUGUAAUUUUCAAUUGACUAUUAUCUUGGGCCACAUUAGCUGGUAUUUAAUAUUUUGCUUCAAUUUAGUUUCAAGUAAAAAAACUUGACAAUAUGUACUUAAAAUAAUGGGCUAACAUUUUGUAAAAAGCUCAAUUUCAUAGAAGGAAAACAUAUGCUGAAAUCCAACAUGCAAUAUACAAUUUAAAAGAAUAAGCAUCCACAUGUAUAUUUUCAUAUUUAAACCUUUCUCUAGUUAUUUUGAGUUUAUCAUGCUCUUCCAUUUUGAUAACAUUUGUAUUAAUUUCAUAAACAAGAAGUUCCAACAACAAUUCAAUCCAACAAACUAAGAAGAAAUUCCAUACUUUGCCUUUUAUUUCUAAUUGUCUAUGUUUACUUGGGUAUCUUGAAACUAACUAAUGUUCAGAAAAAGCAUUUAUAAAAAUGGAUAGGUUGAAGUAGCAUAUUUUCAGUGAUACAGUAGUAUUGAACACUCGAUACACCCCCUUCACAAAUAAAUAUUCUUUUUUUUAUUAAUGGUCUACUUAAUCUCCAAAGCGUAAGAGUGGUAAGGAAUCGCUCAAGCGGGCUAGCCCAUAGAGUGAUUACAGCUAAUUAAGAAGUAAGUCCCUAAAGGCAGUAUCGAUGCCAGCAGGUUCUAAGGGUGGAAGUAGGCUAGAUGACUCGUUACGAGCCCGCAACCUAACCCAUCAAAUAUCUGGUAUGAGCUGACCCAUGUAUUAAAAAAAGUUAGGCUUAAACUUUCUAAAAAGCUAGAUUAACUUAAAAGACUAAGCUCAAACUAUAAAAAAGUAUGUUUGACCUAAUAGACCAGCUUGCUAACGUAAUAUUAUCUGUAUUAAUAACAUAACAUAAAUAAAUAAAUGAAAAUGUGAUGAUACGUAGAAAGAUCAAUUAAUUCGCUAACUCACUAGUCUUUUUAACAUUAUAUUUUAUGUUAAAUAUGUUUUUAAACAUGCUAAUAGACUAGAUCAUGUCCUCUUAAAGGCUAGGUCAAACGUUAGAAUCAGACUUAUGAUACGCCACAAGCCAACCUUGGUUCAUCUCAUUAGAAUGAGGGUGAGAUUUAGGUUACUCAAAGCUCUUAUGACUUAGGCAUAAACUUGGGAAAAGAUCCACAUUCCAUAACACACUAGAUCAAAAACAAAAUCUCAACCGUCCACCGUACCCAAAAGAUCGCCCAAAAGAUCCCCGAUCCAACGGCCAAGACAAGCCCGACGAACCUCCAUUGAGGUAGGUCCCAAUCUCGACCAAGACGGGGCCACGUGUCCGCUGGAGACCAACCAAAGCCAAGAUGUGAUCGCAGGAAAAAGAAAAGUCAGAAAUAAUUUUAUUCUAGAGCCCCCUUUUGCCAUCAUCUGACGCGUGUCCCCCCGCCAUUCGUAAUUGACAUCGUUGUUGUUGUUGUUGUUGUUUCCUUUCUUCUCUCAUCAUAUGUUAUCAACCGGUUACUUCUUCUUCUCUCUCUCUCUGUCUUUCUCUGAACAUUGAUUUUCACUUUCGUUUCCUACACAACUACGUUUCCUCUAGAUCCAACUACUUCCGUUACCACUAUUCGCUUCUCCUUUGUUUUUCCUACCUCAAUCGCACUCUGUUAGGUCCAAACCCUCUUUUCUCUCUAUGCCAUUCCCCCAGGUUUGUUUUUAUUUUAUUCUUAUGAAUUUUGCUUUCAUGGCUAAUUGGAUCUGGUUUUCAAUUAUGUGCUGGAGUGAUUGAAUUUGGUGAAUUUUGAUGUUUUUAAUUCUGGAUUCAGUAGAUCUUGUUGUUUUUUUAAUGCUGGGGGUGGUUGGGUUUCACUUCAAUUCAGUUCAUUGCUUUCUUCUCAACAAUUCGGUAGAUCUAGUCACGGUUAUAAUGAUUCUGGUUCGUUUCAGAUUCUCUUUAGUUGCAAAACAAGUAGAAUUUAAAAAACCUGCAAAUCAAGCUCAUUGAAUCUAGCCAUCUAGGUAUAAUUGGCUUGAAUUUUUUUGGGGUAUUAUGUUCAGGCAAUAAUUCAUUGAGUUUAUGGAUGAUAUAAGUUGGUGAAGGACUUCAAUUUGAUUGUUAGGUGGCUGUGAUGUUGGUAGAUGGUUGACUUUCAAUGUAUUAGUUAAGGCUUAGUUAGUACUAUCUAAGUUGUAUGUUGGUUGAAGCAGUAUUGAUACGAUGUCGACAUAGUUAUGUGUUUGUGAUAUUGAUCUAAGUCUUAAUUUGGCUUAGUUAAAUUUUUAUCAUUAUCCUUUCUCAGGUUUAUAUGGCGUUUUUCCUCAUCCGUUUAGGGAAGUGUCUGUUUUUUUUAUCAGUUUAUGUAGCUAGGAAUAAUAUAGAUUAAAACGUGCAAACUGCAUAUGUAUAAUGUAUUAAUGUGUCUUUAUGCAAGACACUUUCAUCCCUCCCUGCACUGUUCAUUCAUCUAUACACUUGACUUGAGAACUUGAUGUACUGCUUUUACAUGCUAUCAACAUGAUUUAGUCAUGCUACUGUUUUCUUUCUUUCCUUUUUAAUCACUACUACUUUUAUGAAAAUAAUAUAGAAUUUAUCACUUCUAAUAUUUUAAUCAAACCUAUUUAAUGACUGAAACUUGGAAAUUAUUGGUUAUAAUUUGGUAUGAACAUUUGAAUUUCUCCAUAUCUUCUAUUUUCAUAAUUGUGGUUAUGUAUGUAUAUAUAUAUAUGAUAUAAUAUAUUUGGUAGUUUUAAUUGAAAUUUCGUUAGUGGUGAAAUUCUUUGGUUCCUGUAAUUGUUCAUUUGCAUGUUCCAUGGUGGCUUGUCUAGUCACAUAAACUCCUCCAUGCCCCGAUUUCUUUGUCCCCCUCACCCCCAUUACCUAGCUGUAAAUAAAUCUUGUCUCUUUAUUUUUGACACUUUCAGUUUCUGAUGGUUUUGCUGUAUUUUUGCUUAUACUGCAGUUGGGAAGGGUGUACUGGAAUCAGAGUGUAGCGGCCGGGUGCAGAUUUAUUGAUAGUCUCGUCGCUUUUCAAGGAUGGGUAAGUGCAAAGGUUGCGGGAAGUUAGGAAGAAUGAGUACAAGUUAUGGAUCUAAGAGUAUUUAUGAAUUUUCUUUGAUGCUGUCUCCUGUUGUUUCUUUUUGGGACUGUAUAGUUCGCAAAAUGAGGUACUCCUACAGACCUGAGUGGGUGUAGUGGUUUCAGAACGCGUCAUUAGUACUAGCCUUGAUACUUCAACCUUCCGAUCUGUGAAAUUAUAGAUAAAUGUAUACUGCUCUGAAGAAAAUCUCUUGAAGGAGGAUAGGAGUUUAUAAAAGUAAUUUUAAGUAUUUACAUUGGUAGUAAGUUCUAUGGAUAGCAUGGCAUGUAACAAGGGGCAACAAGUGAGAAAGACGAAGAAGAAGCAGGUGAAAGAUGAGUUGGAUCGUCUGAAACAGGCUGAAAAGAAAAAGAGGCGCUUGGAGAAAGCACUAUCUACUUCUGCUGCCAUCAUCUCUGAACUGGGGAAAAAGAAACAAAAGAAGAAAGAAGAACAACAGAGACUUGAUGAAGAGGGUGCUGCAAUUGCUGAAGCUGUUGCUCUGCAUGUCCUGCUCGGUGAAGACUCGGACGAGUCGUGUAACGUUGUCAUUAAUGAAGGUGGGUGCAAUUCGUGGAAUUAUAAUCAUGGUCUUGACUUCUUCAUGGGUGGAAAAAGAGCUUGCUUUCCUCAUCUAGAUGGCGGAACAUGGUCUGUCACUGCUGAAAAUGGCAACUGGUCUUUCUCAUCUGGGCCUUUCGAAUUUGAAAAGAAUGUGCAUGAGCCACUUUACGAAGAUGCCGGAUGGGGUUGUACGGGUUUAUCUGCUGAUCUGAUAGCAGCACAAGCAGCGAGAUCGCUCCAUAUUGCAGAGGACACCGAUGAAGAUAGGAUUCUCUUCUAAUUCUAAUACUGUUUUGUCUUUGAUGGUGACUUGAUGAAGUCUCUUGUUAUUUUACUUGAGUUUGUCAUCUGUAUAUAAUUAUAUAUCAUGAGUCAUGUGCUUGUCAAACACAUUCUGCUUCAGUUGUGAUUGAACACAUCAUGUUCUGUUCUGAUUUUUCUUUAUCUGUAUGCUGUCCUGCUAAUUUUUGUGUGUAGUGACUUUCAAACUCGAGCAUAUUUAUACUUUUUUGAGCUGAUUACCAAUAAUAUGAUUGAUCACCUCGUUAUUUAUAUUCUUGCAGUGUUGGCUCAUCAAUUACAUCUCAUAAACAUGUUGUUUGCCAAUGUUAUUAAUCCAAGUUUUUUUUUUUACUUGCUCCUGUCAAAGUUUACUCCUUGCAUGGCUCUCCCUGUAUGUGUCUGGAUACAAGUUGCUCUAAAAGGACUUUAAAUCGAACAAAAUCUCCAAGUAUUAUUUAACUUUUUCUCUUGAAAUUCAUGUGAGUGUGCUUUUAAUAAGCUGAGUUUGUUGCAUUUUCUGUGGUGAUGUGCCUUUGUAGAUUGAAAGAUCUUUCUAAAGAACAAGGAACUUUACAUCAUAUGUUGGAUUCUCACUUUUGGAACAUCUUUAGUUGGUCUUUGUGCUUUAAGCUAGCACACACAAUUGAUUAGACUUUUCCUAGUAAUUCACUAAAGAUGAAUACAGAUGUACAAUGUCAUGGUGGUGCUGCCACUUUCAAUUUGAAGUCAUUAAAAGCAAAACCCAAGUGUGUGAUGCACAUGUCAAGUACUAAUGAACAAAGCACUGAGAAUGCAAGUUGGGAAGGGCGGCUGAAAAUUUAUAACAAGACCACAUAUGAUGCUGCAUAAAUUGGGGAAAUCCAUGUGAAGACAAGAGCCAUGAUGGAUGUGUUAUUAAUUUAUGUGAAUGUGAUGUUAGCAGAUUCGUUAUUGUUGACUACACUAUCUUUUUGGUAAUGGAGUUCAUUGCUUCACGUCAUUUGAUUUCAUUUGAUUUUAAUUUUGAUUUUUAAUACAUUCAUACUCACAUUUUUAUUCGCUCUAUUUUCACUCACUGACUUUAUUUUCACACAUUGACUUUAAAUAUUUUUAUCUUCUUUUUUAUAUGGCAUGAUGAAGUUUAAUGUGAAUAUCAAUGAAUAGUUGAGAGCAAUAUCGAAAUUUCACCUACAUUGUGAACUGCAAACAUGUUCUUUUGUCCAAUCACUCUUCCACCACCUCCCACCACCCGUGCCACCACCACCUUCGGCAACCCAUCCCCCCACCUUAGCCAACCACCACAAAACACCUAUCAUUCACUAUCUUUGAAUUCGAUCUCAAAUUUUAUAGAACAACAGUGCGUGUCUUUCAAAUUGGUUAAGAUUUUUUGGAAACUUUUGAUUCAAAACGUGAACAAAAAGAAGCAAAGUACAAAUAUGAUAGCGAAGGCAAUACAGAACAGAGAGUGAGUAUGCCAUCAUCGCUCAACACCAUACUUUUAUGGCGCCACAAAGUGAAAGUUGAAUUUUUUUCAUACUUUUAACUUUGUAGCGGAUUUCCACAAAAGUAAGGUGUUGAAAGUCAUCACCUUUUUUUAGUGGUUUACCUAUUGCCACUGGUAGUCGAAUAUGAUUUACACCAUAUCCUUUGCGACGGAGGUGUAUGACUUUGUCUAAUGGUGGUUGAUGGUGAAUUGGUGAUUCUGUUGGCUGACGGAGAAGAAUGGUUGGUGCUGGAGACUGAGAGACUCAAAUAAAAAGGUAACUUUCUUAAUGUAUUGUGUAUUGAAUCCGAAGCAUUAAAUAUUUUAAUAAAAUAUCGUAUGAUUGUGUAACAUACCGUAUUUUAUGUGACUCAUUUUAGACAACACAGUGUGAUAAAAGUAGAUAGCAGCUAGGUUACAUAAGAAGUGUAUUUUUGAGUGGAGACAACACGCUUCCAUUGCCCCCACUUUCUUUAGAAUUGCACGCAUCUUAUUGUUGGCUGGAUGGAUGUUAUCAACUAAAGUCGCUAAAGGUAUCCCCACCCAUUUAAUUUAUGGGGUCACACUUCGUGACAAGAAUCUGAAUUUUAAUUUUAUAAAAAUACAAAAAAUUACUAUAUGAAAUGGAAGGAGGGAAGUUAAAUAUAGUGCAUAAUUUCUGUAGUCCAUUAUUUGGAACUUGUAGGUCCAUCAAUACUGCUAAUCACAACUCACAAGCACAUUUUAACAAAAAAAGGAAUAUCACAAUUCACAGCACAUUUUAGUAGUUUCUAUGUUUAGCAAGUCUCCUGAAAGUUCUAAAAGAAAACCAUUACAUAUCCUAUAUGACAGUCACAGAUUAUCUUCAUUCUUCAGCAACACAAAGUAUUGUAAUUGAAAUUAGAACUUUCAAAAUAUCAAUUAUAUUAUACAAUCAGACCUUAAACAAACCUACAGCUGAUCACAACUUUGACUGAUUCAGCUCUAGAACGAAUGAAGAGUAUUGCACAACAUAAAAGAAUAAAGUAUACAACAAUAGAUUUAAAGCAUCCCUCCAAUGCCAAGAAACAGGAUAUUCAAACAUUUGUAAGAAACUAUCAAUGAACCAGUGCAAUAUAAGGAGCCUAUAGCAGUCUUCCAUGAGUAAAUAUUCAUGGUUUUGAUGCAAUUUCUUUAAAAGACAAAAAAACUGAUCAACAAAAAAUUUGAAGCCUAGGUAAUGUUGUAAUAACUCUUUAGCCAUGUGAUUUUUGCUUUUUCAAUACUUCUGCAAGAACUGCUUAGGCUAUGUUUGGAUACUCGCUAGCGCCAUUGUUAACUCAAUCGAUAUCCAAACACAUACUUACAUUUGCAGCAUUUACCUAUCUCUAUCUGCCAUCAUUGGUCAUUAGCUGGUAAAACACAUCACUCCUANNNNNNNNNNNNNNNNNNNNNNNNNNNNNNNNNNNNNNNNNNNGAAGGAUCUUGGAGCUGAAGUGCAUGUUCCAAAUUCCACAAGACAUCACCCAUAGUUGGCCGGUCAACACUAUAUUGAGCCAAACAUUUCUCUGCUGUUUCGCCAAAUUUCNNNNNNNNNNNNNNNNNNNNNNNNNNNNNNNNNNNGCCCAUUCUGCUAAAUUCACCUGUUCCCUGGUGAGUUGCGGAUCAACAGCAGGUCUGCCACAUAGUACCUCAAAAAGCACAACCCCAAACGAAUAAACAUCCGAUUUAUCCGUAAGCUGCUGCCUCCGGUAAUACUCGGGAUCAAGAUAACCGAAACUGCCUUUCACACCGGUACUCACAUGUGUUUCAUUAAUGCACGGCCCAGAUCUUGAAAGACCGAAGUCAGCAACCUUGGCAACAUAAUCUUCAUCGAGCAAUAUGUUGGUUGAUUUAAUGUCACGGUGGAUGAUUCCCUGAGCAAAACCAGUGUGAAGAUAGUGGAGACCUCUAGCGGCACCAAUGCAUAUCUCUAGACGCUGCUUCCAAGAAAGAGGUGGCAGUUUUGCUGAGCCAUAUAGAUGCUUUUUCAGUGGACCUUUUUCAACAUACUCAUAGACAAGUAUCAUUUCUGAAUUUUCUUCACAAAAACCGACUAGUGAAACAAGGUGGCGAUGGCGAAUUUUGGAUAAAAUUGUUAUUUCCGAGUGGAAUUCUGGAAGGCCUUGUCUGGAACCAGGCAUGCCUCUCUUGACAGCAACCUUUACAUUGUCUUUGAGCACUCCCUUGUAGACCAUACCGAACCCACCCGACCCUAUAAUCAAACUCUUAUCAAAAUUGUUUGUUGCUGAUUGUAUUUCUGCAAAAGAGAACUUCAAGCCAAAAUGUCCAUGAGAACCAUGUUCAGAUGUUCUACUAAGUGAACUCCCUCCAAACAUUCGCAGAGGUGUCCAUCCAACACUUUCCACUGACCUUUGUUUCGGUUUCUUCUUCUUGCAUUUGUAAGCAAGUAAUAAAGCAGAUACAACAAAAAAUAAGACCAAAAUUCCUCCAAUAAUUGAACCCAACACCACCCUCAACUUUUUCCUUUUGUGCACAACUUUAGUACUAUCCACAUCAUUGACCAUCUUCAUUACCUCUGCACCAUUCAAUAUGGCAUUCAUCCUUAUAGUACUGCUCAGGUCAGAAGGACCAACACUUACUUCAAUAACACCCGAAUCAUCUGAAUUUGUAACGAAAUCCACAUAGACCGGUGAUGCAAGCUCAUGAAUCGUAAGGGUUGACAAAUCAAGAUCCUUAUAUGCACUGUACCUAUUGAUAUACACAUCAAAGUAGAGCAAGUUCAGAGAAGGACUAACAAUAUCACAGAAAUGCAACCUUAUCAAAUAUGGAACACCGCCAGGAGUCACAGGAAAGUUCCAUGUUAAGUUGAAUCUUGAAGCUAAGAUUGUGUUCUCCUUGUUCAUCUGCUGAGCAGUCAUGUAAACAUAUUCAGGCGCGAUCUCUCGAGUCGCGCCUCCCUUCUGAAAAUUCGGUAUGUGAGUGCUUACUGCAGCCUUAGCUGCAUCCUUAACAACCAGAUAAUCCUCAUCAGGAAUCCAAGUCCUCCAAAGGGUAUCAUUAAAAGGAGUUAUUUUCAAGCCUCCAACAUUAAUCCUAUGAACAGUUUCUAAAACCUGAGAUGAAAGGUUUCUAUACUCCUCCACUCCAGAAGGACCAAUAAACCUUGUUCCAUAAUCUAUGAUGAAAUCUACAGGAGCAGUAAACACCUCCAAAGCAUUGACAAAACCAAAACCUGAAUUACCAACAGGUCUAAACAAAAUUUCAAGCAGGUUUGAUUCUAUCUUCAAAAUAAACUCUUUAAGCAACACAUCAUUUGGUGGCCGGAAUUCACUCAGAACAGAAACCCCAUUAACCAAGACACUAAAUUUAGCAGAUUUCAGAUCAAAACUUGAAGCUUUAAAAGGGAAAAAGUGGAAACGCACCAAGUGAGUACCGUUUCUCUUCAUGCUGAAUCUGUAUUUCUCAGUGCUUGUGAACACUCUGGCUGUGUGGUACAAAACUGGCAAAUUUGGAGGUGAGUUUUGGUUAGUGAGAGAUAUGGAAUCAUCUGCAGAGAGAAAACUGGAACCUGGGUUGGUGGAAUCACUGAUGAAGACUCUGUUGAAGAAGGAAGCAUUGGUGUGUGAUCCACAGUUAAGAAGGAAGUUGUCAGAGGGAGUGAAUGGGGCAGAGAAAGGCAUGAAAAGGAGAAGCAUUAAAAUCAAUGGUGUACGCUUUUGAGACUCCAUGUGAGAAGAGCUUUUGGAUUCUUGAAGAGUGUGAGUAUCAGGGUGAGGAAAAUCCAUGUCAUGAGAAGGAAGAAGGUGCAGAAGUGUGAACAAUUACAAAGGUGAAACAGCAAACAAGACAACAUAGACAGAGAGACAGUGACUUGACUCAGAGUGGAGAUUUGGAAAGGAAAAUAUAAUAAUAUUGUAGUACAAACAUAAAUGGAUUUCGUUACUGAAGUCAAAGGAUUUGCACCUCCUUUUUCAUUUUGCUUUUAGUUGGUAAAUUUGUCUUGAAACUCAUCAUUUUUGGAUGUUUCACACAAAUCUACUAAGAGAGUUUUCCCCUGCCUCGAGUUUAAUAUAGAGUGAUUUUAUUUUAUGCAUGUUUGGUUUCGAUUAUAGCAUUACUAAACAUGAAUUAUUUGUUACUUUUAUUAGAUGUCGAUCAAGUCUAGAGGUAGAUCUAUUUGGAUUUUCCUAACACACUUCAUCAUUUUUUAAGAAAAAUCACUGUCAUUAAGAUUCAUUGAGUUAUAUAAGUAUGAGAUACAAGUUUUGAUUAAUAAAGUGUUGCUUUAGUAGUAAGCAAGUUAGACGUCUUAUAAAGAUGAGAGCAUACAUUUAAAUUCGUGAAAAAUAUUCAUUACAAGAGACAUGCAAUCGUUUUUCAAAUGAAUAACGAUAUCCGUUAAAAAUAAAAAAUAAACAAAUUCUCACAAUAAUUUUAACAAAUAGUAAAAAUGGAAGUGUUAGAUAGAAAAUGUUAAUGAGCACUAUUCCUUAUAAACACACUAUCCCUCACCAAAAAAAUUGUACAGAAAACUGUUUACACACUCUUUUUUAGGCCAGCAUCUUGUGUUUACAUCCCAAAGAACUGUUUGCAUAUCAUACUUAAUUAAUGGGCAUUUGACAAAAUUUCUCAGCUUAGGUAAGAAAUCAUGCACCUUUCAAUCUCAAAAUCAUAAAUUGGCAUCCACAUAUUGUUGGGUGUACGUCUCCCUCAACCCUUAUCUUUUGAUAUAUCAGAAUAUAUCCAUGCGAAUAAGUUUUAGUGAGUUCCAGUUAAAAAUUAAGGCGUAUGCAUCUGGUGCGUGCCAGCUUCCCAAGGUAGUGCCCUGUUAAUUUAUUCUUUGGGUAUGUGACUAUGUGCUGCAUCAUUUCAUGGAAAUUAAAUAUUUAUAAUUUUGUUGCCACAUGUCACAUGGCCUAGGCCAAUAAGUCAAUAACACUCUAAACAUAAUAAUUGUCUUUCUUUCCCUUAACCUUAAGCACAGUCUAUCACUCUAUCUUGUUAGCAAAAUGACUUUCUCUAUCUAUGGCGUUUGCGUAGUCUUCUACUGCCGGCCAUUAUGAUCCACCCGUUGGUUCAGAAUCCCUUUCUCCUCCUUCUCAUAUUUGGCAGCCUCAUGUGCCACUUAGAAAAAUGUUGCAUCAUAUGGGUGAAGGUAGUAUAGGUAUUUCACUGACAUUUAAAAGUUUUUAAAAUUUUAAAUACAACACCAUUUGUAGUAUUUUUGAAUGUGUACCCUCUUAUACUUUGGGCCAUAACAUCUCAUUCAUCACUAGAUCUUCGAUAAACCAAACCUCAUUCCAACCGUAGUUGCAACAUCUACCUCAACCAUCCACAAUGAACUUAACUUCAAAAAAGAAGAGAAACUAACCCUUUUUUAUAGAAUCUUGUUCGGCCUUAAAACUCAAUCACUCUCCUCACUUAGACCUAGCUCUUGGAAUUAACAAAUACAAGAUUAGAGAAGAGGGGAUGGAGCGGUGCACAACACGCACAAGGAGAGAAAAUGUUUCAUGGAAGGACACACACUUAGUGAAUUGGAUAGAGAGAGAGAGAGCUAGAGAGGAGUCCAAAGUUGAGGAGUCGAGCACAUGGUUUCACUACAGCUACAAGAAGUGGUCUCUCCUCAACUUCGAAGACAAAGAGUCCCAACGCUUAGUUGGUGAUACUCUGCCAUGACGAUGCGGUCGAGGGGAGAGGCCACAAUCUGGAAACAAUGCGGUGAGGGAGAAUGUCAUAAUUCAUUUUCUUUUAUUUUUCACUCAAUCUAAACAACUUAAAAAUAAACACUUUUCAUUUAUAUUCUUCUCUCUUAAACAUUUUCACUUGUAUAUAUGCUAAUUUUGACAUAUGCAUCCAAACAAGGCAUUACACUGCAUUUGGUAGCAAAGAGAGAAAGAGUAAAGAAAGAGUUCAAGAGGAAAUUGUAUGAAGUGAGUUCAAGAGAGGAAAGAGUUAUAGAAGUGAUAGCAUAUAAAGCUAUAAAGCGAGUACCAUUUAAUUGCAUGACUUCCCUUAAACAUGUGAAGACAUCUAACUCUUCUAACUUUAAUUUUUUCACAAUUCCAUUUUUUUUUUAAAUAACAAUUCCAAUUUUGUUUUCUCAUCAUACAUAUUUUAGAAAUUACACGCUUUUCAAUUAUACAAGCUACCACAGUUAUGUCGAUUUUUUUGUGUCUUUGUUUUUUUCAAUUGAUUAUAAAACGAGGAAUAGAAAAUUAUUAUUAAAACUGAUAUUAAAAUAUUUAAUAUAAUGUAUGUUCUUAAUAAAUAUAAUCUUAGAAAAAUUUAUCAUGUAUAUUGAUUUAGUAAAAGAAUUUAAUGGAUAUGCACUAUUUUACACUGACAUCAAAUUGAAUUCUACCAAAUAAGUAAAUAUGUUUUUAAUUGAAUGUCAGUGUAACUCUCUCUCAUAUUUUACAUUGACGGCGCAUAUCCAUUAAACUCUUAAACAAGAUACAAAAUCUAUUUUAUUUCACGUCUUUUUUUUCUCCUCUUAUCAUCUUUCAACUCUCUUUCUCUCAUAAACCAAACACAACAUAAUGGUUUCCUUGUUACAAUAAUUCCAGACAAGCAAGCAGCUUAAUUUCAUCUUUUCCAGAAACGCAACACUCUGAAUUCUGGCAUUUUCCUACACCCUUCAUUUUUCCCAAAUUGGGUUGAUAAGUGCCAAUUUUACCUAAUUUCGAUGAGUAAUUUAGGCAUUUAUCCUUAUGAAUUCAUGAUAAAUCUUGAUCAAAUCCUACUUCUUUUGAUUAGAACUUAUUGAUAGGUGAACGUUAGGCUAAGAUGUGCUUAAGUUUGAUUUUAAUCUCAACUUGUAUUGUAGGAUUGAAGAUUCAAGGAAGAGGGCAUGUUUUGGCAAGAAAAAUGGAUUUUGAAGAUGUACUGGGCGCGACAUCGCGGCGGUUUCGGUUCUUCUCAUUCUUCUUCUCUAUUUGUAAAGCUAUCCAUGAAAAUGGAUAGUUAAUCUCUCUUUUGUUGGGAUUUGAUGUAGUUGUAUGAUACUUAUGCUCUCUAUGUGAUUCUUUUCAAUAUAAAGCAUGUUUUUAGUUGUUGAUUUAGUGAUUUUCUCUUGAUCUUCAUGCUAUAUCUUAGAUUGAUCACCUAGGGUAUUUUGUUUGAUUCGACUUGUUAGCGAAAGCUACAACGUUUCGAGUCCGAACUAGUGUUAAUCACAUAAUAAUCCUAAUUGCUAGACAUAGUGUUAGGUUUGUUAGUCACUUAAACACCUAAACUUCAUGAUAAUUAUCUUUCCUAAUCAUGUGAGACAUCAAUGUUUAGGAUUAGAUAGUUAUUGUUAUCCACUUAUGCGAGACAUCAAUGAAGUAGGUUGAACUGGUGUAGAUGAAUCAUAUUCUUAGGCUUGGUUUGUAUUUGAAUCACUAGAACGCACAAAGGUCAUUCAAUGAAAUCUAAUCCCAACAAUUCCUCAUACCUGUUGUUUCUCAAUUAGUUUAUUUUCUUUUCAUUUACUUUCAUGUUCUUAAACAAACAAUCAAACUAUUGUGCAACCAUCAUUAGAGAUUCAAACGUAGAGUGGUAAAAAAAUCAUUAACAUGGGUUACAUUCAUGUUAUUAUGUAUGAACAAAAUAACCCCUUAUGGAUUUCAACUGCUAAAUAAGAAAUUGAAUAUAAUCAGAACCAAUCCGCAAAUACAAAGUCAGAAGUGAAAAAAUUCAAGUUUUUCGUUAAAGAAGGAGAUAAUGUAGACCCACUUCCAUUCCACUAUCUGCAUAAAUGGGUUAGUGCAUUCAUUCAUUGAUGUGGAGAAUCCUAUAUAGAUGCAAUGGUUUAACACUUAACAAUGACACAACACAUAAAAUUCAACAGUCAGAAAAUAUUGAAAGAAGAUUAUAAGCAAGGAAGCACGGGUACUUAAAAAAUGAAGAAGUACUAGUACAGGGUACGUACCCGGUACAGGUACGCGAUGGGUACACAUGGGUUUGUACCCCAUAUGUACCUAAAGUGAUAUCAAACAAAAAAAAAUGGGUACUUUCUGAGUAUGUUUUUGGUAUUCUUUGGAUACUCCAUAAGUGUUUUUUAUACUCUUUUGAGUACUUUGAGUUAUAAUUUCAGUUUCAUAAUGGAAGCUUAUCUCAAUACACAUACACAUUAGUGAUAAUCUUAAAUAUCUUCAAUGUUAAAAUGUUUNNNNNNNNNNNNNNNNNNNNNNNNNNNNNNNNNNNNNNNNNNNNNNNNNNNNNNNNNNNNNNNNNNNNNNNNNNNNNNNNNNNNNNNNNNNNNNNNNNNNNNNNNNNNNNNNNNNNNNNNNNNNNNNNNNNNNNNNNNNNNNNNNNNNNNNNNNNNNNNNNNNNNNNNNNNNNNNNNNNNNNNNNNNNNNNNNNNNNNNNNNNNNNNNNNNNNNNNNNNNNNNNNNNNNNNNNNNNNNNNNNNNNNNNNNNNNNNNNNNNNNNNNNNNNNNNNNNNNNNNNNNNNNNNNNNNNNNNNNNNNNNNNNNNNNNNNNNNNNNNNNNNNNNNNNNNNNNNNNNNNNNNNNNNNNNNNNNNNNNNNNNNNNNNNNNNNNNNNNNNNNNNNNNNNNNNNNNNNNNNNNNNNNNNNNNNNNNNNNNNNNNNNNNNNNNNNNNNNNNNNNNNNNNNNNNNNNNNNNNNNNNNNNNNNNNNNNNNNNNNNNNNNNNNNNNNNNNNNNNNNNNNNNNNNNNNNNNNNNNNNNNNNNNNNNNNNNNNNNNNNNNNNNNNNNNNNNNNNNNNNNNNNNNNNNNNNNNNNNNNNNNNNNNNNNNNNNNNNNNNNNNNNNNNNNNNNNNNNNNNNNNNNNNNNNNNNNNNNNNNNNNNNNNNNNNNNNNNNNNNNNNNNNNNNNNNNNNNNNNNNNNNNNNNNNNNNNNNNNNNNNNNNNNNNNNNNNNNNNNNNNNNNNNNNNNNNNNNNNNNNNNNNNNNNNNNNNNNNNNNNNNNNNNNNNNNNNNNNNNNNNNNNNNNNNNNNNNNNNNNNNNNNNNNNNNNNNNNNNNNNNNNNNNNNNNNNNNNNNNNNNNNNNNNNNNNNNNNNNNNNNNNNNNNNNNNNNNNNNNNNNNNNNNNNNNNNNNNNNNNNNNNNNNNNNNNNNNNNNNNNNNNNNNNNNNNNNNNNNNNNNNNNNNNNNNNNNNNNNNNNNNNNNNNNNNNNNNNNNNNNNNNNNNNNNNNNNNNNNNNGAGCGUAGUAGGCAGCCAUGUCGUCAUUCGGAGCACGAUUGCAGUGGUUCGGAAGCCCUAAGAGUAUUUCAUUUCUCUCUCACAAACUCCUCCGUUUUUUUGGUGAAAAUUGUUGUGCUUUUCAUUUUCUUGACAAUAUUGGGCUGGCCCAUUAGGGAGCUGGUCUUCCUUAUCUGGGCCUGGCCCACUGGGAGUUUUGCAGUGAAAUUAAUUUAACCUACUAAGUCUAGACUAUAGAUUGACCAAAAAAAAAUUCUAGACUAUUGCAAAGGAAAAAGAAAACUGAAUGAAGAGAAAAAUUGGAAGCAAGCAAUUUAUUUUUAUCUUUCUCUUUCAUGAACUUUACAAUUUAUAGUUAGGGUUCAACCCUUGGGGUGUGUAUGUGAGUUCAAUUUUGAGGAGAAGGAAAGGGAAGAUGGAUGCUUGUGAGUAGAGGCAGGCGGAGGAACAUGAGUGGGGCCCAUCGAUGUCACAAUCCUUUCUAUCUUUUAGAUUUUUAUCUUAAUAUUAUGUAUGUAUAUUUUUCUUAUGACCUUUGUAGUCAGCUUAAUAAAAUAGAAUCAAUACUAUGUAUUUUUUUUAUGGCCCACUUCCAAACACGUACACAAGGUUGCUCAAAUAAAUUUAUAAAUUUUUGUAAUUAGAACGUUAUUAUCGUCGCAUUGAUUCUUUUUUACAGUACUCGUUAUGGUAUGUUGGAGUGUUUUUACAUGUGCCCAUAUACCAAUACGUCUAUAAAAAAAAAAGGCAAACUUAAAAAUGUUGGUUGUGUUUUAAACAGCCGCCAUGCCCCCCACAAGUAGCCAAUAAGAUGAUGCUUAGUGUCUCAUGUCUUUGUUUUAAGUUUCAAAUUGUACUCCCUAGACUUCUAAAGUUCUACAUUUUACUCCCUAAACUAUUUCCAAUUUAAUAAAAUUGAAGAAAAAUCUUUCUGCUGCUGCAUCAACCUAAAAAUCCCUUUCUCCUGAAACUACCUAGAUCUUCAUCUUCUUCCUUUCUUCAGCCGUCCCUGUGGUUUCGGCCGCCGUCGUUCAUAAACGUGCCAGCGCUGUUUCUAAUCGUAGUUCAUGGGCAUCGUUAUCUGGUUCACUUCAAGAGUACACUCUGUCGCCGCUGUAGACCCCAAUUCUUUUUUCGUCCUUCAUCGUUUGCAUAAACCAUUUGAACCUUACUCCGCCACAAGCCUUUUUUAUCUGAUAAGAAGCACUUCCGCUGCAAGCCCCUUUUGGGGUUUUAAAAUUAUUCAGAUCUCUAUGAAAUUUCUACUUUGAGAUACAUGAAUUGAUAUUCUGGGUUCAAAUUGAUAUUUUCAUUCUUGGUUUCCAUUCAAUUGGUUGUUCAACAAUUCAGUCUAGCCAAUAUUUUCUGAUAACAAUUCACACGAAACAUGUUAGGCACAUGUGGGAAUUUAUGAUCACCUCUGCUAUACAGUUUCACUCAUGGAGGAUGGGAGAGGAAGAGCACGACAUCACAGACGAAGAUGAACACAGAGGAGAGGAGGAAGGAUUAGAUUAAUAUUUGCCCCAAAUCAACUUGAAAUGUUUAAAAUCAACUAAGGUUAAAAUCAAUUUGAAAAUAAUCAGAAAGUAAACAUUUUCUAAAAAAAAUUGUAUUUUUAACACAUAGUAAAACUUAUAAUAGAGAUAUUUAGAGGAUCAAUUUAAGAACUUUAUAAGUUAAAAUGACAUGGCACAUUUCCACACUUGGCAUUCACUAAUUGAGUAUAAGAGAAACAACAUUAUAACCCCUCUCACCAACCAAGUCAUACAUUAGAAUCACAACACUUCCCAACUACAAAAUGAAUGCUGAAUAUAUAGCAAAUAAAUAAAUAGGAAAAUCAAAAACUAAACAAUGAUAUUAAAUUGUUGGUCACUUAAACAAAUGAUAAAACUGAACAUAUAGAUAGUGUAUGUUUGUAUAUAUUCAAGUUGAUCUAAGAUGAAGGUAGCGUUUGAUAGACAAGUGAGAAUGGAACAUAACAUGAAAUAUGAGUUUCAUUUUGUGUUUGUCAUGUUUGCUUUUAAGAUGGAAUGAAACAAGGCAAAAGGUUUCAGGGAUGAGACACUUUAGUUCCCUGAAAAAUGAUGGAAUGGAAACACUCUCUUAAGAUUUUUACAUGGUAAAAAAUACCUCUAAUUUAUAUUUAAAAUCUUUUGUAUCAAAAUAGUCUAAAAUCACUUCUUAAAAUAAAAAGCAAUUAUUAUAUUCAUAGAUAAAGUUAAAUCCAUUUCUGCUUUAAAAAAAUCACUUAAAUAAGGAAAUAUAUCACUGUCGUUGGUCUCGUGCCUUUUAUAUUGCUCGUGCCAUAUAGCAGAGCUGAAAAAGUAUAUGUGCGUAUACAAAUAAUUAUCUCUUUUGCCAAUACAUUUUUUUUUCCCAGAUUGAUUGUAUGUUAUCAAUGGCGGAAACGAUUGAUAACUAAUGGAGUAGAUGAAUUAUUCAUAUGACACGUCUUAUUUCUCUUCACCAACUUUUUGGGUUUUAGUAUUAUGAAUGAUAAAAUCAUCCUCAUAUUAUGGAGAUCUAAUCAUACCAUAAUAUGUAGUAUAACUUAGAAUAAGCAGUACUCGAGUUCCAUGCUUGAAAUUUUCUAAUGUCAGUUUAAUACACGUUGAAGUAAACAAAUAUUUUGAUGUUUACUUAUGUCAAAUUACAUGUGCAUGACAUGUGUAUAAUUAAUUUGAUUCCAUCUAUAAUUCUGAAAAUUAUUAUAUAUAGAACAAAUUAAAAUGUACUCAAAAUUGAGCAUCCUCGUCAUUCAAAAAAAAAAAAAAAAUUGAGCAUCCUCAACCUACCUUAGUACUCACAAAACAAUGGAGGAGCAAACUCAGUUAAAGUCUGCUUUCCUUCCAUACCCGGUAACAAGUCACAUAAUCCCCCUGGUCGACAUGGCCAGGCUCUUCGCCCUCCACGGCGUAGACGUCACCAUAAUAGCCACCGCACACACCGCCACCACCUUCCAAAAAUCUAUCAACCUCGACUCCAGCCGCGGCCGCUCCCUGGAUCCGUCACUGUCUUCCACGAUCUCCGAGUUGAUUUCAUCGUCACCGACAUGUUCCAUCCUUGGACUGUAGAGGCCGCUGCUAAAUUGGGAAUUCCCAGGAUCAUGUUUCAUGCUGGAAGCUGCAUGGCUUGCUCUGCAGGGCACUCUGUUCAACAAAACACACCUCAUUUGAAUGUUAAAUCAGACACUGAAAAAUUCACCAUACCAGACUUGCCACACGAAUUGAAGAUGACAACUUUGCAGUUACCAGGAUGGAUGAGAACUUCGAAUCAGUACACCAAGUUGAUGAAGGAGAUUGAAGAAUCAGAGAAGAAGGGUUUCACAUUGCUUUUCAACAGCUUCUACGAGCUGGAGAACGAUUACCACGAGCAUUAUAAAAGAGCUAUAGGAACCAAAUGUCUGGGAUUAGGACCCGUUUCGUUGUGGGUUAACCAUGAUGACUCUGAAAAGGCUGCAAGAGGGCAUGAAAAAACAGAGGAAAGAGGAUGGUUGAAAUGGCUUUGUUCCAAACCAGAGGGCUCUGUUUUGUAUGUUAGUUUAGGGAGUUGAACAAGUUCCCUUACUCUCAGCUAGUUGAAAUGGCGCAAGCACUUGAAGAUUCAGGGCAUUGUUUCAUCUGGGUGGUUAGGAAAAACGACGAGGGUGGAAGAGGUGAUAGCUUUCUAGAAGAGUUUGAGAAGAGAAUGAAAGAUAGCAAUCAAGGUUUUUUGAUUUGGGGUUGGGCGCCACAGCUGCUGAUUCUGGAGAAUCCGACGAUGGGAGGAUUGGUAACUCAUGCCGGAUGGAACACGGUGGUGGAAAGUGUGAAUGCAGGGUUGCCGAUGGUGACAUGGCCUCUGUUUGCAGAGCAUUUUUUCAAUGAGAAGCUAGUGGUGGAUGUGUUGGGAAUUGGGGUGCCAGUGGGAGCGAAGGAAUGGAGAAACUGGAACGAGUUCGGGGAUGAGCUUGUGACAAGGGAUGAGAUCGGGAGGGCAAUUGCUUUGUUGAUGGAUGAUGGAGAGAAAAGUGCAGAAAUGAGGAACAGAGCAAGAGCGCUUAGCGAUGCAGCAAAGAGAGCAAUACAAGUUGGUGGAUCUUCUCACAACAAUAUUGUAGAGUUGAUUCAGGAGCUAAAGUCCCUCAAACUUUCCAAUAGUAUGCCAUGAAGUAAUGUAACGAAAAGGUGGUUGCAAUAAAGACCUGAAUGGGAAUUCUAUAACUUGAAUAUAAAGUUAUUGUUGCUCGGGAAAAAAAGGUUAGGGGUUGUCUAAGUAUCCAUGGAUAAAGUUUCCUUAAAUAAUAUGAGUUUAAUUUUAGUGCACGGAUAGUGCAAAGUUUUUUUACACCAUCAACCAAUCAAAUUUUAAAAAUUUGUCAUGUUAAUUAAUUUAAUUAAAUAAAAAUUGCAUCUUUCCCACAUUUACAAAUUCUGAUUGGUUGACAGUGUAAAAUUUUUUUAUAUUGAGUGCAUGAAACUUUUUCUCAAAUAAUAUUUGUUUUAGAUUGAUAAAUGAUAUGUAAGAUAUAUAUACAUAUGAAAAUGUAUAUGCAAAUUUUUAGUCCUAUAUUAUAUUAUGUUGAAUGUUAUUGGCUCACCAAUGAUUAUAUAGUGAUUUUUCUAAAACUUUGCUUAAGAUAUAUAGACAACCUCAAACUUUAGAUAUGUUGUUUGACAUUGGUGCAAAGUCAGCCUUUGAGGAGGCAUAAGUUUGCAAUGUUAGUUUAGGAUGUCAAGGAUCGACCACCUUUGCUGGGAUUGGAAUAUUUAUUUUAUUCUUAAUUUGAGAUAGGUUAAUGUUUGUGUGGAUUUCACGGUGAAGUACCUUUUUUUAUAAGCAAAGAAUAUAUUGAAUAAGCACAAGGGUGUUAACCUAUUACAAAAGGAAGAAGGAAAAGAACAGGAAAAAACAGAUUCAAAGUAUGAGCCAGGACUUUGAAACAGACCCCAGCCAAGUUACUGUAGCCCUAAAUCCAACCCUCAAUGUGAGACAAUACAUAGAAAAUCCCAUCCAAUGUAUCCCCCUUAAAAACACACGAAGAAAACGGGAGGAUUGAGAAAUGAAAUAGAAACAACAUGCAAUGAGGUUGAGGUGAGGUAGUAUCGUGAAUAAGGAUGCAUUCUUGUAAUAACACAGAGGCAAAUUCUUGUAAGAAUGCAUGUGGUGAUGACACAUAAUCGAAAAGCUUCAGGUAAACUAAGGUACACACAUCUUCUAACUUAAACCCUAAUUAGUUAGACUUCAUCCAAUCAUAUCUCUAUUUUCUUUUUCUUUCACAAUCUUGUCCUAUAUCUUAUUUGUUUUAUUGUCUCUAUUUUAGUCAACAGUUGAACCAGGUAACCGAACACCAUGUGAAUGCUGAAUUGCAAGCAAAGCCAUGAAAAACAAAACAAACUAUAUUAUACAACAAUUGAAUCACUGUCAUAAAAUGAUAACAAAUCUUCAGAUGAGAUCAUGAGAUGAGAUCAGCACUCGAGUUCCACGAUGGAAAAAAACAAUUGUCUGAUACAGUAUACAUUGGUUGACUAAACAUAGCUAGAGUAUGCACUCGAGUUCCUCGUGGGAAAUAAACAAUUAUAGUUUUAGUUAACUUUCUAUUAUUUGCUCGGGUUAGCGCCAAAACAUAUGAGAAAAACAGCGAAGAUGAACAUAAAUGUAUGCAAUUGGGGCACCUAGCCUCGUAGAUUUAAGGCAAUCUACCCUGAUAUGCAAAAACAGAGAAAGAACAACACAUAACCAAAUACAAAAUAUACUGGUUUUUCUCACCUCAACCUUGCCAAAACUCGAGUAGUAUCAUGGAGAAGCAAGCUGAGCUGAAGGCAAUAUUCCUUCCAUUUUUGUCAACAAGUCACAUAAUUCCCCUGGUGGACAUGGCCAGACUCUUCGCCCUUCACGGCGUAGAUGUCACCAUCAUCACCACCACACACAAUGCCACCAUGUUCCAGAAAUCCAUUGACCUUGAUUCCAGUCGCGGUCGCUCCAUCAGAACCCAUGUCGUUGAAUUCCCAGCUGACAAAGUGGGUCUUCCAGUGGGGAUUGAAUCAUUCAGUGUCAACACCCCUCGUGAGAUGAACCCCAAAAUCUACAUGGGCUUGGCAAUUCUGCAACCAGAAUUCGAGCGUCUCUUUCACGAUCUUCAAGCUGAUUUCAUUGUCACCGACAUGUUCCACCCUUGGUCUGUAGAUGCUGCUGCUAAGUUGGGAAUUCCCAGGAUCAUGUUUCAUGGUGCAAGCUACCUAGCUCGCUCUGCUGCGCAUUCUGUGGAACAGUACGCAUCCCAUUUGAAUGUGGAUUCAGACACCGAAAAAUUUACCUUACCUGACUUGCCGGACAAGUUGGAGAUGACACGUUUGCAGUUACCAGACUGGCUUAGAUCCCCAAAUCAAUACACAAUGUUGAUGAAGAUGAUUAAAGAAUCAGAGAAGAAGAGUUUUGGGUCAGUGUUCAACAGUUUCUAUGAAUUGGAGAGUGCUUAUUACGAGCAUUACAAGAGAGUCAUGGGAACCAGGAGUUGGGGAUUAGGACCAGUGUCUUUAUGGGUUAACCAAGAUGCUGAGGAUAAAGCUGCAAGAGGGUAUGCAAAGGAAGAAGAUGAGGAAGGAGGGUGUCUGAAAUGGCUCAGUUCCAAGCCAGAGGGCUCUGUUUUGUAUGUCAGUUUUGGGAGCAUGAAUAAGUUUCCUUAUUCUCAGCUUGUUGAAAUUGCGCACGCACUUGAAGGUUCAGGGCAUAAUUUCAUUUGGGUGGUUAGGAAAAAUGAUGAGGGUGGAGAAGAUGGUUGCUUUCUGGAAGAGUUUGAGAAGAGAGUGAGAGAAAGUAACAAAGGUUAUCUGAUUUGGGGUUGGGCACCACAGUUGUUGAUUCUGGAGAGUCCGAAGAUUGGAGGAUUGGUGGCUCACGCCGGUUGGAACACGGUGGUGGAAAGUGUAAAUGCAGGGUUGCCAAUGGUGACAUGGCCUCUAUUUGCAGAGCAUUUCUUCAAUGAGAAGCUGGUGGUGGAUGUGCUGAGAAUCGGGGUUCCUGUGGGAGCAAAGGAAUGGAGAAACUGGAACGAGUUUGGGAAUGAGGCAAUAACACGGGAAGAGAUUGGAAGGGCAAUUGCUUUGUUGAUGGAUGAUGGAAAGGAAGGUGCAGAAAUGAGGGAAAGAGCAAGAGCGCUCAGCGAUGCAGCAAAGAAAGCUGUGCAAGUUGGUGGAUCUUCUCACAACAAUAUUGUAGAGUUGAUUCAAGAACUCAAGUCCCUCACACUUUCCAAAAAUCUGCCAUAAAAUAGUGUGUUGUGUGUGCGUGCCAAAAAUGAUUUUGAAUAAAGUUCAAUUUAACUUCUUCACAUCAGUCAUAUAUACUUAUAAAAACAAAAUGCAUUUCAUUUGAGCAUAGUUCUCUCUUUAGCAAUUGCAUGUUUCUUUCUGAAUUCACGUUCAACGUGGCAAAUCCAAACACAGGCUAAGCAUUCUACUUUCAGAACACUGAAGGUAGUUCUGAUUCGGCGGAUGUGAAAAGCAAUUUAUUUUUGUUCUAGGACAAGAUUUUGGAGAUCCAUUCUCAUCCUUCACAUGUUUGGAAAAAAAUAAAUAAACAGAAAACAGUUUUCAGGGAGAAUCUUGGCUUCAGAUUGAAUUCAAAGUGUUUAUAGAAACACACCUAAUUUUCACAAAUGAAAGGUCGAAGAAAAUUCUAGAUAUAGACAGCACAGAAUGUGAAGGAAGCUACUAAUAUAAUGCUUCAGGAUUCAAUAAUUUCGAAUUGUAGAUAUCGCUAGCAAUAUUGACUGACUGGAAUUACAUUAAAUGCCACUAUGUCAUGGUGCAUGCACCUCAUGAAUUUAGUAUGCGGAGUAACUACCAACUAUAAUGCAUCCUGGUUAAAAUGACCAAGAGAGAAUAUCCAGGCUACCAGACUUUAGAUUUGAGCGAAAAUGGUCAAAAACUCAAAAUUCCACUUUCUUCUGGUAUCCAUAACACAUUCAGGCAUCAGCAAAUAAAUUUACAUGAUAAAUUUCAAAAGCCAACCUAAGCAACCACUACCUCAACAUCACUAUGCCGAGAAUCAAUUAGGGUUGAUUGAUUCAUUCAAAGAGUGCAAGUGUGCAACACCUGGACCAAUUUAAUGAAUACUCUCCCCGCUUCUUUAUAGGGGGAGGAAUCCACAAGGUCAAUCAAGGAGCAAUCACAGCACAGGUCGAUGCUUCAUCAUCACCUGGCUUGGAAGCAAAAUUUUCAGUGAUAAUUUAUGCUGCCACGGGACAUGGAUAAAAGUGUCAAUUGACAAACCAAUAGUCCUUUGCUUGAUCUCCAGAAUGGAAACAGAAAAAUCAGAACUAAAAAAACUCAGAAGCCAUAAUGUCAUAUAGCUAUCCAUUUAAAUAGGAAAUGUACCAGCGAACCAGACACAGCAAUUGUCACCAAUAAGUAUUAUUGGUUGACUUCACAUUGUUAUAUAUUAACAUGUUAUCCAGACCUGAGAGCAAGUAGAAAUAGUUAAAACCAACCACGGAGUCUGCAUAUUUUGGCAGCCAACAAUAGCAUAACAAUUUCAACACAAGAAAUAGCAGGCAAAAUCUACCACACUAGAAUAGUUCCUAAAGUGAACAGAUAUAGCACUAGACAAGAGGUGGGUAUUGCUUUGCCUGCUGCCGGACCCUUCUCUUAUACUCUGUUGCAUCCUGCACGAGAAAUUCUAAUGUGAGGACACAUCUUUAUAAUAAUAAGAAAAAAAACUGACACCCUCAACUAAUUGGCAAUAGAGCUCACCAUUACAUGACACAUACAUAACAUAACCAUUUAUCAGCACCUAUUCUUAUGGCACUAUGUUCACUGACCAAAGAUUUAACUUGCAUAAUGUUUGGUUGGAAGGGAAUUGAGGGGAGGGGAAGAGUUUCCUUUAAGUUAUCUUGUUUGGUUCAAUUGGUAAGAGAGAAGGGGAAUGAUAAAUGUUCUUUCUCAUGUUAGUUUCUUGAAUCUCGAUAAAAGUAAAAUUGUUUUAAAAUCUCUUCCUUCCCUUCGAGAAUCAAACAGCAAAAGGGUUACUCCCCCUCUAUUCCCCUUGACCAAAGAGGAUAAGAUUAAAAAUCCCUCCCCUCCCCUCCUUUGAACCAAACACACCCUUAAGAGCUAAGAUAUUAUUAACAUUUCUUACGGUACAGGAGACAUAUCUAGAAAAUUUAAAAGUAUAAUACAGCCACUACCCACUUUGCCUCGAUUAAUACUGUAAGUUGUUCUUUACUCUUUGAGAAGUAGGAUUUAUCAGGUUAGCUACCUGGAUGAAUAGAUGAUAGCCUUCUGUCUGGGCAGGGUCAGCAGGAUUUGGCUGAUCAAGCAGGUCUUGGAUGCCCACUAGAAUUUGCUUCACAGUUAUAGCUGGUCUCCACCCCUGAUAUUAGAAUGAUUUUCAAAAUCAGUACAUUCAGAAGCAAGUAACAAAAACAGUAUAAUAGUUGUUAACAGUAUAGCGAUUAUCAAAAGAACAACACUUACACUAUCCUCAUUAAGUAUGGACAAGCAAACAGUUCCAGAUGGAUAUACAUUAGGGUGGAAGAAACCCUGAGGGAACUUGCACUUUGGAGGCUUGCUAGGGUAGUCUUCACUGAAGUGCAUCGUCAGGGGGGAAUACCCAUUUUCCCAAUCAGUCUGCAGCCAACGAAUGAAACGCAGAGUAAUUACCAUCAAGAAGAUAUAACAACACCCACUAUUGAACAAGCAGCUCAUUCAUUCACACAUCCAAUCCAAGCCAUGAUCUCAGAAACCGGAAUCCACAAGCGGAAUAAUUAUCAUCAAAUCAAAUGACAAGUAAAUAACAACAGCGCCGAUUGUCCAAAAAAACUGCUCAUUCAUUUUGCAAACAUAAAGAACAUGAUUCAUUAACCUAAGCUUUCAAUGACAAGUUAAACAGUAUUACAGUACUUGUUUCCCUUAAUCUCCCUAUUGUUUCAUGGGUGUAUGGACCUAAUUCGAAGCAGAAGCUUUAAUUGCGCACAUCAGUAACAAUGAUUAGAAUUAAUCUAGGGUUAAAAGUUAACAUACAAGAUAAUUUAAUUCAAUUUUCUACAAAAUCAGGAUAAGCAACAACGCAAGUACGAAUCAAGAGGGAGAAUUAGGGCACAAUUGAAGAGAGAGAGAGAGCGAGGAAGAAGAACGAACCCCAGUUUUGCCAGGAAUAGUGCAAUGCCAGACCAUCAUAUUGACGGUGCCAUCAGGUUGCGUCUCGGGCUUGGCAACGAAACCCUAAAUUGAGAAACGAGAAGACGAUGGCAUAAAAGUGAAAACAAGAAAUUGAGAGGACGAAAGUGUAAAGUUAAAAAAAAGGGGGGAAGAGAUACUCACAUGGGGAUGGUUCUUCCGCCAUGACUUUCUCUCCUCGGCGAGGCGUCCACGAGCAAUACCACCAGACAUGGCUUUCUCUUCCAAAAAAAAUCAAUUUCUCACGAAGAAGAAGAAGAAGAAUAAUCGAUUUCUACAAUAUUCGAUUCGAUAAACAACAACACUGUGAAACCCUAAUGAAUAAGAUGAUUCCACUACCCUGAUUUUCUGCACCCUUUUUUUUUUUUCUCUAGAACCUUCUUUCUUAAUCUAAUAAAUGGAAAGUUGGAAACUAGCACUAACCACGGAUUCAAACAAACAAUGUCUUACUGUCAACGCGUGAGAAUCACGCCACCCACCCUCUCUCUGCCCACACUGUUUCACGUGAUCAAUGCUACUUUUUUUUUUGACGGUGACCAAUGGUCCUUUUCCUCAAAUAAAUAUUUUGAGUUUAAUGGAUAUGCACUGAUAGUGUCAAAUAGUUUUACACAGACAUCUAAUUGAAUUCCGCCAAAUCAGAAAAUAUCUUAUUCUUUUAAUUAAAAUUAAAGUCAAAUGUGAUUAUUUCUCCUAUGUGGCAUGCUUUGAUUAAAUGACUGUGUAAAACUAUUUUACACUGUCAGUGUAUAUCCAUUAAACUCAAAUAUUUUUUAGGAAAAUAUAUCAAAUCAAAUAAACUAUAAUAAACUUCUAAAUUUAAGUUACCAAAAAAAAUUCUAAAUGUAUGUGUAAUUUUUUGUGUCCACUAGGGUGGGCAACUUUCUUUUUGGUCCACCGAUGGACCAAAGAGAUUUUCAGUAAUUUCCAAACAUCAUCCCCAAUCCUUCCCUUUCUCCCCCCACUGCUGCCCCACCCUUCUCGUUUCCCCACUGCCACCUACCUUCCCUCAAUAAGCUGCAAACAUUAAUCUUUUCUAUCUCUUAAGUGUAAACCUCUUUCUCAAUACUUGUAAAUCAAAUAGUUUUCUUCCUCGGUUUUUCAUUUCAAUUCCAAUUCCACUUUUAAACUACUACAAACCCAAAUAAUAUAAUCAGGAUUUUCUUAACCUUCCCAAUCUCAUUGAACCUGAGAAAAUUUCACUGCUUUAUUUGCACAAGAGGAAUUUAACUUAAUCUGGAAAGGAGGAAAAAUCUGGAAGCAAACUAGGUGUUUCAGAUCUGCAAAAAGAGGAAUUUUUCAUAUCUACAAGGAGUGUCGGUGCCAUUUUUCUUCUUCUUCUACCUUACUUAUUACACCUUCCUCCUCCCGCAGAUCUCACGCGCCUGAGGGAGAGGAGGGCGGCGCUGGGGCGUGCGAGCAAGACAGAGGUUGGAGCGACCGGUGGUACACUUGGGUGGUGCGGGUCGCUGGUCACACGCGGGCACAAGUGGUUUUGGAACACCAGAUGGUGUGGCCAGUGAUGGAACUUGAAACCUCACCGCAGCUGGGAGAAGAAGAGCUGGUAAUAGGAGUGGAUGUAGGAAUUGUCAAAUUAUAUUUUUACCCUUUUUAUCAUCAACCAAUCCUAACCAUUCAAUGAAAAAAUAUUCUAAGAUUCUCAAAUCUAAUGGUUGUAAAUGAUGGUCCAUGGGUGGACCAAAAAAAAGGUUGCCCACCCUAGUGGGCACCGUAAUUUUUUUAGUUUAAUAAAGAUAGACAUCAAUUUUACCCAAUAAUUCAAUUGAGUUUCAAAUCUUUGCGGGUUUCGGCUGACCGAAAUGAUAUAAGAUGACGUAAUAAGCUUUGACUAAACCUAAAAGGAGACGUGCAAGCAACAAACAAGCUAGUCGUUGCAAUCAUUCUCAAAUAUUAUUGUUCCCUUUUAUGAGUAGGUAUUUCUGUUUUCCUCCUCAACACAAAAGUAAUCACUCAAUUCACUUUCCCUUUCUCAUAAUUGUAAUCGUGUGAUCAUUGCCCUGGUAAUAAUAAUAUACCACUUAUUCAAGAGGCCUUAGUUUUAUAAAGGAUUUCUCAGGUCUUAUAUAGACAUGUUCACUUGAAAAUUCUUUAAGAUAACUUUGUCAACUUUGUUCUUAGGAUUUUUUUACAAGUUAUUGAUUUUUUUUCCAGUGAUAUUCUUAUAACAAUAGGUCUUGUAAGAAAAUGAGAGUGCAAGAAAAUUGUUGAAGAAGGAGAGCACAUCACUCAUUUUUUUUUUUUAUUUAUGGGUGCAAACACGUUCAAAAAAGUACGACAACACCUCUAAACAUAUAACUGUUUUAGCAAUAAAACUUAUCUCAUUACUCAUACAUGAAUUCAGCUCACUUACCACUAGAUUCCUCAUUCAUGUAUGUGUUGUAAUUUUGUGAGAAAGCAUAAUAUAUUACGUAAUGAUUGUUUUUGCUAAAGUGUGAUAUUGUUUAUACAAGGUUUAUCUCUAUUUCUUUGAUUUAAUUGUAGAUUGUGAUAGCAGUUUAUAACUAAUUCAUAUUGUAAAAAAAACCAAUAAUCAUGAAAUAGUCUUGGCCUUUAGAUAUUUUAUUUUUGUUACACUUGAAAUAAAGCCCUUCAGACUAAUAAUACAAAAAAUCAUUUUAAAUAAGCGAGAAUGCAUAAUAAAGUCAUUUUUAAAUUUGUUUUUAUUCAAUGUAGCAUUCUUUUUUUUUUGUCAAAAUGUAGCAUUCAUCACACCAACAAGAACUAUAAGAAAGCACAAAGGCCAAUACUACAAUUCAGCUGAGCCCAACAUGAGAAAAUCACUAAACUUUUUAAAAAGGGGAACUUCUAUAAGGAAAAAAAAAUAACUUGCCUUACACAAUGCAGAUCAAAACCGUAGUAACCCAUGAAUUCGCUCGCCCAAUUGGGGGCGAUGAGGAUACAAGCGGCCCACAUUUUCUUUGAAGAAACUUAAAUAUUGGAGAUUACUUUUGAGUUUUUUUUUUUUUUUUUUUAAAUUCCUUCAAAGAAAAAUAUUGGAGAUUACUUUUGAGAUUAGACAAAAAAAAAAAAUCUUUUGAGUUUGCAUACACAGAUUACAUUAUCGUUAGUAAAACUUUAUUUGUAGUUUUGCACGGUUAUUCAAUUAAAUUCAGUCACAUUGAGAAAUGAAUUUUUAUUUAAAAUUAAAAUUUAAAAUACGUUAUUCUUCUUUUUAAAUGACAUGUGUGAUUAAUUAUCAAUUUAAAAUUGUUUUUAUUUCUGGUGUAUAUCUAUUAAACUCUUGCAUACACCAUAAACUAAUAUUUUUACAAGUUCAUUGUAGUGGUUAGAUACUUUAUACCCUUAAGCAAGUGAUCACUGUUUGAAAUGUCAGCGCGCUGUCGAUAAUAGGAAUCAAAAUAUUUUAAAAUAAAAUAAGUUAAUCAAGAAGGGCGCACUUUAGAUAAGAAAAUGUAAAAAUAUAAUUGUUUAUUUUGAACUUAAAAACAUCACAAUUUAUUGUAUAUGUUAGCAUAUUCAGGUGAAUAGUAUUGAUUUACUUACCUCCAUUUUUUAUUUCAUACAUCAAUUUAGUGACAUUUAUUUUUAUUUUUUUAUCGGGUUGUCUAAAUGACCUAUGAUAAAGUUUGGGUUAAAUAACUCAACAUCCAAUCACAUUGAAGAUAAAUGAGUUGUAAAUAAAUUAAUAAAUAAAAUAUAGAAAUUUCAACUCACCUAUCUCCAGUGUGAUUGGAUGAUGGGUUAUUUAACCCAAACUUUAUCAUGGGUCAUGGGUCAUUUAGACAACCACUUUUUUAUCACUCUAAAUAUCUACUAUCAUUGAAUAUCUAACAAAGUCUUGUCUACUGUCUAUCCUUCUCUAACCAUUCAUUCCUUUCACCUUCAUUAUUGCAUUUUCAGCAAUUGGGAAUCAGCCCUAAGUAACAAGUAGAUGCUAAGUUGAACACUCCAAUAACAAUUCCAUUCGUUUUUGUUUUGUUUUCUUCAGAUAAUCACUUUAAUAUUAUGAUUACCACCAAGUACAAAAAUGAUACUCACUUGUACUUCAACAAGGAGCGUAAUCGUUGCAGGUACUGAGUCCCCUUCAUAGUGAGCUACUUGUUCAAGAAGUUCCUAAUAUUCUACACAGGUUACUUAGAAACUAGAGUUCAAAUCAACAAGGAAAAGCGACUUUUGGUUUGUAAUUAGAUAUUUGGUCGCUACAUUGUUUGCUUACACAUUCUCUCUUAUCCAAACUCCAACCACCCCGGUACUCUUUCUCUUCCUGCUCUCCCCUCCCUGUCCUCAUUUGGUUCAGCAUAAACUACUCUUCACAAAUUAAACAAUGUGCAUAUUAGGAGUUAACUAAGCAAAUUACCAAACACAUAAUUACCUGGAGAUAAGUAAAACCAAAUUCAAAACCAAAAUAACUACUUCGCUCUCAUCGAAGACACUUAGUGCAAACAUCUAACAUAUAUAUAUCUCGAGAAAUGAAGAGAAAAGAGACAUGAUGAAUGUGAGGUAUGGUAAACAAUAGAGAUAGUGAGAACAUUGGGGUGUAUGUUGAACGUCUGCACUGUUUGAGUCUCAUAUGUAUUACAUGAGUGUACACUACUUGAAAGAUAAGUGAUAUGUGAUGUGACGAAAAAAAAUAGAGAUAGAGAGAAAAAAAUGUUUCAAAGAUGUAUCCAAUAUUUAGUGAUAUAACUAUCUUUAUAAACAUCAUUUUCAGUUCUAGAACGUGGAGUAGUUUUUUUUCCCCUUCAUGUUGCUUAUUCAAUUCUCCCUGUUGCAAUUCCCAUGCUUCUUUAAAUCAAACCUUCUUUCCCACCUCUCUCCCAAGCUAGGGAGGAAAGAAAGAAAGAGAUUCAAAAUUCCAUCAUUUCUUUUCUCCCCAACAUGAAGAAUGGUAACACAAAACUCAUCCUCCUCCACCCUUACAUCCAAAAGCAAGGAACCUCAAAUCGCUUAUGGCUUCUAGCUUUCAUUUCAUUCUUCACCCUUGCCUUCCUUGCCACCUUAAUCUACACAAGAGAGCCCACCUCUGCCAUCCCCGCCGCCGCCUCUGCCUCCUCCCCUGUUUCAGGUUUCAGCAGCACACCUUUACCCUCCAUUGUAAUCAACACUCUCCUCCACUAUGCCUCAAAAUCAAACGACACCUACCACAUGCCUUACUCAGAUAUCAAACCAAUCUCCGACGUGCUCAGAAAGUGCUCCACACCCUGCAAUUUCCUCAUCUUUGGCCUCACCCAAGAGACCCUCCUCUGGAAAGCCCUGAACCACAAUGGCAGAACCGUCUUCAUCGACGAAAACCGCUACUACGCCGCAUAUUUCGAAGAAAAGCACCCAGAGAUUGACGCCUAUGAUGUUCAGUACACCACCAAGAGAAGUGAGAUGAAGGAGCUCAUAGCCAUGGCAAAAGAACAGGUAAAAAAUGAGUGCAGGCCAGUGCAGAAUCUUCUGUUUUCAGAGUGCAGGCUUGGGCUCAAUGACCUUCCCAAUCAUGUAUAUGAGGUGGAUUGGGAUGUCAUCUUGGUGGAUGGACCCCGGGGUGACUGGCCUGAUGCUCCUGGCAGAAUGUCGGCGAUCUUCACCGCGGGCGUUCUCGCCAGGAGCAAGAAGGGUGGGAAUCCAAAGACACAUGUGUUUGUGCAUGACUUCUGUGGAAAAGUUGAGAAGACUUGUGGGAAUGAGUUUUUGUGCAAAGGGAAUUUAGUGGAGGCAACUGGGACUUUGGGACACUAUGUGCUUGAAAAAAUGGAUGAAAGUAGCGUUCAUUAUUGUAAGAAUCACUCAUCAUCUUCAGGAACUGCUUCAUCAUCUUAAUUACUAUCAGCUAGCUUUGUUAAAAAUCAUCCUAUUCCUGAUCAUAAUUGGUCUAUAGUCCAUCGGGGUAUUUAUGAUCCUUUUGAGUUUUGAUUGUUACAUUUGGUUACUUCUUGAGCUUGUAAAAAAUAAUUCUUUCAUUUGGUGGGACUGGAAAUUCUAGUUUCUUCAAUGUACCCAAGCUUCCAAAAUUUCAGAUGAGGAUUCUGAUUACAAAAUAGAAUAAGCUGGUGUAUUAGGUUGUAAAUUUGUAAUGCCAUGGAAAACAAUAUAGGAUAAGGUGUGCAUAUAUGGUACAAUAAUUUGUAAGUAUUCUUUUUUGAGAAAUUAAAUAAACCUUAAUUGUAAUGUGAACAUAUAAUACCGUCAGAUCAAGGAGUUGAAGUAGGUAUACACAAACUAACUGCACAACUUCAUAUACAUCAAUUUAGUGACAGAUACUGAUCAAGAAGAAAAUGGCGUGAGCGACUUUGAAAAAGGAGCUAUAUUUAAUUUGUCACUCUUAGGAGGCAGGUGUGAAUAUGAUUAUUAGUUAAUUGACUCUGCCCUCUCAGUAAUCUCCAUGAAUGUUUUAACUUUUAACCUCUUCCAUCUUGGAUUUGUUAAUUAAAUUAGGCUUAAAUAAGUUUUUCGUCCCUAAUAUUUACGAAAUGCUUGGCAUUGGUCCCUCGCCGGAGUAAAGGUGGGUUUUAGUCCCUAACCUUUGUCAAAAAGUUUGGUUUUGAUCUCUCCGGAGCUCUAGGUCAACGCCGGAGCUCCGGUGGCCCAUGUGGCAUGGCCACGUGGGAUUAGUGAGCUGACAUGGAAUUUGUUUUUCUUUUCAUUUAAAAAACCUAAUUAAUUUUUAAAAAAGAAAAUGUUUAAAAUUCUAAAAAAUAAAAAAAAUAACUUAAUUUAUUUAACUUUAAUCACUAAUCAAAUCUUUAAUUUUAGUCCUAAUUUUUUUAACUCUAAUCCUUCUUCAUCAUCUUCAACCAUCAUCCUCUGCUUAAAAAAGAUCACCUUCACCAUCUUCAUAAAGAAAAGAGAGAGUAAAAGCAAGAAAAUACAAACAACAACACACAGUUACAAGGAAGGAAAUAGCUAAAGGGUAAGGAUGAAAAAGAUCCAAUUACAAAAGCAACCACCCAAACAAGAUUCCCACACACAACCAGCAAACAAAUGCACAAUCCCUCCUGGCACCCAAACCAGAACUUAUCCCUCAGUAAGUGAAGCACACCCACAGUUUGCAACAAGCAAAACGAAAUAGAAUGGGAGUUCAAGCAAUUAAUCACAAGGAGAACAAAACCAUCAAAUUUAGAGAGAGGAAAGAAAAAGAGUGAGUGGUGGGGGAUCAGAACCAGCAAACCCAGAUUGUAACAGAAAACCCAAAUUGAAAUAGCAAACCCAGCAUUCCUAGAUGAAGAAAACCCAUAAACCCAAAUGAAGAUCCCAGAUGAAGAACCCAUCAAACCAUUUUAACCAGCAAACCUAGAAACCCAAGAACUACCAAAACCCCAACUUAGAAAACCCAGAUCGGGAGAGGUAGAGUGAAGAAAAAUGGCACCGAUUUCUUCAACAACCACAACCGAAAUUCAGAAAGAUGAACAUAUUUGAGGAAAAGGCUGGAGGAGGGUACUCGAACAUAUCUGCACUUUCAAUUCCAAAAUCCUAAUUUUCUCUCAUCUCCUAUUCAUUCCCCUUCCAUCCACCAUCGUCGUUUCUCAACAAUUAAUUACCCAUUCAAUCAUUGAGACCAAUAAUUACAGUUCAAGAACUCAAACUUUUUCUGAAGUAGUUCAAUACCCAUCUCUCAAUUUUUCGAAACCAAAUCGCCGUCACACAUGGAGAUGGAAGAUCGAGCCCCUGUCUGUCGAGGUUGUGCCCGUCGGGGUUGAGUUCGUGGUCGCUGGAGAGGAUGAUGAAUUGGAGGAAAGUUGGAGGCUUUUGGGGGUUAGAUCCAUUGGAGGUUGCAGGCUCUGACAGAGAAUGCUGAGAUGAAGAAGAUUCAAGAUUUGUGUUGAAUUUCCCAUUUUUAAUGUAUUUAUUUAAAUAAUAUAUGUAAUUAAUUAGGGAGGUUAAUUAGGCACAUUAAAUAUUGAGAUUUAAUUUUUUUUUAAUAUUUUAAAUGAAAAAUAAAAACUAAUUCCACGUCAGCUCACUAAUCCCACGUGGCCAUGCCACAUGGGCUACUGGAGCUCCGGCGUUGACCCAGAGCUCCGGAGGGACCAAAACCAAACAUUUUGACAAAGGUUAGGGAUUAAAACCCACAUUUACUCCGGCGAGGGACCAAUGCCAAGCAUUUCGUAAAGUUUGUAUUUUAUAAGUUUUUUUACUGUAAACUUACGACAACCCUAACUAUCGGUAUAUUUAAAUGAUUGUGUAAUCAACGACGGUCUAGGUUGUGCGUAACUUGACAAGUAAAAAAAAUGGGCAUCGAUUAUUGCAAUUGAAGCCGUCAAUAAUUUUUAAAAAAUUAAAAUUGUCGGCAGCUAAUAACUUGUUUGCUUUUGAAAAUUAUAUCAUGGAUUAUUAACGAUCAUCCCUAGCCUAUAACAAUUUAUAAGUAUCUUACAAAGAACCAAUAGAAACCUAUAAAUAGGUGUUCGCGAAACCUUAUACUAACAUAUCAAUAGAUAAUAUGUAACCUAUAAAUAAGCAUUUCCGACCCAAAUAUAUUCGAAAUGCAUGUAAUGAUCUGGGCUUAAAACAUAUCAAUAUUGGUCCUUCAGUCUGUUUAUAUAAGUGGGCUAGCUAUAUUGACAAAAAAAUAGGUUGGCGUUUCUUUUUUUAAUUUUUUUUCCAAUGGACCAAAAAGUUCAUAGUUGACUAAAAAAGAAGACAAGAUUGUAGAAAAAAUCUGGUUGACCAAAAGUAGAAGCAAAGAACAAAAAGCUAGCUGAUCUUUGUUAUUAAAUUAAUCGAUAAUUUUUUUAGAAUCAAUAUUUAAACAAAGAAUUAAUCAAUAAAUCUUCACAAAGUAUUUUGAAAAAAAAAUUCCACAAAGUGAAAUCUUAGGAGGCCGAGACUGAAUCUACAUAGCAAUUAACCUCAGCCCUAUACACUUAAGUGAAUAUGUCAUUUUUACCUAUCUUGUCUUAACUCAUAUAUAAUAAAACCUACUUUCCCAAUUUACCCUCAACUUCCCAAUUUCUUCGCAACUUCUCCCCACUCACAUAACCUCUCCGUUCUAUUUACAAAGUGUCUUCCAAACGCACCACCCCCUCCUUGGUCAGUGAUAGUGGGCCUUUAUAUGGUACGCGAAGUCGGUCUGUGAAUUUAUCUAACUCCCAUAAAAUUGAGGUUGGGUGUGCCCUCACAUAACCAAAUCAAUCAUACCAUCCAAUUUCUUGACAACCUAUUUCUUAUAGUAGGUCAACAGAGUCUAUGAAGAAAGUUAGGAAAAAGGGAAUUUUGUGUGAGAGAUCUUUCAACCUUGUCUGGUUUAUUCACAUGGAGAGAAGAGAUAUGUUCUAAAUGUGUGAUCCACUUACUUAUUCAUAACUCUUCAAUUUGAGCAGAAAGUUGAUGACUAUGGCUUAUUUCAUUUUUCCUUAUAUGCCCUUUAAUAUUGAGGUUAAAAAUCGAUAGAAAUGAUUUUGCUUACGGCUAAUAAAUUGUUUAUCUUAUAUGUCAUAUAAAAAUGACAUUUGAUAAAAAAUAAUUUUUUUUUGUCUCUCAGUUUAUCCUCUAAAUUUUUUAUCUUCUCUUUUUGUCAUAAUUCAUUUCAAACAACCUUCAAGUUAUUUUUCCUUAUAUGCCCUGUAUGUAUUUUUCUUUUUCUUUCUUCUCUCUCUUUCUCUCCUAAACCAUACAACGGGUUAAGUUUCAGGUGAUCUCUAAUGUGGACCACUUUUAAAAUAGUCUAAUUUUAGACCACUUUUUUUAAUCUGCUAUAACAGGUCAACACAUCUUUUUUUAAAGAAAUUUAAUAUAUGACAAAUUUUUAAUGAUAUUUUUUCUUUAAAAAAAUAAUGUGUUGACCUUCUAUACUCGGUCAAAGUAGGUGGUGUAAAAUUACACCACCUAAAAAUGGUGCAUAUUAAAUUCUCCCUAACUUUUAUCACUAGGAAAACUAUAUGUUAUGUUAUCAAAGCGUUUAUAACUUUUACUUCUAGUCUAGUACAUGCUCUGAAUUGAACUGGUAAGAAGAAUAUUUCUUUGUUUGCAAGCAUGUGGAGCUGGCAACCCGUGAUUUUGACAGAUUACAGCUUACCACCUGCAUUUUUUCUUCCGUCUUUGAAUUUCUCUUAGCAAAUCAAACAAAGCCCCUGUAUCUUCAUGUAAUUACCUUAAAACAUAGUAAGAAACACCACAGAAUCUCUGUGGUAUAAUUUUGUACACUUCUUCCAAACAUUUCCGUAGAAACUGGUUAUGAUCAGUUGGAGGAAUUUGGAAGCGAACAACAUUGUUUUAUUAUAGUGUAGAGAUAGUUGGCCACAUUCUAAAGGAACACCUAUUGUCAUUUCAUUUGAGUCCAUUGAGUUUGUAACUGAAGCAACCCACCAACCUGGUUGGUGACAUGAAAAUUCUCAUUGCUUUUUUGUUUUCUUUUUUCCGCAAUGUCAAACUGAAAAAGUCUCUUAUUAUUUGCAGCAAAUUAUUUAAUACACCACCACCAACACUUUUGCCGGUGACGCAUGAGUAACACCUGAUGAAUACUAUAUAUCACUGUCAUUGCAUUUGCAGCAAAAUGCAAAUAUAUAUAAGAACAGUUGAUAAUUUAAAUCACAUCUUGCGUUUGAAAUAGUCAUGGUUGAAGUUGGUGAUUUUAUAGAGAAACAAGUUUGAAUAAGGUCAAAUAGAGGCAAAAUUUACACAUCAAAAGGAAAAAGUAAAGCGUAUGAAAUAAUUUUUGGAUGUAAUGUACAAAUAUGGAAAACAAAAAGAGACACGACAUAAUUGCUUCAAUUUAGGCAUUUAACCGCUCUAGCUUAAUUGUAGGUAGCUUUACAAGAUUUUGACAGUUACUGUUUUUUUCUCCCCUCUCCUAAUUUUAGAAAAGCAUUACAAUUUACAUGAAUGUCGUGAAUUAGGAAAAGGAAAAAAAUAAAGGAAUUUCCAUUGUUAUGGUCAUUGAGAAAAAUAUGGGAAGUGAGUAAAAAGUGUAGGAGUAAAGUGCAAUUUUGGUGUGGCAUUACGAAUUAUAGCAAGAAAACAAAUUAUAAAAAAAUCAUUUAGUUACUUUUUGACUUCCUUUGACCUUAGGUCUAUCACCAUCUAUAUGUAAUUGGAGUUACCAAAAUGCUAAUAUUUGUAUCAUAUUUUAGUUGGAUUCGAGUUUAGUUCCGGUCACCAUCACGAAUUAAAUUACAUUUUUCGGUACACAAGUUACUUAUAGAUCACCCACCAAUACAAUUUUCACAAUGACGAAAAAAAUUGAACACACAAUACUUUAAGAGGAAGAGAUUCUUCAUUACUAAUACAAUACAACCGAGUUAAUAAGUAUUGAUGUAUCCUAUAUUAGCUAAGCUACAAGCUCCAGCUUAAUACUACUACUACUAGGCCAGUCUCUUUGUAAAACUUCAUUUUCUUCUGAAUUAAUUAUCCAAACUGAAAGUUGUUAGAACAAUUAAAAAGAGAAGAAGCAAAUUAGAUUAUCCUUAAACCCAAAGUAAUGUUAGAUGAUUAAAUCACAGCACCACCAAACCAACCAAAAUCCUUCCUUUCCCUUCAAAACGUUACAAACUUCAAUUCAAAAUUCAAAGCAAACUCAAUACAUAAACAAUAAAUACUACCUGCAUUUCAAUUCACAAACCUUACACACACACAGAUGAAGCUCUCGGCGUUGCAGCAGAGCUACCUCAACCGCCGCGCCAACAGCUUCAGAGGAGCACCGCAGUUAGAUGGUUCCGGCGACGGCGCCGUCAAGUCGCCGGCAACAAUAUUCUGGCUCGUCCUCCACGGCGUCUGCUGCCUCAUUAGUCUCGUCCUCCGCUUUCCCUUUCCACCGCCACUCAUCUUUUUCNNNNNNNNNNNNNNNNNNNNNNNNNNNNNCCACGUGACGGGCGUGGGGCUCGCGUUGAUGCUGGUGCCGUACGAUCGGGUGUGGAUCGUGGGGGAGGCCGGAGGAGUCACCAAUGAAACCGCUUCCAUUGUUGCCAAGUCUGGGCUCAGAACCAUCCACAUUGGCUUCCAUCAGAAGAUGCCUAUGCGUCUUCAAGCUUUGAGGUCAACUUUUAGUCAUCGAAAUUUCAAUAUCUAUCUGCUUUCACUAUUGAGUAUCAUUCUAGAUUUUCUAGUUAGUGCCUAAGACACAAUCACAAAAUCAGUGUUUUUUUGCUUUGAUGGUUGUCAUUGUCCUUACAUGUAAUGUUUUGUUAUAUGGUGGAACAGAAUUGUGAGGAAAGAGAAGCUGGAUGGAGUUGUGAUGUUUGCUGAUGAUAGUAAUAUGCAUAGUAUGGAGUUGUUUGAUGAGAUUCAGAGGGUGAAAUGGAUUGGUGCUGUUUCGGUUGGGAUACUUCUUCAUUCAGCUGAUGCGGGCGAGUCUUCGUCAGGGGAGGGGGAAGCUUCCCUGAUCCCUGUGCAAGGUCCUGCUUGUAAUGCUACGGAUAAGUUGGUUGGGUGGCACACUUUUAAUUCAUUGAGAUAUACGGGAAGAAGUGCGGUUUAUAUUGAUGACAGGGCGCCUGUGCUGCCCAGAAAGCUUGAGUGGUCUGGGUUUGUGUUGAAUUCCAGGUUGCUUUGGAAAGAUCUUGAUGAUAGACCAGAGUGGAUUAAGGAUCUUGAUGCGGUUGAUGAGGGGAUAGAGAGUCCACUGUCGUUGGUCAAGAGCACCUCUGCGGUAGAGCCACUUGGGAAUUGCGGACGCCAGGUUUUGCUUUGGUGGCUGCGGGUUGAAGCUCGCACUGAUAGCAAAUUCCCUGCUCGGUGAGUUCUCUCCUCUUGAUUUUAGAUAUUCAUUUAUGUUGCUCUAAGUUUCAUUUUCCAACUGAUUUAUAACCUUAGGAAUAGCUGCAUACUUGCAUUGAUACUUGGGCAUCAUGAGAAGUAGACUCAUGUUCUAGGAUGAUUCAUAGUUGUUCACAACAAAAGUCCUAACGAUAGAGCUUAGCUAGUUGGAUGCCCCGAUAGUAGUCGAAAUCAGGGAGGAGGUUGUAUAUCACAAAUCACUAAAUUGCAAUUUAAUCGUAAGAUUUAGCAGAUUUAGCUAUUCUUAAAUAUAUUAACGCAUAUAAAUUCUUAUAUGCAUAUAAAAUAGCAUAUAAAUUAAUAGAAAUGUCAUACAUAAGCACUAUAAAAUUUAGAAAGCAUAAAACAUAAACAUCCAGCUCAAGUUAGGAAAUUUGCGACAUUAAAAUAAAGAAUAGGGAGCUUCAAGCAGAGAAAAGGGAGGAAGAAGAGGCGUCGCAGGGCGUCGCCACCAGUGGCCGUCGUCGCUUCCUGUGGAGCCCUUGGUCGAAGUCGCCUCUGGUUCUGGAGGAGGUGAGACGCAAGUGACUCGUAAUGUCGUAUGAGAAGCUGUCUCAAACUCGUAAAAAUUUUAAGGUUUUUCUCACCUGGUUCCUGCACAAACAGGUCAAAACUCGUUAAAUUUUGAAUCUUCCUAAAUUGUAAAAUCUCAUCAAAUCUCAAUUUUGGUCCAAUUUAGCGAUUUCUGGGUGAUUUAUCAAGAAAGAGAUUUAGCAAGCGAUUUAAAUCGCUCAGGGGUUGCAGAUUGUAAAUAUUUACCAUUUAAAUCGUGAUUUUUCCUACCAUGGAUACGUGUGAUGAGACUUGCGAGAAUCAUGCAGAUAAUCAAACCAUCCUUAUGCAGCACUUGGUACACUCCUUAUUCCUUAUAGAGUUGAUAGACCGAGCGGAUAGCAGAGCUGAUUCAGUCGAUUGGGACCUAGCCACGCACCCCUAUUAAUUGUAAUAAAUGCCCAUUGUGGGGGCGAUAAAUCCAGCCGACCAGUAUAUCAACGUGAUAUAACAGUCCAAUAGUGUUCCAGCUUAAGAUGAUCCAGCUAAGAUGAAGCACCAGCUAAGAUGAUCCAGUCCAAACUGAGAAAAGAAGAAGCUAAGAAAGCAAACUGCUGCAAAAUUGAGGCAGAAUCGUUCUAGAUAUCGUAUACUAGUAUAUUACUAUAGUUGUUAACCAUCUAGUAAUAUUUUUGUGCUGGCUGAGAAACUGAAAGACUCAAUGGCAGUGGCUACUAAGUGUGCUUCCCUUCCCUUUUGUGAAUAUUCGCCUUAUAUAGAUGGAUGAGGGAGGGUUCCCACUUCCCAUUGCAUGCAAGGUUACUGGGUGUAAGUGUUGAAACUCAAAACUGCAAUGCAGGGUUGAGGGAGGGUUCCCACUUCCCAUUGCAUGCAUUUUGGUUGUAUGAUUAUCUGGAGUAUGUUGGGGUGUAGAUUGCAAGCUUUUCAAGUCAUCUGGAUCUGUCUGAACUGAAAGUACCAAAAUUAUCACUAGGAUGUUGGAGACUUGGAGUACUAGAGAGCUACACUCUAUAAUUUCAGCCUGCUUAAUCAAUAUAAAUUGAUUUAAUGAUUGAAUUGAUACUAGGAACACCACUAGCACCAAACUGCAGAAAAAAUGAAUUCCUUUCAGUCCUUGUAUUAUGUAUGAAAUCAAUAGUAAUAAACUAAUAAUCAUGAAUUAACUCUUAGUAGUAAGCUUGUGCAAUAGCUCCCUACCAGAGGUGCCUUUAUUUCCCUAAAUUGGUGAUUUCAUUUCCCAUUAAAUGCCAGCAAUUAAAUGACAUAUCCAUGUAAGUUUCUGCCCUUAGAUGGACCUCUAGAUGAAAGGCCACAUAACGCCAAAUAGAACAACAUGCUGGUGAAGUUAAGUGGAAAUUUGUUGGACGUUGGUUAGUUACUAAUAGAUCAUAGACUUGAGCCAGAUCAUCCCAAUUCCCAAGGGUUGUUAUGAAUGUUUGGAUUAGAAUCUUUGCAUCCUUAUCCUAAAAUAGUGCAUGGAUUUAUGUAUUCUCUAAACUUGUUUAUUGCCAUAUUUUCUGCUCAUAACACUGACUUUAUGAUGCUAUUCCAUGCAGAUGGAUCAUUGAUCCUCCUUUGGACAUCACCGUCCCAUCAAAACGCACUCCAUGGCCAGAUGCUCCUCCUGAGCUCCCAUCGAAUGAAAAAGUGUUCACCGGCACAGAAGAGCAGACGAACAAGCACACUACAAAGAUCAAAACAACCAGAUCCCGACGCAGUAAAAGUAAGAGAAAGCAUGAGACCAAAGUGAUUGGUGUGCAAGUCUCUACACAUUCUGAACAAAACUGAGAUGGGAAUUUGCACAUCUGAGGAAUUUAUUGCCUUGUGUAUACAAAACUGUUGGCCUUUCGCAACAAGAAUUUGGACUUUGAUCAAAUGAAGAAGCUGAUAUCUUACUGAAGAUGCGUAAUUUUUAUGGUUGCCAGCACAUGUGCAUUAGAGUAUGAGAUUUCACCCAUUUUUUCUUUUUACAAUUUUUUCUUCUUUAUGUUGGGGGUGCCAUAUACCCGUUCGCUUGAGAGAUUGAAAGGUAAUGUGAUCUUAGUUUUGCAGCAGUUGCUUGCUGCCUUGCAGGAAGUGUAUUCAAUUUUAUUCCAUGUUAAUAGAUAUUCUUCUCAAUAGUUAUACAUCUUUGAUUCUUUCACACGCAGAUUUUCGUUACUUGUAGAGAGGUAUAUAGUAAUAAAAAACUAAGUCCAGAGGUUCUGGAUCCUACGAAACAAUCCCAAGCAAGUACUAUCCACAACAACGAUAAAUAAAUUUCACGUCUUCUUUUUUUCUUUUGCCCAAAGAGAUACACAAGGUAAAAGAACAACAAAGUAGUCCCUGGCCCAACCACCCUACAUUGUUCUGUUCAGACUUCAGAGUAUGAUCCCUGUGUUUGACAAAAAAAAAACGAGUAUGAUCCCUGUGCUUCGGGCACACAAGAACUGUGUGCAGGAUCAGUGCCAUGUGAUGAAACGACUGAUUGGAGCAAUAGUAUUUUCUUGUCUUCAAUUUCUAACACUUUAUUCUCUUGACAGCUAGCUUGUAUCAACUCAAGAAAAAAUUAUUCCAAAACUUCUUACACAUUAGUUGAAACCGCUAGAAAUGUGUAUUUGAGCCACCUAUUUUUCUCUCUUCUCCUAUAUUGGACAACCUAUAAAUUUAUUCUUUUUACACAUUUCUCUCUCUUCUCUCUCAUAAACCAAAGCGUAAAGAGAGGUGAUAUUAGUUCUCUCAUAACUAGUGUUUUUUACCCAUGCGUUGCACGGCGAUUAAAUUUAUUUGAAAGAUGAAUCAGUAGAAAUAAGUUUUAACUUAGUUUAGACUCUUUUUAGUAUGUAAAAAAAAUAUGGAACCGAACAUAUGAUACAAACAUGUUGAUGAAUGAACAACAUUAAAUAUAUUAAUUUGAUGAGGUUGUAUAAACCUCACACUGUCAACACUUGAAUAGUAAUAAGAACAAAGUUUUUAAGGAAUGCAUUCCAUUGAAAUUGAAAUAAGAUAAACAUAACAAUGACAACGACAUGAACGCUUAUUAGAAGUUGUAGUCCAUGAUUAAUGAUAAAAACUCCAUAACCGAUCUUAUUGUCAAUCAAGUAAAUUUGAGCUAUAGAACCUACAAAGACAACAAAUUAUAUAAGAGUAAUAAUAAUUAACCAANNNNNNNNNNNNNNNNNNNNNNNNNNNNNNNNNNNNNNNNNNNNNNNNNNNNNNNNNNNNNNNNNNNNNNNNNNNNNNNNNNNNNNNNNNNNNNNNNNNNNNNNNNNNNNNNNNNNNNNNNNNNNNNNNNNNNNNNNNNNNNNNNNNNNNNNNNNNNNNNNNNNNNNNNNNNNNNNNNNNNNNNNNNNNNNNNNNNNNNNNNNNNNNNNNNNNNNNNNNNNNNNNNNNNNNNNNNNNNNNNNNNNNNNNNNNNNNNNNNNNNNNNNNNNNNNNNNNNNNNNNNNNNNNNNNNNNNNNNNNNNNNNNNNNNNNNNNNNNNNNNNNNNNNNNNNNNNNNNNNNNNNNNNNNNNNNNNNNNNNNNNNNNNNNNNNNNNNNNNNNNNNNNNNNNNNNNNNNNNNNNNNNNNNNNNNNNNNNNNNNNNNNNNNNNNNNNNNNNNNNNNNNNNNNNNNNNNNNNNNNNNNNNNNNNNNNNNNNNNNNNNNNNNNNNNNNNNNNNNNNNNNNNNNNNNNNNNNNNNNNNNNNNNNNNNNNNNNNNNNNNNNNNNNNNNNNNNNNNNNNNNNNNNNNNNNNNNNNNNNNNNNNNNNNNNNNNNNNNNNNNNNNNNNNNNNNNNNNNNNNNNNNNNNNNNNNNNNNNNNNNNNNNNNNNNNNNNNNNNNNNNNNNNNNNNNNNNNNNNNNNNNNNNNNNNNNNNNNNNNNNNNNNNNNNNNNNNNNNNNNNNNNNNNNNNNNNNNNNNNNNNNNNNNNNNNNNNNNNNNNNNNNNNNNNNNNNNNNNNNNNNNNNNNNNNNNNNNNNNNNNNNNNNNNNNNNNNNNNNNNNNNNNNNNNNNNNNNNNNNNNNNNNNNNNNNNNNNNNNNNNNNNNNNNNNNNNNNNNNNNNNNNNNNNNNNNNNNNNNNNNNNNNNNNNNNNNNNNNNNNNNNNNNNNNNNNNNNNNNNNNNNNNNNNNNNNNNNNNNNNNNNNNNNNNNNNNNNNNNNNNNNNNNNNNNNNNNNNNNNAACCUUCCUCUUUUCUAAAGUAUAUAGAUUUAAAACAUAUCUUUGGUUCCAUGUUUGUAACUAUUGAAAUUAAUUAUCCAUAUUCAUAAUUAAUUUUUUGAAUAUUUGGAGGGUUCCUUCUACCAUUGAUUUUAGCUCAAAAUUCUUGAAUGAGAUAAAAAUCUCAGUUUUUUGGGUUCUUCUUUUAUGGAGACUGGUUGUUAUAACAACACUGUUGAUCCCAAUAAUGCAUCAAUAGAUCAAAAACAAAAUAGACUUAAUACAAAUUCAUGAGCUUGAUUAAUAUGGAUACCAUAAGAGAUGAUAGAUUAGAAGCGAAGAUAUUCUCAUUGUUGUAUACUAGGGUUGGGUUAGAAACACUUUGAUUUAGGGUUGGGUUAGAAACACUUUGAUUUAGUUUGGUUUCCUAGGUUCACUGCGUGAACAACCACAAACAUAAUUUAUUGUGAAAUUUUACAAUUAAAUUCCACAACGUUCUCCCACAAAAAUAUGUUUCUCAUAAAUGUAUAUAUAUUUAAAUCAUUAAUUCAUUUGUUAAGUAACUUUUUUAUCUAAAUAAAUUUUACCAAAAUUAAUUAUAUCUAUAACCAAUUUUAACAACUAAUGCAAAGACAAAUUAAGUUGCCAAUAUGUAGUAGCCUACUAGAGACUUUUUUACGGGAAAGUCAAGAAAAAACAAGAAAAUGGGCAUAUUCAAUUAAGAUGCUAGUUAAUUAGCGAAAUAAAGGUAUUGUCAACGUUGGCAUGAAUAGAUAUCAUAUUUAUUUUUGCUUCAUAAAAGGGGUCCUGGACUCUCAUCCCCGUGCCCUUCUCAUUGCUGAGAAGGUGUUUGGGAAGUUUGCAUUAUUGUUGCAAUUAAAGCAUGUGUUUUGUGAAGCCAACGCGGUGGUAGAUUUGUUUGCUAAGGAUGGGUUGAGUCAAUAUGAAGCUUUGAAGGUUUUUGAGCAGCUCUUUGUUUAGUUCCUCUUAGCUUUGAUUCCUGUAACGCUCUCUUUGAGGGAAUAGUUUCUUUUCUUAUUAUGCCCUGCAUGGAAUAAAAAAAAAGACAUCAAUAAUCAUAUUCACGCUUUAGCUGCUAAAGAAAAUAUUUGAUUGUGCUAAAAAAGAAAAAGUCACACGUCUAAAUAUACACUAAUUAGAAUAGGAAGUACACAAAGACUUGAGCAUCAAAGAAACAUGUUAGAAGUUUUGGAGCUGAGUUUAUCUGUUGCACGAAUAAUUUUGUUCAAUUUACUUGAAAGGAAUUUUAGCUGUAAAUGUGUGAAUACAACAAGUAUUAGUUUGAAGUCUCAUAUUGAUUAAGAAUAAAUAAGUUCAAGAUUUAAGACAAUAUAAGAGACAUAAUUUACAUUUUAAGUAAAGAUUUAGUGUUCAACUCUCGUUUAAGUGCGGUUGAAGUCUUGAAGACUUGUGUUGUUUUUUUUUUUUUUUUUGUCAAAAGAGAAAAGUUUCAUUCAUAGAGGCGGGCCAGACCCAGAAUAAAGCAAGGGAUAAAGCCCCAUCCAAUCAGGCAAUCAGCUAAUCUGCAAUUGCUUAAAGGAUAUGACAAAAAGUCUUUGAUAAAAAUUGACAAAAAAAAAAUAGGGGACAAUAAGACAAAGCUAGCUUAGUUGUCUCGGACAAAGCAAAUGAGAUAUACACAUUUCACUUUCUCUUCUAUCUCAUUUUCACAUAUUUUUCUUUUAAUCCCUCUUCAUUUUUUGUAACAUCACAAAUCAUAUAAUUAAUUUCUCUCUUAUUUUUAUCUAAUCUUACAAAGUGGAGGUGAAAUUAGUAUGUCAACGAAACAUUAUUCUUGUUUUAUCUACUAAUCCCACUAAAGCCGUCGUUCAAUAAUGUUAGCCAAAUUUUCAUUUCUUUCACCUUUUACCUUUUCCCUGUCCCCCACACAUACAUCCUUCUUCAAGCUAAUAAUUUAGCCUUGGCCUUUAGUCUAUUUAAUUUAUUUACUUUGUUUUCUAUAAUUUACCAAAUUAACAUUUUUAAACAAUAACCCAUCACUUUUAAACAAAGAAUAAGUUUUUUUGAAAUCUAAGAAUAAGUUGAUUGAACUGCAAAUGGAUGAACCUAACCCAUAAUCCAAUCUUGUUCCGUACGCACUUUUGACUAUAAAUAUCUUGCCUCCAAGCUCCCAUUUCAACUUGAAGCACCCACUUCGCCAUUGCAACAAUUUCUCUGCUCCUUUACCUUUCAAGGUACUCUUCUUCUCUGUCUCACGCUUUCGUUUUUUUUUUUUAAUUAUAUUUUACAAUCUACUUUGUGCAAUGCCAGGGAAAGUACACCAAAUGAUUAUUAGUUUAGUUUUAAUUUUUUUUUUUUUUUGAAAAUGAAAGAUAUAUUAAUAAUAAGAAAGCCCGAGCUAGCGAAGCAAACCAGGCACAGUACAUUUACAUGCCGCUGAGAAACAACAACCCACCACCAACCCGCAAAAUGGCAAAAGCGUAGUCCCAAGAAAGAGCUUCAUUAAAACCUUACUAUGAAAAACCCAUUGGGAUAAAAACCUAGCAAGGAAAAAGAGUACCACAAUCUUGGGACAGCCAUUUUGCAUCAAGAUACAAUAAGAAUCAGCCCCUCCAAUCAUGAAAAAAUUCCUGGAGUUCAAAGAGAAAAAAAUUGGAAAGUACACUGUUCAAAAGAAUUUUUUAGGCUAAAAAGCAUUUUUGACUCAUGAUGUUUUAAGUUUGUGCAAAUUCAGCCCCUACUCUAUUUUUGUCGACAUUUCUACCGCGCCUCCUUUUUUCAAUUUCACUUGUAAUUUCCACGUGCUAGGUCCAAAAAAUAUUUAAAAAAAAGUCAAAUCAGCUCAUUUCGUUAGUUUUUUAACGUCUGACUGACGGGGGGUAGACGGUGCACUGUUUGAAAACCUGAGGGGGGGGGGUCAAAAGUGCUUUUUAGCCAAUUUUUUAUUGAGAUAUUUAAAAAUUGACAACGUUGCUCACGUGAAAGUGAGUUUUGAAUUAAAAUGUCUCAUUAAUUAGAAUAACAACUUUACUUUAUUAAAUAACUUGGUGGAUGGGGGAAAUGAAUGGAUUUUCAGGGUGAAGGGUCAGGGUUCAAACCCUGGCGAAGAAACUAAUUUACUAAUAAUUAAGAACUAAAAUUUGCCUAUAAAAAAAUAACAGGGUGGGUAGAAACGAAUAAGAUCAAGAGGUAAACCCCAUGAGCCACAAUAAUUUUAAACAUUUAUUUCCUUAAUUUUAAAUAGUGAUCACUAUUAAACCAUUUAUUUCCUUCCAAAGUUAGAAUAUAUUCGUUGCUUUCUUUAUGUUUAGAGAUGACAACGGGUCGGGUUGGUUUUGUCUACCCAAACCCAAACUCCUAUAUCCAAACCCAAGUUUUGAGUGUACCCAAUCCGUUGCAAUCUCAAAUUCACGUUAUAAUCUGGCUCGAUGUAGAGAAUUUAUUUGCAAAAUAAAACGCAGCUUAUAUUAUUUUGUUGCAGAUAAAAUAUUUAUAUCAAAUUUUGCAAAAAGACAUAAGACUUUAAUGUUUACAUAUGAUCGAAUUUUUAACAAAUUAAGACACAGAACCCAUUAAAUUUUGUAUAUAAAAAAUAAAAUAAACCAAUACUCAGCCAAAAUACCAUAAUAUUAAUAUAUAUAUAUAUAUAUAUUUAUGGUUACAAACUCUUAUAUCCAACAUAACUAUAGAGGAUUUCACCCGUCAAAUUGGGUCGGGUUCAAGCGGGUACCCUAAGAUGCGGGUUUCAUUGUCAUCCCUAUUUAUGUCUAUAUAAUAGUUGUAGCUUUUGCAAUUGAAUCAAGCAAAAAAAACCAAUAAAGGUGUUCACGUUCAGUAAUAUUGUUCCUCUCUUCCAUUUCCAUUUUUUCUUCUAGCAGUCUCCAGAAGAAGAAGAAAAUGGAAGUUGUAUUCAACACAGAGCUCUUAAGGGGAAAUGGUGAACAUCUGCAAGAUGAAGAAGCUAGCUCCCCACUAUCUGAUUGGGUGAUCUCCAUCAAGGGAAAACUAGACAAGGCAUGUCAAGAUGACGGAGCAAGUUCAUGGGACAAUUUAUCAAUCUACAAAGUCCCUCAAUACCUUAGAAAUAGUACUGGCGAUGAUAAAGCUUAUGUACCCCAGAUUGUGUCAUUAGGUCCUUACCACCAUGGCAAAGAGCACCUUCGCCAAAUGGAACGCCAUAAAUGGCGCUCCCUUAACCAUGUCCUCAGGCGAACAGGACACGACAUUAGACUCUAUCUCAAUUCCAUGAAAGAGAUAGAAGAUAAAGUCCGCUCCUUCUACGAGGGACCAAUCACUUUAAACAGCAAUGAGUUCGUGGAAAUGUUGGUCCUUGAUGGUUGUUUUGUGUUGGAGGUUUUCAGAGGAUAUUCAUUGGGGUUCGUAGAACUCGGGUAUUUAUCGAACGAUCCUGUUUUCGCAUGGCGUGCAUCAAUAUUCUCCAUAAGCAAAGACUUGAUCAUGCUAGAAAACCAGCUUCCACUUUUCGUACUAGAUCGGAUUCUGGGACUUCAACUUGAUAACCCAGACCAGAAAGGACGCGUUGCUGGUCUAGCUCUCGAGUUAUUCGAUUGGUUAAAGCCAGAAACAGGAACAAUGAGUAAUGAUCAUCCAACAGAAACACAAACAAUAUUGAGUAAUGAUGAUUUAGAUGGUCUUCAUUGCUUGGAUGUCUUCAGGAGAAGUCUCCUACACACAGGACCAAGACCUCAACCAACACCCAAAGAACCACAAACAAUGAGUAAUGAUCCUCCUUCAGAAACUCAAACAAUGAGUAAUGAUGAUUUAGGUGGUUUUCAUUGCUUGGAUGUGUUCAAGAGAAGUCUCUUGCGCCCAGGACCUCAACCAACACCCAGAGAACCACAAACAAUGAGUGAUGAUGAUUUAGGUGGUCUUCAUUGCUUGAAUGUGUUCAGGAGAAGUCUCUUGCGCCCAGGACCUCAACCAACACCCAGUGAAGGGAUCCAACGCUGGUCAAAUCGGCAGCAGACGAUACCUUGUGUCACAGAGCUUAAAGAGGCUGGAAUCAAAUUCAAGAAAGGGAAGACAUAUCGCUUCUUGGAUAUAAAAUUUGAGAGAGGCACCCUGCAAAUACCGCGGCUCUUGGUCCAUGAAGGCACCAAGACUUUGUUCCUCAACCUCAUUGCCUUUGAGCAGUGUCAUCUUGACUGCGGCAGUGACAUCACAAACUAUGCCUUCUUUAUGGACUACUUGAUCAACUCUCCAGAGGAUGUGGGGUACCUUAUUGACCGUGGGAUAAUCGAGCACUGGCUUGGCAAUGAUCUAGAAGUUGCAAACCUUUUUAAUGGCCUAUGCCAAGAGGUUUCGUAUGACAUUGAAGAUAAUUACCUUUCCACAAUUUUAGGUGCUGUGAAUCUGUAUUAUGAGCGUAGAUGGAACAAGUGGUAUGCAAACUUGAGACAGAACUACUUCAGCAAUCCUUGGACAAUUAUCUCUUUAAUUGCUGCUGUUGUCUUGUUGCUACUCACUCUUGCACAAACCUGCUACACUAUAUAUGCUUAUUACAGACCACCUAAGUAACUCGUGAGUGCCCCUGCAAGAUCUUUCAUUUCCUAGCUAGUUCCUACUAAUUACACCCAUGCACCUUAUAGCAUUGAUCAUUUUUCAGUCUAAGAUAUUGAUGUGUGUUUGCACUAGCUUCAAGAAAGAAAGAAAAAAACUAGAAAACAGCUUGGAAGCAUGAAGCCUCAUUAUUUAAUUUGUUUUGGCUCAGAAGAUGCUGGCUUGUGCCUACUACUGUAAUAAAGUUCUUUUAACAAGUGUUCUUUUCUCAUAUUAAAAAUAGAUUUGAUUGUAAAGGAAAAAUAUAGCAUGGCAAUCCUCUUAUACCAUAGUUGGGCCAAACAAAUGAGAUAAUUUACACUACGAGGAUUAUCCACAUUACUGAAAUUUCAAAACAUAUACCUUUCUUCUACCAAGAAAGUAGAUAGUUGAAUUAAGAAAACCCAAUGAGACAUGUAAGAUUAGCACUGUUUCACUUUCAGCUAUCAAAAUCUGUUUUAUAUUCUUUCUACACAUUUUGGCUCUGAUUUGAAUGUUUUAUAAUUAACGAAGUCUUCAUGGAUAUAUCUAGAUCUCUGAAGAUUGUUUGCAGUAGAAUUCGUUUGCAAGUAUUUGAUAUAAAAGAAGGCUUUGAGUAAUUCCCCUGUGAACGUGCUAAGGUAAGAAAUGAUUCAAGCACAAAGAAGCAUGUUGAGUGUGGUCAUUCAAAUUCCUUUUGUUUUGUCAUUGUAACAAACUCACGCGUUUAUUUGAAAAUUUCUAGAUGCUUCUGUUCAAGCACAAAGAAGCUUUUUAAUGAUUAGUGUUUACUCUUUGUCAAUUUUUAACUCUGUAUAAAUUGAUGUUGUUCGUUUAAUUUCUUCCCUACAUUUCCUUUUUGUUGUUAGCUACAUGUAACUUUGUAUGAUUUAUAUUUACACCUGGUUUUUUAAUGGUAACUGGUAAGAAGGAUUACAAUGAUGAUGAAUAUUAUCAAGUGAGGUCAAUCAUUCAUUUGAUUAUUUGAAUGUAAAACUUUUAAUAGACCGAGAACUUUAGAUGAUAAAAAAGUUUGGUUUAAUUGCUUCAACAAGUUUUCUUUUCACAUAUUCAAAAUAAAUUUGACUGGAAAGGGAAAAUAUAGAAUGACAAUCCUCUUAUACCAUCGUUGGGCCAAGACAAUUUAAACUAUGAGAGACCAUUCACAUUGGACAUCGGGAAUCAUCCACAUUGUGCUUUUAAAGAACAAAACACAAGGCAUUUGGACAUUACAUCUUUCACCCAAAGCCAAGUUUUGGAUGAAAGAUGUGAUGUAUGUUCAACUCACUAGUAAUUUGCUCUUUAACCAGGGCCGGUCCCGACAUUUUGGAGGCCCUGGGCCGUUUCAGAGUUAAUUGAUUCUCCAAUUAAUAUCCACUUAUCUAGUGAAUUAGGUAGAAGAACCCAAGGAAAUCUUCCACCUUCCACAUUCCAAUGUUAAUUAAGCUCUUAAAUACAAAAGUACAGAACUGGUCUUAAAUGCAACUACUAAAUUUUUUUUUUUGGGGAAAGUUUAAUGAGAUUUUUUUUUGGCCCCUUCUUUUUAGAGGUCCUGGGCUGUGGGUCUGCCUGCACAGGCCCAGGGCCGGCCUGUCUUUAACCCAAUGUGGAUGAUCCCCAUAAUUUUAAUAGUUUCCUUUGUUUGGCCCAAUAAUCAUAACAUUGUUGAUUACAAUAAUGCCUCAUUAAACAACAAUAUGAAAAGCUGGAGAAAACUCAUGUUUCUCAUAACCUAAUGUUAUGAUCGACCCAACUUUAGAGUGAUCGGAUAAUGGCUCAUAAGUUAGAAAGAGUCUUGAAGUGAAGGAUACUUGAUUAAGAUGGUGAUCAUACAAGAUAAAAAAAAAACAUAAGGAUGAUACACAUUCAUGAGCGUGAUUACUAUGGAUACCAUAAGAGAUGCAUCGAUCAUUGUUGUAUUCUAGGGUUGGGUUAGACAAUACUGACUUAGUUUGGUUUCCUAUGUUCAUUGUGAAAUUUCACAACUAAUUUCAACAACGUUUUCCCACAAAAAAUCAUUUUUCUCAUAAAUAUAUAUAUAUAUAUAUNNNNNNNNNNNNNNNNNNNNNNNNNNNNNNNNNNNNNNNNNNNNNNNNNNNNNNNNNNNNNNNNNNNNNNNNNNNNNNNNNNNNNNNNNNNNNNNNNNNNNNNNNNNNNNNNNNNNNNNNNNNNNNNNNNNNNNNNNNNNNNNNNNNNNNNNNNNNNNNNNNNNNNNNNNNNNNNNNNNNNNNNNNAUAUGUAUCCUGACAAUCUGAAACAAUAUAUUGCUUUGAAGUCAUUUAAAUGAAUAAUUAAGACACGACCAAAGCAUGAAGUCACGACUAACAAAUUUUGAUUUCUUUCACGUUUUCCCCUCUAUUGUGCAUGUCCCUGUCCCCCACCUUACAUCCUUCUUGCAACUAACAAUUUAGUCUGUUUAUUAACAUAAAAACGAAUAGGACCAGGACCAGGAGGUAAACCCCACAAGACACAAUAAUUUUAAACAUGUGCAAUCUGCAGAAUUAUUAAAUUUCACAUGUUCAAGCCCCUUUUAUCCACCCUCUGAAUCUAAUCUAUAUUUGAAGUCUCUUUUCCAAGAUAAUUAAUCAUUCUACAGAUUAGCUGGAAUAAGAAUAAGUUUUACAUAAUAAUAGCACGCUUAAAAGUUGAAAGUUAUCGCGAACCUGCUGCAAUUUGGUUCAAAGGGGUCCCAUAUGAGCUGUUUAAUUUGUUCAAGUCAUAUCCUUCUAGGAAAUAGGUAGGUCCUUUGAUUCCAUAAUCACAAACUACUCAAUUUAUUUGUUUAUGAUUUAACAGCACCCUUCAAAGUUCAAACCAUUGACAAGAAACACAAACAGAAUAGCAGUCUCCAGAAAAGAAGAACAAAAUGGUAGCGGUAUUCAACAAAGAACUCUUGAGUUGGUACCUUAUCACCCUCAAACUCAGACAAACCUUAGAAUCCGGGCGUCCACCAUCUCCUAAUUCAGAAAACCGGUCAAUCGAGUUUCCUCCUCAGCAGCAGCAAAAGCUUCAGCAGGAACCUUCAGAAUCAUUGCAUGUCAUCGUCAAUGAAAAUGGUGAACAUCUGCAAGAGGAAGAAGCUAGCUCCCCAGUAUCUGAUUGGGUGAUCUCCAUCAAGGAAAAACUAGACCAGGCAUGUCAAGAUGAUGUAGCAAGUUCAUGGGCCAAGCUAUCAAUCUACAAAAUCCCCCACUACCUUAGAGAUAGUACUGGCGAUGACAAAGCAUAUGCACCUCAGAUUGUGUCAUUAGGUCCUUACCACCAUGGCAAAAAGCGCCUUCGCCAAAUGGAACGCCAUAAAUGGCGCUCCCUUGACCAUGUCCUCAAGCGAACCAAACACGACAUUAGGCUCUACCUCAACUCCAUGAAAGAGAUAGAAGAAAGAGCUCGCUCCUUCUAUGAGGGACCAAUCAGUUUAAGCAGCAAUGAGUUUGUGGAAAUGUUGGUCCUUGAUGGUUGUUUUGUGCUGGAGCUAUUCAGAGGAGCUACAGAGGGGUUCAAGGAACUCGGGUAUUCAAGGAACGAUCCUAUUUUUGCAAUGCGUGGAUCAAUGCACUCCAUUCAUAGAGACAUGAUCAUGCUAGAAAACCAGCUUCCACUUUUCGUACUAGAUCGGCUUUUGGGACUUCAACUUGGUAACCCAGACCUAAAAGGACUUGUUGCAGGUCUAGCUCUCAGGUUCUUCGACCC
This 139788-nucleotide long non-coding RNA is filed under the name Lotus japonicus. Its description in RNAcentral is "long non-coding RNA (LJAP_LNC001434)". Lineage: Eukaryota; Viridiplantae; Streptophyta; Magnoliopsida; Fabales; Fabaceae. The record is from RNAcentral.